Molecule: long non-coding RNA, 122510 nt
Filed under: Malus domestica (apple)
Lineage: Eukaryota; Viridiplantae; Streptophyta; Magnoliopsida; Rosales; Rosaceae
Description: long non-coding RNA (MDOM_LNC014748)
Source: RNAcentral
CACAGUACGGAAGCUUUAAGAUACAAUUUAAAUUGAUACACCCGAAGGUGAGUCCUAAUUUUGUCCAAUCUGUCAGAACACCGUCGAAUUCCUCGUAGUCACCACACCUUUGUGAUUCCUGAACCUGGAGGGGCGCAAAACCAAAAUUGAGUGGGUCAGUAAAAACAAUUCUUUUCCAAAUCCAAACAUUUCUCAAAACGUUGUAACCCCUCUCCGUAAAACCUGUAUACUUUCCCAGAAAUGUAAAAUAUAAAUAUACAUAUAUAUUCUCAAAACUUCAUUUUUACUAUCUCAACAUUAUCUCUUUAUCAAUCAUGCCAUGCCAUGUCAUCUCAACAUUUCUCAUAUUAAUUAUGCCAUGCCACAUCAUCUCAACAGUAAUAAGGUAUGAAUGCAUCAACAUAAUCAUAUCAGGUGCAAGAAAAGUAAUCAACCGUAGGCCCUCUAAUAGCCCUAUACGGUUGAACCUAGAGCUCAAAAUCUAUCAUUAUCACUCUACCGGAGUCACCUCUGUGACCCGUCCGGCCUUCUGCACACAAGUUACGCUCUAGUGCUUCUCAUAAAUCAUCUGUGCACAUAAUCUAAGGUCACCCACCAGUCGGAAUCUCACUAACACUCUCGCGACUGGUCUGUCGUACCCACUCCGCGUGGACUGUACGACUAGCAUCUACUUGGAUCCAAGGCGAGCGUGCGAUGCGGUGAAUACUAUAAGCACUAAACCAUGGUGCAGGAUUUGAGCUCAAUAUAUAUCAUCAUCAUCAUAACAGUAAUUAAAUACUCAUCUGUGCGUCCACCGCACCAUUUCAUACAUAUGCAUCAUAAAUCAAUUCUUACCUGUGCGUCCACCGCACCAAUUCAUACAUAUGCAUCAUAAAUCAAUUCUUACCUGUGCGUCCACCGCACCAAUUCAUACAUAUGCAUCAUAUAUUAAUUCAUGCAUGGCAUUUCAACUCACAUUUCUAUAUACUUUUCAUAUCAAUUCUAUGCAUGGUAUUUCACUUCCCGUUUUUCCACAUAACUCAUAUGCAUUUCAUUUUAAACAUAUUUUCAUGCAUUUUCAAUUUCUGGGAAAACGUUAAGUAUAUAUAUAUAUACGGAAAACAAAACUGCCCACUCACCUGGAGUUCAUCCAACAACUCCCUAGCACCACACAUCAAGGCGUCACGACGAUCGCCGCCUAGAAUAGUAAUCAAAUCCAACCUCAGAAUUCAUAUCGAUAGAAUAUUUAACUUAUAUAAAAUACGUCACUACGUAGUUCGAUCCGGAAGAUCUGCCACUCAGAUUUUAAAUCCAUAACUUCCAGAGGUCCACAAUAUAUCUCUAGGAUAACAUUUUAUAUUAUGGACUUACAAUUCCAAUUCCGGAAGAUCCGUAACUCGGAUUCCCAAUCCGUAAGUUCCAAUAAUCCUCAAAUAUUACGUACUAUAACGUAUCAAAGUUUGGUGAUGAUCCAACGGUCGGAUCAUCAAUUCACAUUUUCACCUAAAUGUGAAAACUAUAAAACGUUAUUUGAACACCUAACCAACAAUCUUCAAUAACUUUUCUCAUACGGUGUGUUCAAUUUAGGUAUAUGAAUAUACCACAGUGAUCUACUCGACGUCACGGACGUCGACAUAUUUUUAAAAUAAUUUUAUUUUUAUUUUUUAUUUUUACUGUAGCACCUUCUUCUUCCUUGGGUCGCCGGACUGGUUUUUCCGGCGGCCGUUUUCUGAACAGUUUUUCAAAUUGCCAUAACUUUGUCAUUUCUCAACGAAAUCAAGUGAUUCAAAAACGAAAGUUGUAGCCCUUGAAGAGACAAAGAGAAUGGUACCUUGCAAAACACCUAGUUCGCCGUGGUUUGGCCGGAAACUGCCUCGAAAGCCUCGGAGGUCGCCGGAAACUGGGUAUUUUUCAAAUGAGUAUAACUUCUUCAAUACUCAACGAAAUUGAGUGAAACAAAAAGGAAAGUUGUAGUACUUGACGAGACGAAGAGAUUGAUACCUACCUCGACUCCUAACUCGCCGGGGAUUCGCCGGAAAAAGCUUCGAAAGCUCCGGCCAAACUUUGAACUUGUCGAUCUCGGUGUUCUUACGUCCAAAAACUUCCAACGAAGCACUCCGAGCUUCCUUGGGACCUCACUAAGCUCACUAUGAGCUUGGAUUGUCCUAAAAAUCAACCAAUUCAAAUCUCAUGAACAGUACACUUUCAUGGGGAGUUUAGAAUCUAGGUUUUCCGAAGUAAAACUUACCUGAAAUGGAUACCAACGUGAUCGUGAAGUCCUCAGGAUUCCAAUGGUGGUCUCAAACUUGACGUUGGUAUAGAUUUAGGGUGGUUUUGGUGGUGGUCCGUGUGAGUUCGAAGGAGAGAGACAGAGAGAGUGAGAAAUCGUGAAGGAGGAGAGAGAAAGACAGUGAACGGGAAAUGAGGAGGGUUUUGAGGGAUGUGGGGAUCCCACGUGGUCCUUAUUCCAAUCUCCAAACACCAAACUUUAACAUUUUAACCUAAAAAUCUAAGUUCCAUCCUUAUUAAAUUCCAUUUUAUUUUCAAACUUAGGAACCUAGAUAAUUAGCAACCUGAGCUUCACAAAUUUAGUAUUUCUUAAGGGCAAUUUCGUCCAUUCACAGCCACGAAUAUAAUAAUUUGGAACGGGCUGUGACAAUAUGGCUGUAUAGCUCGUUUCAUAUAAAUUUGUUAUCAUCAUGAUCACAAAAUUCUGUUAUAACUAAUUUAGAUAAGUUUUUGUUUUCAACCCAAAAAUAAAUAAUAAAAAAAAACUAUUUUAAAGUGCUAAUACAAUUCUUAAAAAUAAAAGUGUGAAUCAAUAAAUCAAAAGACUGAUUUCAAAUGUUUACGGGCUCAUUUAAUGCUUUUAGUUUUUGAGUUUCAAAAGCGCUUCCUGCAAGAAGCACAAAUUACUUCUUGCACAAAGCACUUUAAUUGUUUUUUUCAAAAUUCACUUACAAUUUUACUAAAGAUUAAUUCGAAUAAUACUUAUACUAAAAGCGUUUUCAGCUUUUUUAAAAACCCUUCUAAACAAAUCUUAAUUUUUUUUAUCGAGUGCGCACGCAGAAUAUCGUGAAAAUCAUGUUGAAAUAGCUUUACAUCAAGAUUCGAGAUGUAGACCUUUCUUUCGACCCAAAGAAAAGAAAAAGAGAUGUAGACAUUUCAAGGCGGGGUAUAUGAUAUAAGGGUGGGGACUGGGGGAUGAUAUUGAAACCAUUUCCUCAAAAUUCCCAACUAAAUAUAUACCGCAAUAACUAAACCAGGAGAAGCUCACUGUUAGAGAAAGAUAUUCAAAAUUGUAUAUAAAAUCAAUUGAAUUAACAAAAAUAUAUAUAUAAGAAAAAAGAAAAAUGAAAAACGUAUGGAACAUGAAAACGUUGAAACCAGAGGAAGCAGCUAUAAGUUAGAGUUGCCUUGGACGGAGGAGGAAAGCCGGCUUAUCGGAAGGCAACACCGCUUCCAGAGCGAUUCGAUCCAUACUUAGAGACUAAACCUUCAGUCGAGUUUCCCUUUCCGAUUCAUCAAGUCGUGGUAAUACAGAAGCAGGCACAUCGGUUGACCAAGAAUGCAAAAGAUGAACCAGAAGAUCAUAUUUCCCACCUGGAAAUAAGAUUCAAAAACGUGAUCAAAACAUUACCAGUAUCGAAAUGGUAUGAAUUUGGAUCUAUCAUGAAGCAUGGCGUAAGUGGGUGAAUAGAACUCAGACAUGUCGAAAGUAUAUGUGCCCUCAACAAUCCAUAGAGCACGAAUAGAGUACCGGAACUAGUUAAAAAAAAUUAAAGGCCUACAGGUACUAUUAUUGCGGGGUUUACUUUCGAAAAAUGUAGAAUUUGGGGUUCAUGGAAAUUCCUUAGAAGAACGAUGCAUUAUACCCCUAUCCCUCCAGCAGGACCGCUCCAAGUAUUUAAUUCUCUCUAGAAACUAAAUAUUUAACUGGUGGCUAACGCCCAACUGAGUAGGCAAAACUAUGCUACAAUAAUAUGACUUUUCUGCAAUAGUAUGUUUUAAAACAAGGACAUACCAUCGAGUUUCUGAAUUUAUUUUGCAGGUAAUUUGUGAUCAAGACAAGUGGUACCUGUGACGAAAACGCAACAAAAGAAAAUUAGGACCAUUGAUCAUCAAUAUGAGUAGGACUCAUAAAUGUGGCAAGGAAACUAAAAUGUUCUUACCUGGAACAUAAUUCCGAUAAAAGCCCACAACUUGAAAAUGUGGCAGGGAACAGCUAUGCAUAGCUGGAGACAAGUAAAAAAAUAUUGGAUAAGAUAAUAGAAACACAAACAGCUAUGCAAGGUUCAUUGUAGAAACAAGCCAUGAGAAUUCAGAUCCGAGUAAGACACAAAACAGAAGGGGGAAAUAUUUCAGAUGACCCCCAGAUAAUGUUUCACGUGGAGUUUGCAUUGGUGAUCACGAUGAGGAGCUCUGGUUCUAAUAUAAUUAUAUAUUUCCAUGCUCAAACUUAGUCUUUAGCUUUUGGCCCAAAUCAAAUGUUAAGAGCUCAUAUUGCGAUUACCUAAAGACAUCGGAAUUCAUUCUUACGUGUAUGGGUAUUCUACUAUUGUAAGGUAAUCAGGAGUGUUUGAUCAGCAAUACCUUUCGACAAACAAUGGUAGCAUAACCCUUCAAGUUUGUGCUUGCUAACAAUUACUUUAUAAAAGCAAAUUACCAAGCGUGCACGUUCCAGGGUGGUGUACAUCUAAAUAGCUUAAGUCUUGGUUAGUACUAAGAUGAUGAUUCGCUUGAUUCAAAUGACAUGCUUCAAAGCCAUUCUUUCAGUUUCAAAUCCUAUAAGUCGUUCAUAUAAUCAUGACACUAUCAAAUUCCAGAAUCCCACUUUCUACCAACACUCACGUUCCAAAACGAGAGAGUGCUAAUUCUCAUUAUGGACAAUAGAAUAUGAUGAAGGGAGGAGCAAUAGAAUAGUCAUUAUCCUGAGGGAAAGGGUCACUAAAUAGCAACAUUAAACUCACAGAAACAAAGCAAAUACCUCAUGAAAUACGGCAGAUACUAGGAAGGCGAUUACGAUGGCAACUCCCUGAAUUAAAAACAAAUUAGUUUUGUACUUACUACUUUCUAAAACAAAUUAAAGGUACAUCCAUCACGCAUCACUUAAUAUUGAAAUAAAGAGAGAUUAUAUACCUUGGGUACUCCGUGACGUAGGCAUGGAAAAUAGAUGUGGCGAACCAUCCAUUUAUGAACAGGCUGAAAUGAAUACACCCAAUCAGUAUUACACUUUUACUUGAGCAUUAGCAUAAAUAAGAACUACAAGGCCACAAGCGCUCUUUCAAAUAAGUCAAUAUAUAGUUAUAUACACAACUUCAAGUCUUCACUGCAUCCAGCUGCCUCGUGAAUAAGGCAAGCGGGAUAGAGAGGGUUGUUAUCAUUGUAAAAUGUAAACAACAGAUACCAUCUAACUGCGUUUUGUCAUUACAUGGCAGCUUUGAUGACCAUGAAAUUGGGCUUAUACAGCCUCUUUUCAGGCUUAUAAGUUAUAACCCUUAUUAAACGAUAAUGCUAAUACACCUAUUCUUUGAUACAAAUUCAAACACAUUAAAAUCCAAACUCACUAGAGUCCCAUAAGCAACUUAGAUUCAAAAUGAUAUCGAAUGGAAGUCAAAACAAUAAUUUAUCGUAGUACUUUAAAUAUAUGAGAAAAGAUAACAACUGAAUUAGAGUUAAACAUACAUACCAUGUUCCACAUUCUCCAAUACUGAUGACAGCCACCAGAAGAGCCAUGCAACAAAAGUAAACAGUAAAAUUUGUAAUUCAGCAAGGAGCUGUAAUAACAUAACCUAAGAAUAAAUUGCAUAUAACAUAAAACACACCUCCUCAACAGUUUUUGCAUUCCACCAAUCUUUAUAGAACUCCCGAUCACCAAAACAAAGCAGCUCAGCAACAAUAUUUAACCUAUAUUUAUAACACUGGAUGUAAGCUUAAACUCAAAACUGAAAUGAAAGUGCAAACUUAGUAUAACAAGCAUCUUCCAAGCAGCUAUAGAGACAUCAGAAAGAAAAAAAAAGGAGGAUGAUGAAACAAGACGAACCAGAGGUGGAAAAAGCAAUAGAACAUGCAUAGCCACACAUAUAAAUUGGGAACUGAAAGCUUCAAAACCCUCUCUAUGGCAUAUAACCAGUCCCCCUUCAAAGGAUGUUUUGAAUUCUUGACAAUAGGGUUGAUGUACUGCAUAUAAAUACACAUGGCAGAAUUCAUUAAUAAUCAAAAUGAAAUAAAAGAGCAUUAAAAGCUUGUUGAAAACAACAAAUACCAACUUACUUGUUCUACUAUAAAUCCCAUCACUCCAGUAAAAAUGAUCAACUUCACAAGUUGACGAAACACCCAACCUUUUCGAACACAUGCUGUGCGAGGGUAACUAGUCUGAAACAAGGGUCAGAUAAAUCAAAAUUAAAUUCAGUUCUCCAUUAAUCAUGUAAUGUACAAGUUAAUCUCAUAUGAUAAGAACCACAAAUUAAAGACUAAAACAUGAAUUACCAUUCUUUUAAUUAAGGAUGCCAAUAAUAUACCGUAAGAAAAUAAUCAUAUUGUUUUCCGAUGAUUCAUUUAAUAUCAUUUUAAAAUGAAAAAUAAAUAAUUUAGCCAUCUUCGACCUACAUACUAAUUAAACAAUAAUGAGUCGUGAAAAUAUAAGAGUUAUAAAGAAAAUUAAAGCAGAAUUCAAACUUGUAACGGCAAAACUCACAACACCAGGUUGGAGCAAAUAUGAAGUUUAAGAGACCGCAUGACAGUCUAUAACUGAGGGAAAAUAUUUGUUCAGUUUGUAAAAAAUGCCAUAUUCUUUUUCAUUUUUAAAACAGGCAAGGGAAAGGCAAACACAUACAAGAACAGGUGACUUAAACUGACUAAAGCAUCAAAACUCAUAAAUUUGUACUUUCUGAAUAAGGAUUGACGGAUAAGAAAACCUAGGUUAAUUUAUGAAAUAGUAGUGCAAUUACCUGGUAACAUAAUGUUGGAGCGACCAUAAAGUAUGCCAUAUUUUUUAAAUUGUUAUUAUGAGGGUAAUCUGUAUUCAGAGAACUAGGUGUGGCAUCCCCCUGCAAUCAGUCAAGGACUUCAAGAAUUAGAAAACAAUCAUUUAUUAAGAAAAAACUGUUGACGAACAUUAAACAUCUCCUCGAGGAAGAAAACAUCUAUUAAGAUUUAGGACCUUUUUAAACUUUCUUCAAACUUCAUAUUUAAUCUAAAAAGCGGGAAAGGAAAAGACAAUAUUCACUGUUAAAUAAAAACCUUAUUCACAAGUUCAUAGUUACCUUCUCAACUGCUAUGUGAAGUGCUCUCAUAUCAUAGUUUGUGUGCACAUAAGAUACGAGUUUUAACCAUACGAUGCAAGCAAAGAGCAUCAACGCAACACCAAAUAAAACUGCAGAAUCACACCUGCAGAAAUGAAGUAAAUAAAAUAAACGCAAAAUUUUCACUGCUAUUCACAUAUUAGCCAGCUAAAAGAUGCCAUCAAUCAAUUUCUUUUUAAAGAGCCUUUCCUAUUACAUAAAGACACAAUCUUUCAGGCAGUACUUCCAUCCAAUGUCAAUUUCAGCUUAAGUACUUAUCCCCUCAAUGAAGUUUCUAAGAUCUCCACAGAAACAAGCAUCUUUCAAGAACUGGGACAAGAUUGCAAAUCCAGAAAAUACGCUAAUAAAUGAAAAGCACUGAAAUAAAUGUCAUGGACCAGAAACGAGAACGUAACAGUGAGAGUUCAAACCCAAAUCCUCCAAUCAGCACCAUGGCCAAGAUACAAUAACUGGUUACACCUCCUACUAAUACCAAAAAUCGGGGAAUGCAACUAAUGGAAGCUUAAUUUGCAGUGAGUUCAAACUGACCUGAGAAUCACCACAACCGGAUACAAAAUUGAAGUUGUUGUAAUGACUAUAUGAAGAGAAACAACAGCCUGCAAUGCCAGACAAGAAAUUCAGAUUUCAGAUACAGAGUUGCGGAGACCUAUUUUUUAAAGCAGUACAAAAUGAGUUUCUCACAGCUUCAGAUAUACACUUUUGUUGCGCUAACUUCUCAACUACAAAGGCCGCAAGUGGAAAGAUAGGAAGAGUAAGGCUGCAAAUGAAAGAACAAAGAAGCCGAAUAAAUUUCCCACCACUUGUAAUUCAAAGAUGGUAACGAUAACUAAGUAUCUUAAACCAAACACCGUAUCGAAGCAUAAUAAAAGGAAACAUUACCCGCACAUAAAAAGUGGCCAAUCUCGCAAUGAUCUUGAACUAAACCAGAAACCAGUUUUAAUUAACCAACCAUACUGCAACAAUAAUUGAACAGUCAGAAAUCUCUAUAAAUGUCCGUAAAACAACAUUAUCAAAGGGCGUAAAGUUAGCCCAAAAAACAAAGGACGCGGGCACAUGGCAAACCUUCAUUAAAUUCUCGAUGAUUAGCCGGCUGUUUACAGCAACAAGUACUACUAUACACAGAUUGAUGAGACCGGCAUGGCUCUGCAAAAGUGCAAACCAAACAAAAAAGAUCAAAGCUUGCAAUUAGCAUCUCCUUCAAGCUCCACAGAACGCUAAAAGACAAAAACUUGUUACCCAGCAAACAUUUUCAUAACUGGUAAUUAAUCACGGAUUAACGACACUAAUUACAAGUGAAAUUAAGCAAGGCUUAAAUACCUGUCUGAAGAUGGCAUCAGAGCUGAGAGGACUCUCCUUAACUCUCCGAUGAGCCGGAACGGACGGCCGAUACGCAAAUUUCACGGCCGAGGGAUCACCGCCCCGAUCAUUCUCGCCGAGUCCCUUCUUGUCUUGAACAGCAUUGACGGACUCAGCCGAGCCGUCAGAGCCUCCAAUACGGCCGUUAUCGCCGCCGCCGCCGCCGCCGAGCUUGGCGCCAACCGAGUCAUCACCGCCGGAGUCCCUAACCAAAUCGUUCAAGGAAUCGGAUUCCGCCACGGUGGAGGCCGAGGGUCUGCGGCGUAGCGUGUGGUUGAGAUCUGAGUCCGCGCGGGGGCUUGUGGUGGCGCCUGCGAUGACUACUGCCUCAGGCGAAUCCGCCAUCGCCAUGACACAACCGCCAAUAUAUAUGUAAAUUAUAUGUAAUAUAUGUUUUCCCAGAGAGAUGAAGAAAGAGGGAGAACAGAGAGAGAGAGACAGAUUUCAGAGUAUAAAUGAUGGGGUGCGAGAUUUCAGAGAGUUCAUGCAGAGAGAGAGGGAGAGAGAGAGAGAUUUCAAAUGGAAAAAGAUAAAGAGGAAGAAUAAAUGGGGUGCGAGAAAAUUCGCGAAGUGGCGGUGAAUGACUGGGAAAGUUGAGCGGUCUUUAUAUAAUAAGCACCAAAAACACACAGAGGAGAGAGAGAGAGAGCUGGCGAUUGCAGGUAUGAUGACGAAGCGAUGAUGUCAGAGUGGGGGAGGGAGGGAGGGAGGGAGGGAGGAGGGCCGGUAGAAGGGGGAAAAACGACAAGCGGGCGGUUAACGAAAAACAGUAUCGUCGUGUAAGAGUGUGACAGGGGAAGAGGGAGGAAGGCAGGAAGCUGCAGACCUGGUCCCGUGGAGCUUUGUGCAUACAAACCGCUUCCCGGUCCUUCCUUUCCUUGGCUCCCGCUACUUCCCAACCCAAAUUACUAUUUAACUAUUAAAUUAACAAAACCGAUAAUAUCAUCUGACUAAAUUUUUAGACUAAAUUUAUAAAUUAUAUGAUUUGUCAUUGAUAAAAAUGUGUACAUUUAUCAAUGCUUAAGUACUAACUCAACUCAAUUAUUUAUACUUAGAAAAAAGUACUAACUCAAUUAUUAACUUCUAUGUCAUUUAGUUUAAAAAAUUUUAUCUAAAAAUUUAGUCUCUCUAACAUUAACCUUAACAAAAUAGGUUAGCUUAAGUCAAUCUUCAAAAUAUUUACGAAAUUAUCGAUACUACCUUCUAAAUAAAAAUAAAUAAAAUCAAGGGUCGAUUAGGAGGUGUGAAUGCAAACAACUCUAUAUCAAUGAGUUGAUGUACACACCUGAUUGUCAAUUUUCAUCGAAAAUGACAUAUAUAAUUAUAUCCAUCAAUAUUUUCAUAAAAUUGCAUGUUAAUAUUUUACUAUAUCCAUAUUUCAAACACUUUUAGGGUAGCAUCCAAUUAAAAGAUGCUGAAUUUUUUUUUUUAUAUGGGAAAGUACAUCGUGAGAUGUGAAUAAAUAUUUGUGCAAGGAUGUCCGACUACAAUCUUGCUCUCUUAAGGUUCUCAUUUUGAGGACAUGUGAGAAUCAAAUGCAUAUUAGCCACAAGAUUAUAUCAUUUCAGAUCAAUGAUCUAAAAUAUUUGACAACUUAAUCAAGCAAAGCCAACUUAAAAUCCUCGAACCAUUAGAAAACUCAUUUUCUUGUUUUGCUUUAUUAUGUUGCCAAAUAUUUUUAGCCCUUGGAUAUAAACUAAUAUAAUUUUUUUGACUAAUAAUGCAUUUGUCCUCACAGGUCCUCAAAAUGAGGACCUUAGGAGAGCAAGACUCCGACUAUGUGUAUACAAACCAUGCCUCUUAGCAAGAGACCCUCCCUAGUAAGAGACAUUUUUGAACGCUCUAAACUAUCCGGUACAUAAAUGUUUUAAUUGUUAAAUUUUUGUUUAAAAAUACAAAAUUCAAGAUUUAAUAUUUAAAAACAUUGAAGUAUCCGUACAUUGGAACACUUAAAAAUAUUUGCCCAACUAUAUUUUGGUCUCAUUUAGUGUGAGAUUUUUCUUACCAUGCAGUUCGAUCAACUAUCUUCUCUAUCUAAAAUUUCUUACAUAAUUUAAUAUUAUGAUUUAGUAAUAUUUUUUUCUACUUGUAAUUACAGGAUCCGGAGAGGAUCCCUUUUCUUAAGGUUCUACCCUUCAUGGUCAGUUCUAUAGCAAUGAUAAUGACUAGACAAUUAUUUGGUUUAGCAAAAUUAGCAGAAGCUUAGAGUAAAAACCCAGGAAUAAUGCUUUUUGUGGGUCUUCAUUUCGUCAUCGCAUUGCCUUCCAUCCAAUUGAUGCCUUAAUCCUAAUACAUUAUUGACCGACAAAGAGACUUUAACAAGGGGGGAUUUGGAUCUUCUCCUGGGUUAAUGGAGAGGAUCCUCCUGAUCCAUCAUCUUGGGCUGUUGGAUUUUUAUCCAACGGUUAUAAAUAGAGAGUCUUUUUAAAGUUAUAAUAAUUAUAGCCGUUGGAUUUGUCCACAAUGAUGGGUCAGGAGGAUCCUCUCCAUUAGCUCAGGAGAGGAUCCAAAUCCAACAAAGGGGAGGGGCAUGUCAAAUCAAAACGCGGUUAUGUCAUUGUCGUUUCAUAUUAGGGUCAAAGGCGCCCGGUUCCAAGAAUCAUGUUAAAAAGGCCGACACCGCAAACUAGAUGUUGACUCCACAAUUAUGGUAAAGCUUAAAGACAGACCAACAGUCUUUCUUCUUCCUUAAUUAAACAAGGAAAUAAGAGGAUGCCGAAGAUUAAGUAAAAGGAAAUUUUCCCCAUAAUCUUUUCUUACUUCUUCUUUAAGAGUAAUUCCACCUUUAAAGACUUUGCGCCAGCACCCAACGUAUUUAUUCACUCAAGUAAACAAUAAUAGACCCUUGUAAACAGUAAUACGCCAAAACAUCUCCACCCCUAACAAAAAAUAGCCUAGUAAAUUUUAUUAAAAUAUUAUUAUUUUUAUUAUAAAGAAAAAGGAUAAGUCAGGAACCUCCGGUUCCAGUAGAACUCUUACCAACAAAAAUUCAACAAAUAUAACAAAUCCCCAAUUCAAGAAUCAAAUCCCUAGAAACAUAUCAACAAAAAAAAUUCUAGAGAGAGAGGGUGUGUGUGAUGGUGGGUACCUGAGAGAGAAAGCGAGCAUCGGAAACAAUGGAAAAUGGUCCGAAAUGCUUCUGCUUCUCCUCUCUCUCUCUCUCUCCUCUUGAGAGCAUUACAAAAAAACAAAUAACGCGAAAACAUAUAAAAUGUGAAAUAGAGAGGAAGAGAAAACGUUGCUCUGCACCAAGGCCUCGGAAUCUCCCUCCGCCCCGAGGAGCUCUGCGAUGCAUUGAUCGUGCGGGAGGUUGAUGGCCCAGCUGACGUCAAAUGGCCCAGCAUGUGGGUCUGUCGAUUUUAGGCCGGUCUCUUGCUUGGCUUGGGCUGGGUGCCGGUCAAAAUGCUCGGCUGGAAUGGAUAGCCUGGGUGUCGAAUUGGUUUUUUGGCUGGGUACUGGCCUAUCAGUUCCCCGGUGAAACUGCUCUAAGGAAACAAAGAAAAUGCUUUCACUUUGCACGUGUUAAGACUGAUUUAAAAGUACGAAGAAUUAAGAAACAAUUCUUCUCUUCUCAUGCAAAGAGCCAACCGGUGUAAUAUAUAUUACCCCAACCCGCUUUGACAAUACAUUAUCACCAUAAUUUGCACGGAUGGUUAGGAGGAGUCAUUGUUACAGAAAGACUUGCAUGACAAGGGUACGCCAACACUGGCGUCCCCUAUGCCAAUGAUUCGACGUGCUUGUUUCUCUCAACAUGACAUUGUAUCAUUAGCAUUGUAUCAUUAGCAUGGGAUGCAACUGUGACAUUGUACUGUGACUGAUGGGAACAUACAACGGCACAAAGAACAUUCAAAACCAAAUUUAAAGCAUAGAAAAAUUCAUAGCUCAAAAAAAUACAUACAUUAAUAAUAUGGUAGAAAGUAUGCAACAACAGAUUGGCCACCACAACCAAUUCAGGCAAUGAAGGUUUUCACAUUGCAAGUUUAACUUGUGCGACUUUAAUUAAAUUAAUCCAACAACCGUAAAUUAAAUAACUAGACUCUAUAAUAAUAUAAGAGAAGACACAAAAUGGCGGGAUGUGGCGGCCUCAAUGGACGAAAAACAGAAAAUAAACUUCAAUCAAAUCAACACUUACUACCGGAUUUUUCCUUGAGUAAUUAAGAAGACAAAAUCUCAUCAGAGGAGAUCAGCGACGUUUGAUGGCAGCUCCUCCACAACCACGUUAUAGAACUUCUGGAUGUCAAACAGCAUCCUCUCAUCAUCCUUUGUUACGAAGUUGAUGGCAACACCCUUCCUUCCAAAACGUCCACUACGACCAAUUCUGUGGAGGUAGUUCUCGGGCUGGGUGGGCAGAUCAUAGUUAAUAACAAGGGAGACUUGCUGCACGUCAAUACCACGAGCCAAAAGAUCAGUGGUGAUCAACACACGAGAUGACCCAGAACGGAAUUCCCGCAUGAUGAUGUCUCUGGUGUUCUGGUCCAUGUCUCCAUGGGUGGCAGAAACUGUAUGGUCUCUGCUCCUCAUCUUGUCAGUCAACCAGUCAACCUUGCGUCGAGUAUUGACAAAAAUGACACUCUGGGUAAUGGCCAAGGUCUCAUAAAGAUCGCAAAGAGUCUCAAGCUUCCAUUCCUCCUUGUCGACAUUGACAUAGAACUGCUUUAUACCUUCCAGGGUGAGCUCAUCACGCUUCACUAGAAUCCUCACAGGUUUGUUCAUGAACUUCCUUGUGAUCUCAAGAGCCUCAGGCGGCAUUGUCGCAGAGAACACACCAACCUGAAUCUUUGAUGGAAGAAGCUGGAAUAUAUCGUAGAUCUAGAUACCCAAAAGAAUUCGUAUUAGAUAGAACUUUAAUUACAAAAUUGUAUUGAUUUCAGAAAACCAAAAGGAACUCCAAUGGAUGCAAUAUCUCAAUGUAGCCCAAACCAAAUAAUUAAGCAACGUAUUGGUGGAGCAGGCUACUCUAGCUAGCUGUGGUGCAAUCAUACAUAUAAAAAGAAAGUAUCUAUACAGAACAAGAGGACAGCUCAGCCACUCAACAUAUUUCAUAUUCUGAAAUUUAAAUGGAUAUUUCUAAAACGCCUGGUAGGGAGAAACAUGAAAAGUAGAAAAAGAACAGUUACCAAAAAAUUUCCUACCCGACAACCCAACAGAGCAAUUACUUAGUCACAAGAUAUACUAUUUAUUGUUUCAUCACUGCACAUGAGAAGAACAUUAUUUACCUAAAAUAUCAUUAUGCAGAACAUAAUGCAUCCAUAAAAAUCAAGGGAACACAUAAAACAAAUGGACACAAUUAAGUUGAAAACAGACCUGAUCCUUGAAACCACGGGAAAGCAUUUCAUCAGCCUCAUCCAAAACAAACAUCUUGAUACUAUCAGGACGAAGUGACUGCCUUCUAAGCAUGUCAAAAACACGACCGGGAGUUCCAACAACAACAUGCACUCCAUUUGACAGAAUGCGUUGGUCCUCACGGACACUGGUUCCACCAACACAAGCAUGCACCCUUACACCUAGAUAGUCUCCAAGAGCCCUCAUAACCUUCUCAAUCUGUUGAGCAAGCUCUCGAGUGGGUGCAAGAACCAAGGCUUGGCAUUCUGUCAAACUAUAAUCAAGCUGUUGAAGGAUACCGGAACAGAAAGUUGCUGUCUUUCCAGUUCCAGACUGAGCCUGCUGAAUCACAUCAAGACCCUUGCAGAAGGGAACAAUUCCCCUCUGCUGAAUAGCCGAGGGUUUUUCAAAACCUGCAAAAAGAAUUAUCGUUCAUUCAAUCAUUCACCAGUCCAUAGAAAACACAAAAGAAAAAAUAAAAAACUUCAUGAAGACAUUAAAAUAGAAAAGUUCUACAAUUUUUCCUGAUACCAUAAAAUACAUAACCUAAUAAAAAAAGAGAAAAGAGUAAAGGCUAGUUGUAUCUACCGUAAGCAUAGAUUCCCCUGAGAAGAUUCUCUUGAAGACCCAUAGCGUCAAAACUAUCAUAAACUUCAUCGUAUGAUGUAAAGAAUUCCUGCCCAUCAGUUGCAAGUCUGCAUACAACAAUUUACCAAACACAAGAGAAACAGUUAGCUGCCAAAUUGAUGUGACAAGUUAUAUUAAACAACAUAAUAAAGAAAACAUCCAAGAGCAGUACUCGUAGACACCCAAAACAUGCAGUUAAUAAGUAUAAACUGAGAGAAUUCUUACAAUUCGCUCAUUUUGGUAUCAUACUGACGAGUGUCAAAUUGCGAUCCUUCAGGUGCUGCUGCCAUGACUGCAAAUUACAACAAAAAUAUAUUUAAAAUAAAAACACUCCACAAAUCUUCACAACCAGUUCAGACAGCUAUUCAAAGAUGCUAAAUUCUACAGAUAUAUCCAUCGUCAAGCACUUUUGUAUCAAAAAAUUGAGAACUCAAAACAAAGUUUUACAUAAAAAAACUCUUCUCUUUGGGACCACUAAUACGAGAAUAUCAUAGAAAUCAAGGCUUAAACAGCAUUAGCAGCAAUAAUGCGAGAAUUCCAAACUUUCACAGGCAUAACAAAACGACAAGAUUCACAUCAAAAUAUAGGAUAAACACGCAACGUACCCAUAAAAACACCGAACUAAAAGAUUUAUGCAAAAUUAAUUCUCAAAUCUAAGUAGAUUAAAACAAUUAAAAAAAAAGCAGAAAUUAUCCUACUGAAUAUUUAGGAAAAAUCAAAUCAAACAACAAAAAUUCACAACAAAUCAUCAUCAACGGAGUACGGACACAUGCCGAUUCAGAGUCUAUAUAUUUUCGGUACGAAAAUACAACCCAGAUAGAACAGGAUCGAACAACGGCACGAGUGCAAAAAAUACAAAGCGAAAAGGCACGGGAGGAAGACCUGCGGGUGAUGAGUCAGAAAGUUGAAGGCGAAGAGAGAUAGAGAGCAACGGAAGAGAGCUUUGUACUGGUUUUUCUGGAAAUUAGGGUUUCCCGAACUCCUCGGAUCUAAGCCGCGGAGUUAAGGAAUGCGCGAAGGAGGAAGAGAGAGAGAGGGGUUGGGCGUUUGACGAGUGAGAGAAGUGAAAACCGUGCCAGUCAGGGUUUGUGAUUGUAUAGGGUUAAUUGCAAUUCGAAGGGAGAACGGUCUUCGCGUUCCUCCAGAUUCGAUUCGGGUACGUGGCGGGCAUUGAUUGGCGGGAGUGGAAUAGGAGAAUAAAACGAACUGAAACAAAUUUGCACGUGUUUAUGGGCCUCAAAUAAAAGAUUAGGGCCCAAUUGAAUUUUUUUUUAAAAAUCAAAUCCGUCUCAAAAACAUGGAAGGAAAAGAAAAAAUCCGUACCAGACGUUAUCUAUUAUUCUUUAACUGCAAAUUACAGUUUAACAUAAACAAGACAAUAUCUCACAUGUUCAUUUUGACGUUCUACACACACUUUGUUAAUUUAUGUUCUUUGAUCUUCUUCAGUUCAUUCGAUUUGACAGCCUAAAAUCGAAAAAAAGCGCAUAGAAUAGAAGGUAAAAAAAAAGUGGGUGGAUCGCGCCACCCCACUUCUUACAUCUUUACUGUCUGGAUACUUUUUUCCUUAAGAAGCUAAAAAAUUGGGCCAAUUAGUAAUUUUACAACCUUUACGGUUUAAACAAGGUCGGAACAAAUUUUACAGCUUCUGAAAAAAUGUGGUACUCUCGGCAGAUCCAUGCUUUACAAUAUUUACCCACAAUAACUUUUCCAGAGUGGCCACGCAAUACUCAUCUUUCAACUGCCUCUUAAAACUGCAGGACAAGUGAACUCUUUUUAAACACAUCGGCAGCCAAAUGUGCACAAGUGACUUCCGAACUGCGACAUAACAUCCACAAGACCACCGUAACCUCCUACUGCGAUAACCUGGACAAAACAAUGGUUCAUUGACGUGAGAACUAAAAACGGAUUUUGGUAACUUAUGAAGCUAGAAAUCUCUUUCUCGUUCUUAUUGUUUAUGUGUAUUAACUUCAACCUAGAGUCCCAGACCAUGUCCCUCAGCAUGCUCUUUCAUUUGUAAUAUUGGCAUUAGCAGCUAAGUAAGAAUAUUGAAGGUUUAUGCUAGCCAUGCCGACUAUUUAUAGUUGUUGAGUCGAGUACAAAAGCUAUGCAAAAGGAUUUGAAAAGCUGGAUGAUUUUUAUCACUCGUGUCAAUCGACCUACCUUGACAUGCAUAAUCUUUUAAAUCCAAGGAUAAUGCUGGUAAGACCAACAUUUAAGACAGAAAACGCCUUAGUGUAAGUUAUUAACAAAUAAUAAAGGGGAAAGAGACAUUAAGUUAAACGUACCCCAGAUGGAUGUAAUGAGAUGGAAAAGGCAGACUGAGGAGCACAUUGCAUUUUUGAUAGAAUUGCCCCAUUUAUGUCAUAACGGCAAAGUAGACGUUCUGCUCCAACUGCUAAUACCUGGAAACGAGAAGCAACAGUGAACUUGGGAUAUUGGAUUUCCUUCGUGCCUAUUUUCUACAAACUAGCAUUUCUUUACAAGUUAUAACAGGCCCCAGGCAUAAUGUAUUCUUAUGCUUAUUGCUUCCAUCACUGAGAGUAUACAAACAUGUUACUUCCAGCCCCAUUCGUUGGCAUUGAAGAUUUAGGGACAGUAUCACUGUAUCAUCAUCUAAUAAUCUAAAGAGAAAUCAUCGCUCAUUUGCUGAUAUCUUACCAAUUCAACUUAUCCCGUUAAGAAACUUAGUUUAAUAUCCUUAACAAACGAAAACCAACAGAGUUACUGCUUACACCCUUUUGCUUGGAAACGGGAUAUGGCACCAUUAGAAAAUUCACUCCCCUUUAAACUAAAAUAUUUCUUGUUAAUAGCACUAGAUGCCAACAGUAUUAACUAAAUUAAUUAAUAGAGGGCUGAGGGGGGAUCUCACUUGAUUUUCGUCAAAUACUACAUCCUGUAUGGAUGCACGUGUUGAAACCCUUGAAAUGCAUUCAGAAGCAAGAAGGUUCCAAACUGAUAAACUCUGACCACAACUACAAGCCUACAGAAGACAAAAAACUUAGUACGUUAUAGCAGCAAGAAACUUCAACAGAAUUAGUUAAUGGUACUAAAGCAACUACAUUCUCAUCACAUAAAUGCUUACCAACCAGCUUUCAUUUGCAUCAAGAGCAAUGCAACUAACGCACGCAAAAAAUCCUUUCAAUUUAAUACCCUUGGCUGGCUCAUAUACUUGAACACACUUUCCACUUUUGCAAUCUGGGUGAAACCAUAAACGCAUGCUUCUAAGAACAAGUUCAUGUGACUUAAUACAAAAUCAUACUAACUGUAAAGGAAAACAAUAAAUUCUUAACAAUUUUCUGCCACAAUCCUUCAAAAUUGAAAAAAAAAAGCUAGGUUUUUACCCCAUCUCCGUGCUGCCCCAUCCUCUGAACUCUGAAUGUGAUUCUUUUGAUCUUUUCCGGUAUUCAGAUCAUAACUGGUUCAGAGUUUAUCAGUUUGGAACCUUCUGUUGAAGUUUCUGAUGCAAAGAUCAAAAGAAUCACAUUCAGAGAGAAAAAUACUGCACCAAAUCUAGUACCUCAAUACACAGUGCUACUAAUGUAAUUGUUAAUUCUGAUACUUGUCGCUCCAAUUGUACUAAAAGGGGUGGUUGUUUGCAUAACAAUUAACAUAACUCAGAACAAAGAGAAGUGACAGGAAUGAUCAACUGAAGACAAAGAAGAAUAUGACCUGACCUGAUUGGUAGAAUUCCGAGCAACAACAGAAUGCACGUAGUAUGCAUGCCCCUUGAAAGUCAUUUGACUUGACCUCUUUCCUGAAACAUUUCUGAUACAAAUCAUGCUUGGAUCAGUCAUCUAGGAAAUUAGAUCGAGAACAAUGUAAUAUGCAAAAAUGUUUCUCGACAGACACUUCGUAACACGAUUGGAAAAUUCACCUUGAACAAAUGCAUACCACAUCCCAGCAAUAGACGCAAGAAUCACCAGCAGCUGAAAAAAUGCAUCCCUCCUAUCGUUGUCAAAGAGAUGUUAACGCACUCAUUUGAAAACAUACUCCUUUCUAUACUCAUCAAAAUAAUUAACUUAAAAAAUAAAACAAAAAGACACAUAGGACUAGAAAACCUGCAUACCUUGUUAUCAACAGCAAGAGCAUUGUUUUCAGGGAUUGGAGAUAAAGCCCCCCAUGGACCUCUAAAAAGACGGCAGUAAUUUACAAGAAAUGUCAAAGGAAGUAAUGCUGGGGACUUAUCAUAACCCAUGUUCGAAUCAAUAUUAACACAAUCAGGGGAACAAAAGAGUUGCCACCACGUGUUUUUUUCGUUUCAGUAACUUACUUAUGUUGAGGAUUCACAAGGUCAAGUACUGGCUUCACGUGCUUUCCUACAUAAACAGGAAAACAAAUGUAAAUAAAGUAAAUCUUAAUCCAUGGAGUUAGAACCACAUUCAAAAUUCACACACAAAAACAACAUAUCGGAUUAAAAAACGCAAUGCAAUGUUAGUGAAAUAGGUAGUAUUUAAGCCGUCAAAAACCGAAAUCACCUUGCAAAUGAAGAGGCACACAUAAUUCUUCGCAAUCCUUCCACCUCCAUCCUUGAAUCUGUCCAUCGUCGCCGCAACUACAUGUAAAAACUCCGAGAAAAAAAUCAAAUGGUGUAAACAUGCUGAAACAAAGAAAUUACUAAAAGAAAAUGGUUCUUUCUAGUCAAUUUAGUAUGAACAUACAAUCCAACCUCAGCAAAACAGAAUCUUCACCAUUUCCGUAAAACUUAACAUCGUAAGCAGGCCCUCCAUGCGCUUAGCAAGUAAGUUCCGCCAUUAACAACCUACAACCAAAAUUCAAAUUCCACCACAAGUAAAGCAAAAAUCAGCUGCUAUCAACAGUCAAUACAACGUCGAAGAAGCACAAACAAUGUAAAGGUCAGGCAAUACUUACUGUGGAGCUUUCACAUUGCUAAAACCCAGUGGCUGCACCCAAAAUCCAAAUACAAAAAUUACAAAAAUUACAAAAUUAAAAUUAAAAAAUUUAAAAUGAGGACGUACGAGCUUGGAGAUGAGGAAGGGGAUGGAGUAGGAGGAAACCGAUCCGUAGCUGGAGGCGACGACGACGGUUUCGGGGCUAGGGUUAAGCGACUGAGCCCAAACGCUUCGGGUUUGGAUCUCCAUCUCCUUUAAUAUGGAUUCUCUGUACACUUCUUCGUCCCAGUUCGUUGCGUCACCGCACCUGGUGGUUGAUUUGGUGGCGGAAGGCAGGAAAUUCAGCUGAGCUUGGUGAAAAUCUCUGAGCAUUUUUCAGUGUUUGGCCAUGGCUUCUGGUGGAGCGGAAAUCAAACAUGGACUAACCGGUUAGGCUCAAAUCAUAAGUGGGCUGGAUAUGGAAGAACACAUUUUAAUGGGAUUUUCUCGUGUGUACUGUAGGCCCAUCGCCCAAGCUUUGGUUCGGUAGUGGUACACGAGAUUGAGGCCGACGUUUGGAUCCAAUAGGGAGGGUGGAAUCCAACUUGAAAUGGCAUUUAAUUUGUUUUUGUAACAUUUUAUGCAACUCCCCCAAUAAAUCCUAGUUGCAUUUCCUUCUCUAUCUUCGCUCUCACGUGAUCGAUAAUUAGGAUAGAAAUUUCAAAAACAUUUUGUACCCGACAUAAAUUUGCUUGAAAGUGUUUUUAAAACGACAAUUCUAGAAAAAUAAGUGCUUUCUAAAUAAUUGGUGUUUCUUUUAAGAAAUAAGAAGCAAGUGCUUUUAGAAUUUAAAAAUAUUUUUUCUAAUAUUAUUUUCAAUUAUUAUCUAUAUUAACUUAAAAUAAUUAAAAUAAAAAUUUUAAGUGGAUAUCGUUAAUUAACAACAAUACGUGACAGUGAAACCGCGGUAUUUGUUUAGGAUUAGGAUGUAACAAAGGGUUGAAUCCCUCAAAUGUCACUAAAAGAAAAAUGGAUAGCAAAAAUAAAGUUUAGUCGAUGAAAAUCAUAAAAUGGUAAAGUCCCUCGUUGGCGAAUAUGCUGCAGAAAUCCAUACAGCAGCGCAACUCCUUGUAUUCUCCCCAACCCCAGCGGCAACUUCAAAGCCGCUUGCUUCCACCAUAAACCCUACGCGAUUCUCGUUCCUUUUCGACGAACCCGAAUCGAAAUCAGGAUCUGUUAAGCCCUAAUCGCGGCAAUCUCACGGCAUCGCGAGCUCCGUCCGCUGAAACUGUGAGUGCAUUUCUCGCUCUUCGCGUUAGAUUUAACAGAUCUGUUGAUUGUUCGUGUGGAUUUUUACUGUCAUGGGUCGGUUUUAACAUAGGAAUUGGAUUAGAAAAGAUUAAUAUUGGGGGGUUUUCUGUGGAAUUUGCUAUUCUUGAAAUGUUGGUAUGGUAAAUUUUCCCCCAUUUUUUAAUCGGUUGGAUUUGGUGUGCUUGCUCUUGAUUUGUAUCUGUUGUUUUUUUUUUUAUUCAGAUAGCAAAGAUUUUCGGUUAGGAAUCGAUUCGAUUAAGUAGUUGCAAUGAGUGAUAACAAUUCGCCACCUGGGUCUCCUAAGGAGGCAGAUCAUGAUUCUGAUGCAAACCAACUUGUUAAGGAUGAUAGCUCAUUGGAAACCUUAGUCCGAAAGUUCCAAGAUUCGAUGUCGGUUGGGAAAAAGCACACAUUUUGGGAGACUCAACCGGUUGGGCAGUUUAAGGAUCUUGGGGAUGUGAGUUUGCCUGAGGGACCGAUUGAGCCCCCUACCCCGUUGUCUGAGGUCAAGCAAGAGCCGUACAAUCUGCCAACUCAGUAUGAAUGGACCACGUGUGAUCUGGACUCGGAAGACACCUGCACUGAGGUCUACAAUCUGCUGAAGAACAAUUAUGUCGAGGAUGAUGAGAACAUGUUUAGGUUCAACUACUCGAAGGAGUUUCUUAGGUGGGCUUUGCACCCUCCUGGUUACUACAAGAGCUGGCAUAUCGGGGUUCGUGCAAAGACUAAUAAGAAGCUGGUUGCUUUCAUUACUGGUGUUCCUGCUAGAAUCCGGGUCCGUGAUGCAAUCGUGAAAAUGGCUGAGAUUAAUUUCUUAUGUGUGCAUAAGAAGCUGAGGUCGAAGAGACUUGCACCAGUUAUGAUCAAGGAGGUCACGAGGAGGGUGCAUUUGGAGAACAUAUGGCAAGCAGCUUACACCGCUGGAGUUGUUCUUCCAACUCCGAUUACAACUUGCCAGUACUGGCAUAGGUCUUUGAACCCAAAGAAGCUUAUUGAUGUUGGGUUUUCAAGGCUUGGUGCGAGGAUGACUAUGAGCCGAACCAUAAAACUUUACAAGCUGCCAGAUUCACCCGCUACUCCUGGAUUCAGAAAAAUGGAACUUCGUGAUGUUCCUGCUGUUACUCGGCUGCUAAGGAACUACUUGAGCCAGUUUGUGGUCGCACCAGAUUUCGAUGAAAACGACGUCGAGCAUUGGCUUCUUCCAGAGGAGAAUGUGGUGGACAGUUACUUGGUUGAGAGCCCAGAGAAUCAUGACAUCACUGACUUCUGCAGCUUCUACACUCUUCCUUCGUCAAUCCUCGGCAAUCAGACGUACUCAAUCUUGAAGGCUGCAUACUCCUAUUAUAACGUCUCCACAAAGACUCCAUUGCUUCAGCUGAUGAAUGAUGCACUCAUUGUCGCAAAACAGAAGGAUUUCGAUGUUUUCAAUGCAUUGGAUGUCAUGCAGAAUGAGUCGUUUUUGAAGGAGCUGAAAUUUGGACCUGGCGAUGGGCAACUUCACUACUAUCUCUACAACUACCGGAUGAGGAACGCAUUGAAACCCUCGGAGCUUGGACUUGUACUCUUAUAAUUUUCCGGUCUUGGUUUUGCACUUCGGACUUGACAAAUCAUUUCUGUUUCUUUUUUCGGUUCCUUUUUCGUGGCUAGCUGUUGUUUUCAUUUGCCCUUGCUCCUUUGGAUUAUCAUCAAAGAAUAUGAGAUUUUGCAAUGCAUUUUUUUUUUCACCUGCAAUGCUUAGGGUUUAGGUGUUUGCAAUUGAAAUGGUUAUUUUGGAGCAAAAGUUGAGCUUGAAUUUUGAAGAUUUUAUUUGAUUCUUUUUAGCCUCUUCAUUUGGAUCACUGUUUAUUUUACCUGCAUGUUUCUGCAUUUCAUUCAUCCUUCCCCGCAACACGAAGGCACGUUGACUGUGGGGGGAGGAAAUCAAGCCUAGGACCUCCGGGGGACUAUGACGAAUAGUCCCGGAAAGUCAUUCUGAGUUAGGCUCAAACUCGUCAUUCAUGUGGAUUGGACACAAGACCUUCCGCUUACAGGUGAGAAGGACUAAACUGUAGUGUUACAGUGGCGUCGCAAUUAAUUUUAAAAACUAACAAAUCCACGAUAUGUAAGUGUUUAAUGAGUGUAAAGCUGUAGCUUAAUCAAUAGACGUAAUCAUAAAACUACAUGACUAAACCAGUGACAUUUUCCAACCAAAAAAAUAUAAGAGCGUGUGAUCUUUGAUAGACAGAUAAUUCAAAAACAAUUCUCCAUAUCACCAGACACCAGGUCCAGUCUGAAGAGGUUGUAUAACACUAUUAUUAGCAAAAAGAGCGAAAGAUAAUUUCGCUUCAGUUGCACCUCAGUAGCGAAAGGAAGUAUAGCGAAGAAACUUUACAAGCUCUAGUCACAUGAUUCAUAUCUCACGCCACCAUCAGGACUUCACCUUCUGAACCUGUCAAAUUUGGAAAUCGUUCAACAUAUAGUCAAAUGGAAGUGGGAAAUCUAUGCAAAUGGAUGCAAAUAAUUCGGACUUUUGGAUGUUACAUUGCUCCAAAAUCUCGUUAGCCAACUGCAUCAUUGAUUCUGUGUUUUCAGCCAUAAAAUUAAUCCUCUCUGCCUCUUUCAUUUGCUCUGCUGCCAAAUAUGAUCUGUAUUCUGCUUCGGCAAUGCUAUGUGCAGCAGCCCGCGCUGAUUCCUCUAACAUAUCACUACUAACACUCAAGGAAUCGGUUUUCACCUUGUAGCAGUUUUGAAUCUACAUUAGGAUGACAUAUUAAUUUAUAUAAGCUGAUAUUCAAUAUCGAUUUCAUAAAAAACAAAGCUUGCGAAUCAAACAUCGAUAGAGCCAGAUAAAUCCUGGGUUACAAAUAUCGAGUGAAUAACUUGAGAUGAAAAAUAUUAGAACUAUCAAGCAAUCACCUUUUCAAGUUUGUCUUGCAGAACCAGCCUUCUCAACCUACCUGUUAAUGACCUUCUAAAAUUUUGGGGGACCUCAAUCCUUUGCUGCAGGAGUAAUUUUAUCAUGGAAGUCAAGUGAUUAUAAAACGCGAAAAUUAGUAUCUAGCAUUAGCACUUCAUACAUCAUCAGAGACAUCAACAGUGAAUUGGAAGGUUUUCCUUGUAAAUUCUUUUUGGAAAAUCUCGUUCUCACCAGCAAACAAGUAUAAAAAAUAUAUCUGAAGGUAACCGAAAAAUAUAAUGAGCUCGACGGGUAUUGAAAUACUAACUUCGAUUUAGGUAUUAUCUAUCAAGUAGCUAAUAUGAGAAAUAAUAGGUUUACCCAUAAGGGAACUUUUAUUGGCACUCCAAAAAUCUAAUUGUGCACUCCUCAUAAGAGUAUUUUUCUUUCUAAAUAUAGAAAGUUUGGAGUACACAAUUAGAUUUUGGAGUGCCAAUAACAAUUCCCUACCAUGAUUAAUUGGAACAUAAAUCUACAAGAGUUUAUAUAUGAGCAAACUAUUAUCCUUCAUGCAAGCAAUUAUCAUUUCAUGACCUUACCACUCCAGUCAACAUGAGAAUAUACAGCUUCCUACUGAGACAACCAAUUAAUAAAAACUUAGAAGAUUCUUUUUAUUUCAUUUUUCUUAAAUAAAUAAAUAAAAAGACAUCACAAAUUUCAAGCAUACCUCAAUAUAGCUAGCAAUAGCACUAGUGUCCAAUCCAUUUGGAUCUGUUGAGGCUGAAAGAGCUUCAAAAAUCAUUGCAUUGCACCUAAUGUAUUGACCAAAAUGAAAUUAAAAACUAAUACUAAUAUUGAUAAAAGUACUCUGGCUAUUGGAGGUACUGAAUUUUAUUAUAUGCAACGGAUAAAUGUAGGUAUAUAUAAAACAAGGUACAAAAAAAAUCAUUCAAUAUACUUUGUUUCUUUAUUGUAAUCAACAGAUCCUAAGUUUGACAGGCUAAAAAUUAAUAAAGCAAAAAAUUAUGGCUAACCCUGGACUACACCAUCAUACAAUAUGGUUCCGGAAUAAAGCAAUGCAAGCCGGCCACUCAGCUAAUUGUUGCAUCGAGUAAAAAUUGUUGCAGAAAAUAGCUUAAUAGUCCAGAUUAUGCACCAGAAUUGCAGUUUCUAUUAGGAUGGGGUAUUUCUUCACUGGGGUUGUCUAAGAACAUAUUAUGACUAUAAUUUUAAAACCUGACAGUUUCUAAUUGAAGAUACUUUGGCAUCAUCAACAAUUAACUCCUUUCUUCUCCCCUUCACCCUCACUGAUUAGUUGGGCUGCCCCUCCCCAUAACUUUGCCAAUUCAUAAGAGUCUAAAGAGCUAUAUCAUUCCGCAUUCCAGUUGUCUUUUUUCCACUCAUCAUUCUCACAUGGAAACUGAGCAAAUUCCAGUCACGCAGUAUCACUGCAAAUAUAUUCUGUGAAAAACCCAGGUAACUAGUUGCAUAUUUUUCUAAUGUAUUAAUAAAAGACCAAGGCAAGGAGAAACAAAUAUCAUACACUGGUGCAGGAAUUGCAUCAGAUAAGCCGGUAGCCGAAUCAUCCGCAACAGGAGUUGUAUCACGUCUGACUGGAGUUUCUGUUGGUGCAUCGUGUCUGACUGGAGUUGCCGCUGGUGCAUCACGUCUGACUGGAGUUGCUGCUGGUGAAUCACGUCCGCCUGGAGCUGCUGCUGGUGAAUCACGUCUAACUGGAGCUGCUGCUGCUGGUGAAUCGCAUCUAACUGGAGCAGCAGCAGAAGUCUGGGGAACAGACACUGGAGCAACAGUAACAUCUUGGUUUGUUCUUGUUUUUGGCCUUGAUUUUUCCCGGGGACCCGUGCCACUAACAGUCAUAUUCCUCCAUUUGUCCUAUACAAGCAAAAAUCAAUUUGAAACAGACCAUAGACAUAGUAAUCAUCUAGAAAAUGUUUCAUACCACAUUAGAUACAGUCUACCAAUCGUUCUGAUAUAAAGCAAGAUUAGUUCAUUCAAAUAACAUCUUGCAAUUGGCGGUCAAAUUGGCGAAUUUCAAAUGCUUUUCAUAUAAAAUUACACCAUUCGCACGAUUUUCAUACCAUUCUCAAAAUUAUUUUCAUGCCUAUAUAACAUGUAGCCAACCGAUGAGGGAAAAUUGAAAAUCAAGUAACUCAAAGAGCGGCUCCCAACUAUCCAAUAAGCGGGCGAAUUUCGAACCGAAGUCCUAAAUCAACAAACACUAUGCCAGAAACAAUUAGCUAUUUGUAGCUCUAAUGGGUACACCAUUUUAGUCCAAAACUCCACUAAUCCAGACUCAGCCAUGCAUCAUCAUUAUAAUUAACUUUAAUCACAUCACAAAACCAGGCAAUUUUCAUUCUCUAAUCUCGCAUUUGAUAAAAAAAAAAAAAAAAACCAAAACAAAUAAAACCCAUUAUUUCAACAUCACAAAACAUUCAAAAACAACCACCACAAUAUACAGCAAAUUCAAAUUUUGGAUUUUCCAUAUACACAUCGAUAUAUAUGAAUAUAUAGAGGAGAGAGAGACCUUGAGAUCAAUAUUGGAGCGAGAGGAGAGGAAGGGGUUGAACUCGGGGUCCUUCUGGAUGUCCUUCCACUUGCCAGUGCCGUGUUUCCUAACCCCCGCUCUCAGAGCUUCUUCUUCCUCCACCGUCCAUUUUUGCUUCGGAUUACCCAUCUCUCUCUCCCUCCGUCUCUCUCUCUCCCUCUCUCUCUCUCUGUAUCGGCAGCACAGAGCCUGUGACUGCCGCGAAGAAGCUUUCACGUUUUCUUUCUCAAAAAAACGAGGGUUGGCUUCCGCACCACUUCUUCAACUACAUAUUGAAUCAAAGACGGUUCUUGAACGGCGUCGUUUGAACUGGAUUCUGUGCAGAUCUUAUAGGCCCGGUUCCGUAACUUUUGGCCCAUUAAGAAAGGCCGCGUCCAUGACCAAGGCAGAGGCUUCUAAGGCUUCGUUUGGCAACUCAGACUGUACUGACUAUUUCUGUCGGAUAGAAUAAAUAGUCAUCUGAUAGUACUGACUAAAUUAGUCGGGCGUUUGGUGCAGUAUCGGACUAAUGGUUGUAUUAUUUAUACCGUGUUUGAUAUUGAACCGGAUAGGACAAGGAAAAAAAAAAUAUGACAAAUCUUUGUUUGUUUGUUGAACUUUUCUCAUAUUUAUACCUAUUGAAAACCACAUAAAUUUUCAAAUAACAAAGAAAAAUAGUAUCAAAUUUCACAAGCAAGAUAUGCAUUUCUCAUUCUUCAAGUUCCAUUAAAAAUUAACACGAAAUACUAUCAAAUUUCAUACCUCUGAGCUACUAAGAAAGAACAAAUAGGCACAGGAAGUACUUCACCUAAAAGCACUUAAAUCGUAAGAAAGUUGGAGAACAAACAGAUUAAUCGCACAACCCAGUUAGCUAAACCCAGUAGAAAUAAAAAAACGCAUGCAGCCACACAAGUCCGACUAUUGAAAUAUCAAAACAUCACUGACAAUCCAUUUCUCUAAAAGCAUCAGAAACUCGAUGCCCAAUUCACAAAACCCACCCAAAUUUGAUCAUGGUGGGUGCAAAAUCUUAAACAUACAUAGCAAAAAUAAGAACCCAUAUGAAUAAAAAUUGGAACUUUAUACCAAAAUUGAAGAGGCGUACCAGGCGAGCGCUACAGUUUUUGGGUAGCCGGAAAAAAGCAGCAGCGUAACGAUAAAGACGAGGAGGAAGUUGGGGGCAAGUGGCGGGGAGAGAGAGUGAAGGGAGAGAGAGAGUGAGUGAGCUUCUGAAGAGGAAGAUAGAGCUUCUGGAGAGGAAGGACAUAGCGAGAGAAGCCAGGGAAGAAGAAUAAGAAAAAUGAAAAGACGAACUGUGAUGCAAACGAAGAAGAAGAAUUUGAGAAGAUGAACCUGGAAUUCAGACGAGAGAGGAGUGCGUCUGGAGAGGAAGAGAGAGUGUCUGGAGACUAUCGUCUGAAGAGGAAUGAGAGAGCGAGAGAAGCCCGACUAAAUUAUACCAUGCUUUUGGACGGUAUAAGGAAGAGGGUGAAGACCGUAUAAAAAGGUGGGUUCGGAUUAUUUAACCUCGUGCUUAUUUAAUCUAAACGGACACCAAACACUGUACUCCGUAUUAUUAGUACUAUUCGGUGCCUUAUACGGUGUGCCAAACACGGCCUAAAUGCACCGAGAAAUUUUAUCAAUACAUCCUUGUUUUUUACUCUGUAAUUAUACUUCUACCAAGAGACUUCUGUUGCCAAAAUUAGAUUAACCGAAAUCAACCCAAUUAAGUCCAAAUUUUAAUGCUCGCAAGCGUACAAAUCGUUAAGUAGUAUAGUAGGCAAGCACAAGAUCGUUCCAAUUAAGAUUGAAACAAUUCUAAUAAUAUAACUUAAUUUGUAUUGCACUUGAAUUGAAAUGGAAGAAUUGAUGAUUUGAGAAAGAACUUUGAAAUUGUAAACAUAAACAAAAAUCAAAUGAGCUUAAAUAAAUGACAAGAACAACAAAGAAAUCAAAUUAUAAAUCAAUUGCAAAAGACACUAGAACAUCUGAUUCACCAUAACCAAUCCAACUCAAUUCCUACAGUUAAUUAUUAAUGAGUAACCAUCCAAAUUGACAGUCUAGUUCCUCUAAUUCAUAUAGUAUCCAUGGCCUCCAGAUUACUAUGUAUACUCAUAUGUGCUAACAAUGUAUGGCAUCUAGAUUACUAAACACACAUGAGUUCAUUAACGAUUUGAGAACUACUUAAGAGACCGCAUGAAACCUAGUGUAUGACAUCUACAUCAAGGAAUUCAUGGUACCAUUUGUAAGACACUAAAACCGAAUUAACAACAUGGCAUCUGUGUUAACUGGCAUCAAAUACACUCAACUCAAACCAAAGUUGUGGCCAAUCACCAAGAUUAAAAUCAAGCUCAUAAGCACGGCAAAAUGAUACUCAACUUGAAUGAAAAUUCAUAAAUAAUUAAACUGAGAAAUUAAGAAUUCAUCGUUAGGCUACAUCGUAGCCCUAGCGAAAAGAAAUUAGUUCUGGAACAUAAUCGGAAAUAUUAUUGAAUUUGUUUGUACCAUACUUAGGGCCUCCGUAUUUAGAUCUCGUAUAAAUACUCAGGGGACUUAAAUGUAAUUAUGUAAUAAAAGAAGGGGCAAAUAUGUAAUACGUAAGGAGCUCUUAUUCUAUAAAAGGACCCCUCACCCUCACAAUUGAGGAGGUCAACUCUUAGGCCUAAAGCCCUCUCACCCUCUCACAUCCCCUCUCACAUUACAGAGGUUCUCUCCCUCACAAUCCUCUCAGAGAAAUACAAUAUCAGUGUGGGCGUAGCCCAAACAUUGGGGUGAACCACGAUACAUCUUGUGUUAUUUACAUUUCUUGCAGAUUCACGGUCGGAUUUACGUUGUCCCAAGACCUCUGGUUUUGUGCAUCAACAUUUGGCGCCGUAUGUGGGAAUCGACACAAAAAAUUACGUCUUUCAAGUUUUCACCUCCGUCGUGAAUCUGCAAAAUCACAAAAACCCAAGAAACCAAAUCUCUCUCUUUCUCAUCUCUCGGUCAAUCAUACAUAGAAACAAAAAACAAAAAGAAAACCUCAAAAAGUCUCUCAAACUAUCUCUGGCUCUCCACACAUAGAGAAGGAAGAGGUACGAUUUAGAAUCAGAAGCAUGCACAUAAUCUCCAUCGCCAUGGUCCGAGCCCUUCCACCUUCGUUGCUCUUCAUAAAUCGGGCUCAGCCGUGCAAGUCAGGAUCCCAAACCUCCUAAUCUUGGUGCCGAGACACUCACAUAAGCCUCGAGAUCGAAGACGACACCAAGUUCUCAAAUCCAAGAAGAAAAGUUUGGACCCCCAUCACAACAUCAUCAUCUGCUCUUGCUGCCGCCAGUUCAGCCUCACCCUCAGUCUCCGCCUCUUCAACAAGUGAGACCCACUCGGACCUCCGGAAGAAUCUCUAGGCGCCGACACCAUUUAUGGGUAGAAGAUCCGGUCUGGUAAUCAGAAUCGGGAAGCCUGAUACUGUUCUGAUGGAGUUGGCAAAGGCCAUAGGUGCCGACACCAUUUAUGCGCACAUAGAGGUUUCAGGGUUUAAAGUUAAGGAGGAGGAGAAGAUCGAGGCGGCAAUGAAAGAGGAGAAUAUGGAGGUUAAGUAUUUUUGGGGAAGCACUCUGUACCACGCGCAGGAUUUGCCAUUUAAGUUGGAGGAUAUGCCGACGAAAUACGGUGAUUUUAGAGAGAAGGUGAAAGGAUUAGAGGUGAGGAAGACGAUUGAAGCUUUGGAUCAGAUGAAGGGUCUGCCCUCAUGAAAAUGGCGACUGGGUAAUGACUGGAGAACCGGAGCAGAGGCCUGCCUCAUCAAUUCAGAAGGCAUGUUGCCACUUCCCAUUACAGCUGGCAUGCCAACUCGAUCUGCGAAUGGUUGACCAAAUACUAACCAAUCCUUUGUCAACCUCUUACUAACCCACACAGGGACACCAGAUCCAUUUCCUCUCUCUCUAGACACUCUUUGUGCUCUCCGCCCCCCAUUCUCUCCUCAAUUUCUCACUUCUUUCGAUACCAGAUCUCUCAUCUGUCGACGACAAUGACUUCCCUCGCCCAAGCUUCUGCUGCCCUUUCCACCUCUUUCAAGCCCACUUUGGCACCUAGCAGCAGGAGCUCUGGUUUGAAAUCAGUUUCCUUUUUCGUCACUGGAAAGCGUUUUCCAUCUCUGAGUUCCCAACCUGGGCGCCUCCAAAUUUCUUGUGCGGCCAAACCGGAGAUUAUCACCAAGGUGUGUAGCAUAGUGAAGAAGCAGCUGGCUUUAGCUAAAGAUGUGGAUGUGUCUGCUAGCUCAAAGUUUUCAGAACUUGGUGCCAAUUCUCUUGACACAGUUGAGAUUGUGAUAGGGCUUGAGGAGGCAUUUGGCAUCACCGUGGAGGAAGAAAAUGCCCAGACCAUCGCCACUGUUCAAGAUGCAGCUGAUCUGAUUGAGGAUCUCGUUGCGAAGAGUGCUUAAUGAAGUUUGCAGAAAACCAACACAAACAUGAAGCUUUCGAGCCAAAUUGACGUGAAUCAGGAGGUGGGUUCUUCUGUAAAUGAUUGUUCUUGGUCUCUGUUCGAUGAUCUUUAUUUUGAUACAGGCUAUAACGGUUCUGAAGCCCAUCAAGAGCAAGAUGAUCCCUAAUUAGAAUCAGCAACGGCAGUGGCGGAUCAAGUCGCCGUGGAGAAGGCCUAGACAUGGCACACCGCCGACCAGGAAAGCCAUGAGAGAAGGGUAACUUUUUAGUUAGCUGAGCUGAAUCUUACUGGUGGACGGUAUGGGUGUGUUUGUUGUAAAGCAGGCAUGCAAAUCUGCAAAGGAGCAUGCUCUGAAAAAUGGACCCAUUAUUCUUGAAAUGGACAUUUACAGGUACCAUGGUCACUUUAUGUCUGGUCACACAUGAUGAAAUUUCUGGCAUAAGGCAGCCACCCAAGUUUUCAUACAUGCAAGUGGAGAAACAAAAGCAAAAGAGAAAGCAAAAGCAAGGAAUAAACACCCCACCAGAAUGAUGUGAUUUACUUUUCUUGAUGUGAUUUAUUUUUCUUAUCUUUAGGAGACAUCUGUAUAAACCCCAUCAGAGGGUAAAAAAAAAAACAUCAAGCCCAAAAUAAUGGGCUGGAAUGUUAUGUGGAGGGCCAAGACCCAUAUGCCCAAAAGAGCUAGGCCCUAUGGCGCCAAAAUUAUCCGGCAACCUGCCGCCCUUAUAACUAACCACGUGAUCAAAAGUACGCCCAUUACUCCAAAUUUAUUCGGCAGCCUGCCGCUAUUAUCACCAACCAAGUGAUCAAAAGUACGCCCAGUACUCCAAAAUUAUUCAGCAGCCUGCCGCUAUUAUCUCCAACCAGGUGAUCAAAAGUACGUCCAGUAUUUCAAAUUAUACAUGAGCAUUACUCAUGUCAAUCAUACAUAAACAUUCAUGAGCAUUACUCAUAUCAAUCAUACAUAAACAUUCAUGAGCAUCACUCAUGUCAACAUCCAUGAGCAUCACUCAUCUCAAUCAAUAUAAACAUUCAUGAGCAUCACUCAUAUCAAUCAGCUUCAAAAGCUUCAUUUAUAAAAGCUCUAGCUUCAAAAGCUUCAUUUACAGAGCUCCAGCUUUAAAAGCUUCAUUUACAAAAGCUCUAGCUUCAAAAGCUUCAUUUACAGAACUCUAGCUUCAAAAGCUUCAUUUACAAAAGCUCUAGCUUCAAAAGCUUCAUUUACAGAGCUCUAGCUUCAAAAGCUUCAUUUACAAAAACUCUAGCUUCAAAAGCUUCAUUUACAGAGCUCCAGCUUCAAAGCUUCACUUGCAAAGCUUCACCUACAAAGCUUCAGUGCAGGAUAUACAAAUACCGCCUCCGAACAACCGCUACUUCGGCCCAUACAUGGAUUCAAUUUGAAGUCUCCAGCCAACAUACUCUAUUGACCGAAGACUUGAGGGAUUACACUAUGUACCAUAUAGUGGGUCUCAUAAAAAAAUACUUGGGGGACUUAGCCCAUUAUUCAUGUAUUGAGAAGCGAGCCAUUAUUUUAUAAAAGGGACUCCCUCACCAUCAUUAGAGGGCAUCAACUCUAGCCCAUUAUUCAUGUAUUGAAGAGCGAACCUUUAUUCUAUAAAAGGGACUUCCUCACCAUCAUUAGAGAGCAUCGCCGCCUAUUGAGCAACCACCUCGCCGCGAGCAUCAACUCUAGCCCAUAUUUAUGUAUUGAGGAGCGAUCCCUUAUUCUAUAAAAGGGACUCUUUCACCCUCAAAUGCCGCAAGCCGAGCCAACCAAGACAACAUAAGCCACAAACCGAGUAGCCUUACAACAUGUGCUACUUCUAGUUGAGCAUCAUUUCACUUUGAGCAUUGCCUCAUAUCAAGUAUCAGUUCAAGACGACAUCUAGUUACUUCGGCCCACACAUAAACUGAAUUUCAAGUAUCUAGCCAAAAGACUCUCUUGACUGAAGACUUGGGGGACUACUGUUUGUACCAUACUUAAGGCCUCCGUAUUUAGAUCUUGUAUAAAUACUCAGGGGACUUAAAUGUAAUUAUGUGAUAAAGGAAUGGGCAAAUAUGUAAUAAGUGAGGAGCCCUUAUUCUAUAAAAGGACCCCUUACCCUCACAAUUGAGGAGGCCAACUUUUAGGCCUGAAGCCCCCUCACCCUCUCACAUCCCCUCUCACAUUACAGAGGUUCUCUCCCUCACAAUCCUCUCAGAGAAAUACAAUAUCAGUGUGGACAUAGCCCAAACAUUGGGGUGAACCACGAUACAUCUUGUGUUAUUUACAUUUUUUGCAGAUUCACAGUCGGAUUUACGUUGUCCCAAGACCUCCAGUUUUAUGCAUCAACUUAAUUCAUAAAAUUAAAAGGAAAAAAAGUAAGUUUAGAAAAACCUGAAAAUCUCUUGCUUGCCGCUGCCUUCUUCCCUUUGAUCUCUACCUGCCGCAACCUUUUGCUUCCAUCAUCUUAUUUUUAUCUGCUUGCUUCUUCCCUUUAUUUCCUUUCUUCAAUGAUCAAUAAUGAUCAGCCCCACUAUUGAUGAAUUAAUUCCAAGCACUCCAGCUGUUCCUCUUUCUUUUCCUUUGCUAUAACCGACGAAAGCUUAGCACCAACGUAUUCUCGAUCUUGUGCCUUUUCAGUUUACUCACUGUAAUAUGUCGUUGGCUUCUUUCAUGGUCUUUGCGAGAGAAAGGCAUGACUAAUAUUUGUAUUAGAUGCGCUGAAAAGAAUAGGGUUUUCCUUCUCACUUUCUUAUAAAUAGUCAUGUGACUAAUGGGAGGAUAAGGGCAAAGCUCUUAUGAAUGCAAUUCCUCUCUCUUUUAUCAUCCUUCAUAAAAUUCAAAUGAUAGAAAUGUAUUACAUAAUCCAGUUGCACAUGUAACAGCUCUUAAUAUGUCAACAGACAAAUAAUUUAAUAAUUAGAGCAAGGGAUCAAUGACAAUCAAAACAUUCUCCAAAUUCACUUGACUAGCAAUUAUAGAAUUUUAAUAUGAUUUUUUCCAUCUCAUUAAUCUAGCCACAAAACACAAGAAACAUGCAAUUCCUUUCAUUUAAAUAAAAAAUAUCACAGGAAAAUGUUAUUCUCGGGGUAAAGUAGGUAGAAUAAUUUGCGCUUAUCAACUUCGAUAGGAUAGCCUAGUUAAGAGGACAAUUCUUACAUCAUAUGAGAAAUGUGUGGAGUCCGACCUGAAAGAAAAUAUAAAAAAAUUAUAAAAUGUACGUUACAAAUAACGUGUACUUAAAUUAUUUUUUCUAUUCACAAUAACAAAAGAGAAUUGAGCCUCUAGUAUUUAAAGUAUUUAUUUUCAAUAUUAAUAUAUUGUUUUGAGUAAAGAUGCUUUCCACAUGAAAUGAUCAGAAAAAGGAAGUUUCAAAGGGAAAAUGUCUGGAGUGAUGAGGCUGCCGGCUUUCUUUCCUACCGUCCUAUCUCUCUUUUUAUGGUAUGUUUUACUCAUAAGAAUGAGAAUAUAAGGUAUGAGUAUUUAAUUUAUUUCUAAUAUUUUUUUUUUGUUUAUUAACACACAAAAAUGAAUAAAUAAGUGAGUCUUAAUUUAAAAUAUGUACCCAUUUUCAAUUUUAAUAAAGUAUCAUUACCAGUAGUGAUAUGUUUAUCUUAUGUUUGAACAAUUUAGGUGUCAUUCCCUCUUUACCCCAUAUCACUCCAAUUCCCAAAAAUAUAAGUAAAUGUUAACGUGAAAAGAUGUUCCAAGUUUGAAUUUAGUUCUCAAUUCAAUCUUUUAAACCCUUGUCAUCCCCAUUCUCACGACAUGUUCAAUACUAAUUAGAACGUGAGCAUUCAACUUAAAACUAUUUAACAAAUAUGACUUUAGCCCCUGAAAUUUACUUUUCUCCACAUAAAACCCGUCAUAAGUUUUUUACUCAAAUAAAUCCUAUUGACUAGAUUCCACAUCAGCAAAUUUAUUAACUAUAUUUGACUUUACACAUAUAAAAAAUUUUGAUGCCCAAAACACCCCUAUUUGAAUGUUUGAUGUACACAAGUAGUUCCAUACAUAUUGUAAGGGAGAAUUAAUGAUUUUACCAAAAUAAUAAAUAAUAAAUUUAUUGCCUAAUAUAUAAUAACAACAAAACAUGCCUAAGUCACAUCCCGGCCCGGACCCCUAUCACAUCCCGGGCUCGACUCCGCCGUAACAUGAUAUUGUCUGCUUUGGACCCUGACCACGCCCUCAAGGUUUUGUUUCUAGGAACUCACACAAAAACUUCCCAGUGGGUCACCCAUCAUGGGAUUUCUCUCGCGCGAACUCGCUUAACUUCGGAGUUCCGAUGGAAUCCAAAGCCAGUGAGCUCCCAAAAAGCCUCGUGCUAGUUAGAGAUGAGAAUAUACAUAUGAGGCUUACAGGAUCCACUUCCCUGGGCGAUUUGGGAUCUUACACCUAAUAUAUGUAAUAAUACAUGCUUAGUUAAGUCAAUAAAUUAUAUUUUACAUAUAAAUGUAGGUAAAUUAUUUCACACACAUAUAUAACAAAAAAGAAAAAAAGAAGCCUGGUAUAUGUAAAAAUUCAUGCAAAAUAAUUUACCUACAAAAAAUGUUAUUUGAUUCAGUGCACCUACUAUUCGAAUUUUAAAAUGUUAGAUUGCUUAAAAAAAGCAAAAUAAUUUCCCCACUAUAUGUAAAAUACAUGCAAAAUAAUUACCUACAUAAUAUAGCAAACCCAAUGUAUGCAAGAUAAUGUACCUACAUAAAAAAAUAUUAUUACUUUAUUCAAUAUUAUUUUACCUAUUAUUUUGUACAUAUAAUAAUAAAAUGUGCCCAAUAUAUAUGAUGAUACAUACAAAAUAAAAUACCUACAAAAUAUAUGUUAUUUGCUCAUCAUAAAUUUACAUAUAGGUAGAUUAAUUAGUAUAAUAUGUUUGAUCAUAUAUGUAGUACUGUUGUUUGGGCCCAAAAUAUUAGUUUGGGCCGAGUGUAGAGUCAUUCUCGGCCCAGGAGGCCUUACGACAAGGUUACCAUGGAGCGUUUAGUUCGUGGGCUUUCAAACCUAGAUCGGUUAAGCCAUACUGCAAGAUGAGUCGAAUCCUGGCGCAAUAAGGAGUCUCGGCGAGAUUAAUAACCCGGAAGUGAAUCCGGCUUGAUGAAGGGAUAGGUUCAAAAUCCUGAUGGGAGUAGGAGUACUCAAGGGGAUGUUUGAUUAGAAGAAGAAAUCCUAAUCCGAGUAGGUUGUUAACUCGACCUAGAAGGUACAUUACUACUAUAAAUACAAGGCGUUGUGCAGUGUGAGAAGCCCUCAAAUUCAACACACAACUGCCUUGCGCAAACUCUCAACAACUUGAGAUUUUUUAUUUUCUCUUUUCGCUGACACAUCUUCCGUUGGCAUUAACAGCACUGUGAAAGCAACUGGUGAUAUCUUCAGUCGACAUAGAUAGCUCUGUCGUCGUAGAAUCAGCCGAUCUCGCAACAUCUUCCGUUGUCAUUAACAGCACUGCGGCGAGGACGGUUGGUUACCUAUCCAAGUCUCGGUCGAGAAGGGUUUCCAAAUCCUUAUUGAUUGAGGUCAUCCCAUUAGCCUUCUCGGCGAAGUGAGGUGUUACAGCUUACUGAGCUGGACGCAUUGUACGCCGAGUUAUUUUAUGAUUGGAUAUUCUCAAGUAGGAUUUAAAGUUCGGCAUUCAGACGGCUGAACCACGUUCACUAUUAAGACUCAUAUCUGCUUUGAGUAUUUGUGCCCUUACACUUUGGUGUCGAUUCGGCAUGAGUUUACUCUGACGAAUACCAUCAUUGUGACCAAAUCCAACGACGACGAUUCGUGAACUUCGUAAGAAUAGUAGCCUUGUCUUCAAGUUCGAGAACCCAAGAGGCCGAGACGUGUUCCUUUCUCGGCCGCAAUCGCAAGACUCAGAAGUCAGCUGCGCACCCAACGCAACAUCAACAAAUUUACUCCUCGGCCGAGCUCGGCCGAUGAGUUGGCAUGCCCCGCAUUCAAUUGAAGGACGUAGUUAGCUCAUAGAUUACUUGGUCUACGCGCCACGUAGGCUUGGUAGUUUUUAGGGUCAACAACUGUACAUACAUACACACACACACACACACACAUAUAUAUAUAUAUUUGAACGUAUAGUAGUACUAUAUAUAUAUAGGUAAACUAUAUAUAUAUAUUGAGUUUAUGGUAGUACUAUAUACAUUUGAACAUAUAUAUGUGUGUGUUAGGGGUAAUAAUAUGCAAUAAAUUAUUUGUUCAUUGUAAUUAAGGUGAGUAAUAAUAUUUAUUGAUUUAUUUUGAAUUUGUGGUACAAGUUGUAAAUAUUUUGUAUUAAUAGGUCAAUUACUUUCCUACAUGACAAUCAUUUUUAAAUUUGGGUUUUAUUUGGAUGUUUAUAAUUAGGUGGGUUUUUAUAUAGGAAAUAAGAGUUGCAAGGGUCUCUGAGGCACAUAUAGGAAGAGAUAUAAGCUGGUACCAUGGACUGCGUUGCGGCAAUGACAGCGUCGUUUUGCUCGACCUGGAGGGUGAGGAGAAGAUGAGGACUGGCGAGUAGAAGGGAAGGUCUUUUUUUUCCGUUAUGGGUUGUGCAACAAGGUUUCUCUUCUGCGAGUGAGAGCUUGUGCGGGAGGGGCAGGCGCCGGUGUGAGCAUGACGGUGAAGGAAGGGUUUGCAGACGAGGAGGAUUUGGAUGAAGAGCGGCGGGCCGAAGCUGCUUUUAGAUCAAAUGCUAUAAAACAAGGCCAUGGCGAAGCAACCCAAGCUCGCUGACAAGGUUUAUCUCUCUCUGUCUCUGUCUCUGUGGCUUUGUGGCUUUUUAUUGUAUGUGUAUUUAGUGAAAUAUGGGCGAAUGGUUACAGAAUUUUUAACCGCAAAUAAAACACUAAAUAUCUACUAAAUGACACUACGUAUCUUCGACUGCAGGUGCACUGUUAGUUUCUGAAAAAACUAGGGUUUACUGAUAUUAGGGUUAGCAAGAAUGCAUGCAUGUGGAAUAUGUUGGUAGUUCAAAUGCAAAGUUGAUCCGAAUAUAGAUUUGAUUUACAAUGGAAGCAAAAGUGGUUCUUGACAACCAUAAACAUUUUUAACUACGUUUAGGAUUAGUAAUGCUAUGUAUUUGUACCAUACUUAGAGCCUCUGUAUUUAGACUUCAUAUAAAUACUCGGGGGACUUAAAUGUAAUUAUGUAAUAAAUGAAGGGGCAAAUAUGUAAUAAGUGAGGAGCCCUUAUUCUAUAAAAGGACUCUUCACUCUCCUCAUUUGGGGGAGGCCAAGAUUGAGGUAAGGAUUUAGGCUAUGGGAAGAGAGAAAAUAGGCUAGAGAGCACACUGCCUCUAGCCUUCUUGUAUGUUCACCAUUCAGAGUGAAACAAUAUCAACAUCAGUGUGGACGUAGCCCAAACAUUGGGGUGAACCACGAUACAUCUUGUGUUCUUUACUUUCUUGCAGAUUCACGGUUGGAUUUACGUUGUUCCAAGACCCCUCCAGUUUUGUGCAUCAACAUUUGGCGCCGUCUGUGGGAAUUGACACGAAAAGCUAUGUCUGUUCUCUUUCAUUUUUUCACCUCCACUGUGAAUCUGCAAAAAACCUAAAAUACACCGAAAAACGUCCCACCAGUUUCUUUGAGAAGCAGAAUCAGUACCUCUAAUCUACUUCAUUCUCCUCCAAGAACCACCAGCUAAACUGUCGUACACGCUUUAAACCUCCAACUUCAAUCCCCCCUCUCUUACCUGUUCUUUCUCUCUCUACCUUACUCUCUUUAACUCUGCUUUCUCUCUCUACCACACUCUUUGUCUCAGAGUGUCUUUAAACCGCUUGGAAACUCGCUCGCUGGCGGCUCGCUCAUUCAUAUCGCCUUCUUAGGUUUCGUUGGUUCAUUCCUUUGGUGCGUUUGGCUAUGGCAGACGAGAUUGUGGUGGGGUCCGCUAAUUUACCCGUGAAGAGGCCUAGGGAGGAAGAAGAAAACAGAGUGGAAGAUGCUACUUCAACCGUGUCCAUGGAGACUGACGGUGGCAAGAAGCCGGAUUCUGUCUCCGCUGUUAUUCUCAGCUAGUUCUCUAAGAUUAGCCCAAUGUGGCCAGACUCCAGACAUCGUUCAGAAGAACCAGAGGAAUAAGAACAAGCCAACUGGGUUUUCUCCAAACCCUCAAAAGAACCCUGUGUCAGGGGAAAAAAGAGGAUUCUCUGACGCCAUUGAUGGGUGUUCUGAGAAAUGGUCUUUUACCGUGACUAAUGGAUCUGAGGUUGAUGUGGGUAAAGCAGUAGGCUUGAGUUCUCCAUUAGCCAAAAAUGAGGUUUCUUCUGUUCAUCUGUCGCCAAAGCCAGCAGCUCAGUUGGAGAAGAGGAACACUCAGGCCUCUGAGCAUGCUAUUGCUUCUCCUUCUUGCAAGUCCGUUGAUCUCACUCUCCUCCACUUCACCACCGACUGUCUCUCUCUACAAUGUCAGCAACAACGGCGUUACCACCUCCAAAUUCUCCGCCUUUCAACCGAGGCUGGCCAAGCGCUCUUGUCUUCGUCUGAGCUCACUCCACCGCAACCCUAUCAAAGUUUCGAUUAGUGGAAAGAAAGAGUUUGUGGUGAUGAAGGGUAAGAGGAGGGGAUCGGGUGUGAUGUGUUACACUUACACUGCACCUCUCUCUGUCAACACCUUCUAGUUUAUCUCCACCAUUUUUACUGCGAUUUUGUUGCUUGUAAAAGGGACUGCUGUUCAGAAAUCAUUUCUUGUUCCCUUAUUUCUUCUACAAGCGCCGGUUGCAGUCAUCUCAUGGAUUAAGGGUGAAUAUGGUAUCUGGGCUGCAUUCCUAGCCCUUCUUGUCCAUUUCUUCUUCUUUAUCCGAUUUUAUUCAAUUUACCAGUGGGGAUCAACCCAUUUCUCGUAAUCUACCACCGUUGAGGAUGAAAAGGGUUUGGAUCAGGUGCAUGCAAGCACAGGUGGGUUGAUGACCUUCAAAGAAGUGGUUGCGGAGCUCAUGAGUGAUGACCUCCAAAGAUGCUUUUUACAAAUAGACAGCAACGCAGAGACAGAGACAGAGACAGAGAGAAAAAGGCGCAGUGGAAAGAGAAAAGAAAAAGCAAAAGGAUGUCUGGAAAUUGAGUGGGAAACAAAAGCAGAAAGAAAAGCAGAAAGUAAAAGCAAAAAGCAAAAGCAGAAAGCAAAAGAAGAUAAAAAGAAGCAGACAUAAUUGCGGUGGUGAUGGCAUGCAGAAAAGGGAAUUAUAGGCGUGACCCAUUGAGCAAAGGGUCAGAUUUAUUUUUGAAUGAUGUGAUUUAUUUUUCUUAUCUUUCGGAGACAUCUGUAUAACCCCAUCAUAGGGUAAUCCAAAAAAAAAAGGGCAAGCCCAAAAUAAUGGGCUGGAAUGUUAUGUGGAGGGCAAAGACCCAUAUGUCCAAAAGAGCCAGACCCUCUAUUAUCUCCAACCAGGUGAUCAAAAGUACGUCCAGUACUACAAAAUAAACUAUUCGGCAGCCUGCCGCUAUUAUCACCAACCAGGUGAUCAAAAGCAAGGUAUAAAAAAUUGAUGAUAUCGGAAAUAUCGGUAGUCCAAAAACACGGAAAUUUCGAUGGAAAUAUCGGGAUAUUAUCGAUAUCGAUAAAAAUUGAAUAAAAACCACGGAAAUUGUAAGAAAAGAGGGAAUGAAAGAGGGUUGCUCUUCAAAAUCCACAGUACACAGAAUGACACCCCUCUUGCACCUAGUGUGAAGCAACGAAAGAAGGAAGGAAAGAGGGUUGCUCUUCAAGCUAUAGUCGAUGAGCUAGAAGCUCAAAACAACAAAAUAGCAAUGAAGAAUGAGGUCCUCCAGGAGCAGUAUGAGAAGCUCUUUGAGACACUCCAUGAAACUAUGCGUACUCAAACACGCGAGCUUGUUGCCUCUGUGGACAUCAACCAUCAUCUGGGUGCCCCCCAACAUGGAGGGUCAUCUUCCUUCGACAUGGGUAUCCUUGAUGAGGAGCAAGCUAAUCAUCAAAACAUUGAUCAACAUGAGACUUCUCUCAACCCAGCUGUUUCGACCCGAAGCAGGAGAAGUAGAGGAAGACACCUCAUUGCAGAAGGGUUGGAAGGAUCGAAAGCCGUUUAUCGUGACUGCCAAGACUUCCUAAAGCAACGUCGAGAGAAUCCCCUCCACAUAUGCUCGAAGAUCAAUGACCAAGGGUUUCUGAAAGACUCGGUCCCCUCCCACGACCCAGGCCAGCUGCCAAUCUAGGGAAGGAACGACAUGUCCUAAAGGAACAUGAAGGUACAGGGGACUCUGAGGUAUUCCGACAGACUCGCCCAAGAAGUCAGUACGGCGAGUCCAAGGAAAAAUCACACGCCCUUGCUCAAACUUUCCUACUUCAAAGAGGCGAUGAAGACUUACAAAAGAAAAUCUCAGUGGUACAUGACUCCACUCAAGACCCCCUUGUCCUACAGCUCAUUGAGGAAGUAAACAAGUUGAAGGACGCACGUCAGGCCGAGAUACCUGACUAGAACCAACCCAAGCCUGGCCCUCUCACAAGGAGGAUCCUUGACACCCCCUUCAAGCGAAGACAAAACAAAAGCUUGGUUUACAACUCUAUACUGGAAGGGAUGACCCAAUUGAACACCUUAACCUCUUUGAGUCCACCAUGGCAUAUCGGAUGCACACCGACAAAGAGCGAUAUCUUCUUUUCCCUUCCACCCUCUCUGGCGGAGCUCUAAACUGGUAUUGUCGUCUUCCACCUGAGACAGUAGACUCAUUUGAGGAACUAAGGAAACUGUUUGUCUCUCAACACAUCUUCCAGACCGAUCGCUUACAUUCUGCAGAUGACUUGUACACUAUUCGCCAGAAACCGGACGAGUCACUACGAGAGUAUGUUGGUCGUUUCAACCAUGAGUAUUCUCGCUGCGCUAAGGAAGAUGACAAGACCGCCCUCAAAGCCAUCACGGCAGGCCUACGUGAUUGUUUCUUCAAGUACAUGAUCAAUGCCAACACUUGGAAGACUUACUCUGAGGUGAUGGCACAAGCUUACAACUAUGCCUCCACCGAGGCAAGGACAUAUCAAGGGAAACCCCCCACAACCACCCCUUAUCAGCAAGUAGGGAAUGGAAGCUAGAUCCAACCAAAUGAGAAGACCUCAACCUUUCAAACGACAUCGGUGCCUCCCCUUGCCUUACUUAAUACUUUGCCAAGUCAACAGACAUAUCAAUCUCAGGGCAAAAGGAAAGAUUUCCAUCCUCACCAGUCUUAUUUUAGUAAAAAGUGUAAGGGACACUACCGUGAUAACAAAGGGUAUCGCUAUGAUAAUCCCCGACCCCAGGUAGUCAACACAGUGGGUCAAGCACGUGUCAGGAUAGCCCCUACCCCGAGGUAUGAGGUAUACACACCUUUGAAUGACACAUGUGUGGCCAUUUACCCCAGCAUAGCACACUUGAUACCGAAGCCAAAGCCGAGGCACCCGGAUUACAAGCCCACGAAGAAUACGGGCACGUUUUGCUGCUACCACGAGCAUAAUGGCCAUGACGGCGAGAAGUGUAUUACCCUUCGUGAUCAUAUUGAAGCUUUGGCACGUGAAGGAAAAAUUGAUCAAUUCCUCAUUCACCCUCCAAGGGGUAACCGUAGCCAAUGCCAGGUAAAUGUGAUAUAUUCCAUAAGUGGUGGCACACCCAUAUCUAAAUCUUCCAACAGGGCCAUAAAAAAUAGUGAAAGAGCUUUAAGGUCUGGCCACCAAGUGUUUCAUGUGGAAGACAUCAGGGGAGGUAAGUAUCAAAAGCCUAAUUGGGAUCCAAUAUGUUUCUACCCUGAGGAAGAAAGUGAAGGAAAUUUUGUGAAAAACAUGUUCAUUUGAGCAACAUCUAUAUAACAUGCAAUUAACAAUUAAAGGCGGAAUCAUGCUUGCAUGCACUUAAAAACAAAACAUUACCCAUGAAAUUCAAAGCCUAGUAGUUAGGUGAACCAGGACUCAACUCAAAACAAAGUGAGUUGAGAAAUUUAUACCUUUGUUGAUUCCUCUUUGCAUAAGCAAAUGAUAAUCACCCAAGAGAUAGGGCCUUCAUUCCUUGCUUCUUAUCUCCAUGGAUUUGGAUGGAAGAAUUGGUUUCUCCAAGUUCUCAAAGUUGAAAACCUCUAAGUCUUCACACCAAGGACAGAUUGAUGAAGAAAUGAGUGACCUAGAGGAAGUAAGAUUGCUAGCUCAAUUCCUCUAGGGUGGCCGGCCUCUUAGAGAGAAAAGAGAGCUUGUGUUCUCAUAUUUUCUCCAAAAGAAACCCUAAAUGAAUUUUGGCUAUAAAGUCAUAUUUAUACCUAUAUUCAUUGGAGUGGUAAACUUGUAAUUAAGUCCAAAACCCACUCCUUUAUCAAUAUGGCCGGCCAUAGGGUUUCAUUGGGCUUUUUAGGCCUUUGUGAAUUAUUUGUCAUUAAGUUGUCAUACAACUUAAGUCAAUGGGCUUGACGUUCGAAGCCCAUUGGGCCUUGAGGCCCAAAACUAACCCGUGGUCUUUUAACGAACUUUAUUCGUUUGAUUAAUUAACAUAUUAAUUAAUCAUUGCCAUAAAUAAUUAAACCAUUUAAUUAUCCUUACUCAUCUCCUUUGUUUUUUCAAUCUCUACCUAACACGGUGUACGAUCCAUUAGGUUCCUUUUAGCGAGGCAGUGGGCGAUUAGAACUCUUUCAAAUCGAUUGUGAAUUGAAACUUACUUUCAAUUCUCCCUUUAGUGAUUAUACACGUUUAGGGCUUCCACAAACCAUGAGUGACACUUAGCAGUAUGUCAUGGUUACCCAAGCUAAUCAGAAGAGGUGGAGAACCUAUUCAGUUUAGGAUUACAAUGCAAUACGGUCUUUCUCUAAUACAAUACUCUUGACCACAUUGUUUGGUUUGAUAGUUUAUUCAUGUCAACUAUCCAAUGUGAUUCAUUUACUUAUAUGAUUACCUUGAAUGUGAUUUGGAACGACUUCUUAAAUCUCAUUCAUACUCUGGCCAGAGAUUCUUAAUCAUAUCAUAGAGUAUUCUCCCUCAAACAGUUUGAAGGUUAGAGAUCCCUUGUUGCGCAUUCACUUGCCUCCAUGGCUAAGCGGCUUAACCCCAAUUAUGCCGUGGACACCCGCGAAUGGAGUGACUUUGACAUAAUCAAAGAUCAAGGACCUAACCACAAGACAACUAUGAUGCCCAGGUCAAAGGACUACUUUGCAUUAUCCCAACCAUGAGUUCUCAUGUGACAUGAGUAUGAGAACUCUUCGUUGAUCGUGUUCAGUGAACUCAUUCCUUAUUGAGCACCUACGUACUUGUCUUGGUGUCAGUCAUACCAAUGACUCGAGACCAGUCACUCUCACUAAGAGAAGACAUAGCACAUACUGAUCUUAACGGACUGUCAAUGCCCAAUUGGCAAUCCUAUGAUCAGGAACGUUUAUGAUAUGUAUACGAAAGAGAAUGGUCUCAUAAAUCUAACUUGUUUAAAUUACAUUCUCCUAAUUACAUAUUCCUUGGACUUAUCGUUUAAGCAUAGAACAUUUAUAUGAGACGGCUUAAAACAAUAAUCUUGCCCUUGAUAUUAAACUAGAUUAGUUUAACAUGUGAAAUGUCCGUAAAGUAUCAUCACAUGAUUGGUUUUAGGGCACAUUUCCAACAGAAAGAGGUAUCAUCUACCCUCACAAUGACCCACUAAUCGUGGAAGCUCACAUAGCCAACUUUGAAGUACGACGAAUCCUGGUAGACACGGGGGCUUCGGUCAAUAUCAUGUUUGCUGAAGCUUUCAGGGCACUUAAUGUAGCUGAACACUUGCUUGACCGCUCGAUUUCCCCUCUGAUGAGCUUCUCCGGUGAUAUCGUGCAACCUUUGGGGAGCAUACACUUACUUUUCACCAUUGGUACAGACCCUUACACAGCUACCAUUACCAUUAACUUCCUGCUGGUUGAUUGCCCAACGGCAUACAAUGUCAUCUUCGGACGCACAGGCAUCAUUGAUCUCAAGGUCAUGGUAUCCACACAUAUGUUGUUGAUGAAAUUUCCAACCCCCUAUGGCAAUGGUUACAUCAAAAGAGAUCAACUUAGUGCACGAUCAUGUUACAACACUUCAGUCAAGCAAUAGCACCUGCAUAUGCCCAAGGAAACCCUUUCUAUACAUGACCAAGUCAUAAAGACCAGCCCAGACGAAGCCAACUUGGAUCUUCACGGUGGCAACAGUCAACCUGACGAUCCUCGAGAUGACUUUUUCACCCAGCAAGCACAACCCGCUGAAGAGUUGAAGAAGGUCUCUAUCUCAAAAGAUUAUCCAGAUCGCAUGGUGAAGAUUGGUACCACCUUGUCACCACCCAUUCGGUUGACAUUGAUCUUUUUUUUUCAAGAGAACACUGAGGUCUUCGCCUGGUCAUACGAGGACAUGCCAGGCAUCUCUCCCGAUAUAAUCUGUCAUCGCUUAAGUAUUGACCCCAAAACUAAGCUAGUGAGACAGAAGAAGAUCUUAUGACGCUGAACGGUAUGAGGUAAUGAAGGCAGAAGUUGGAAAACUCAAAAGCAUAGGCUUCAUCCGCGAAGUCAAUUAUCCAACGUGGGUAGCAAAUGUUGUCUUUGUUAAGAAGAAUCUGACCAAGGAAAGUCUCCUGCUCCAAAAGGUCUUGUGGAGAAUGUGUGUCGAUUACACCGACCUAAACAAAGGAUGCCCGAAGGAUAACUUUCCUCUCCCUCUCAUAGACAGACUUAUAGACUCUACGGCAGGGUGUGAACUCCUGAGCUUCAUGGAUGCUUACUCAGGAUACAACCAAAUCCUCAUGAACCCUCUGCACCAAGAACACACAGCCUUCACUACUGACAGAGGACUGUAUUGCUAUAAAGUCAUGCCCUUCGGCCUAAAGAAUGCAGGAGCGACUUAUCAGAGACUGGUCAAUUCAAUGUUCGCCGAACAGAUUAGGAAGAGCAUGGAAGUUUAGGUUGAUGAUAUGCUAGUCAAGAGCAAACAUGUUGACCAAUACAUCACCAACCUAUCUAAAACUUUCACCAUUUUGAAGAGGUAUUGAAUGAGGUUGAACCCCAACAAAUGUGCCUUCGACAUAGGCUCUGGCAAAUUCUUAGGCUUUAUGAUAAGCCAACGAGGCAUUGAGGCUAAUCCCGAGAAGAUCAAAGCAAUCCUUGAUAUGAAGGAACCGGUAACUUCGAAAUACAUCCAGAGCCUUACUGGCAAGGUGGCAGCCUUAACUAGGUUCAUCUCUAAAGCCACAGACAGAUGUGCUCAUUUCUUCAAAGCACUUAAGGGAAGUAAGAAGUACAUUACAUGGACUGAUGAAUGUGCUGAGGCAUUCAAGAACCUCAAAGACUACAUGAGUAAAGCAUCUCUGCUCUCCAAACCUGAGGUUGGUGAACUCUCAUUAUCUAUCUGUCGGUAUCAGUUUCAGCAGUAAGUUCCGUUCUCAUUCGAAAUGAUGGUAAUGUCGAACAGCCUGUCUACUACGCUAGCAAGGCCUUACAAGAUACGGAGACACGAUACUCCAACAUUGAGAAAUUGGCUUUAGCAUUGGUCAUGUCUGCUCGAAAACUUCACCCUUACUUCCAAGCACACUCCAUCAUCGUGCUUACCAACCAUCUUCUUCGACAGAUACUCCAAAGUCCUGACACUUCCGGGUGAAUGGUCAAAUGGGUGAUAGCAUUGGGUGAGUUUGACAUCUCAUACCAACCAAAGCUAGCUAAGAAGGGCCAAGCAGUGGCAGACUUCAUCGCCGACUUCACAUAUCCUAUUGACAUUGUUUGUACGCCUAAAUAAGUGGUUUCAUUACCCUCAAAAGCUUAGAAAAUAGAACCAACAUCCCCAACAUGGAGUCUAUAUGUUGAUGGCUCGUCCAACCAACAGCGUUGUGGAGCAGGACUAGUCCUUACGACCCCUGCAAAAUGGCGAUGGAGUAUGCUCUUCGUUUCAAAUUCAAGGCGUCGAACAAUGAGGCCGAAUAUGAAGCCCUCAUAGCAGGCUUACGUUUGGCCAAACACCUUGAGGUUAAAUGAAUUGAUAUCUUCAGUGACUCCCAAUUGGUGGUUAACCAAGUCACCAACAACUUUGACUCUAAGGAUAGCUCCAUGGCAGCAUAUCUGGCAUAAACACAAUUGUUGGUCCAGCACUUCCACUACCAGAUCACCCAAAUUCCUCGAGCGGCAAACAGUCAUGCAGAUGCUUUGGCUCGCCUCGCCUCAGCGGUGGAAGACAAGAUUGGGAGAAAAAUUCAGGUCGAAUUGUUAGCAGCAUCAAGCACCAUGGCUGCGGAAGUGUGCAACUUACAACAGAGGGAUAGUUGGAUUACCCCGAUUUAUAGAUUCCUUACUCAUGGCACCCUUCCAAAUGACAAAGUCCAAGCUAAGCAGAUUCGAUACAAGGCUACCCGUUACUUGAUCAUUAAUGACUAACUCUACAAGUGGGGUUUUAACCUACCAUACCUAAGAUGCCUUACGCCCGCAGAGGCGGAAACUAUCCUUCGGGAAAUACAUGAAAAAGUCUGCAGAGAUCAUGCUGGAUCUCGAUCCCUAGCACACAAGGCUUUUCGCCAAGGAUAUUACUGGAUAACACUCCACCAAAAUGCCACCAUAAUAUCCCACUCAUGUGAUAAGUGUCAACGCUACGCAACUAUUCCUCACUCCCCUCCCGAGCCGCUCACUCCUAUGAUUAGCCCUUGGCCUUUCGUCCAAUGGGGACUUGAUUUGAUCGGUCCAAUGCCUGCAGGGAAGGGCAAGGUUCACUAUGCAAUCGUUGCAGUUGACUACUUCACAAAGUGGGGUAGAACCCUUAGCAACCAUUACUGAGGCAAAAAUAGAAGACUUCGUAUGGAAGAACAUCUUUUGCAGAUUCGACAUUCCCAAUGCGAUAGUCACUGACAACGGGUGACAGUUUGACAAUAAUAAGUUCAGGAUGUUCUGCUCUAAGUUCAACAUCAACUUAUGUUUUGCCUCCCCAGCUCAUCCCCAGUCUAAUGGACAAGUUGAAGCCAUCAACAAAAUAAUCAAGUGAACUUUGAAAACUAGCUUGGACAAGGCUAAAGGUUGUUGGCCAGAAUUUGUACCCCAAGUUCUUUGGUCAUACCGCACUUCGUAUCGGACAUCAACAGGAGAAACCCCAUCCUCACUUGCCUUUGGUACAUAGGCAGUUGUCCUAGUUGAGCUUGAGCAAGCAACGUUCCCAGUCCAAAACUACGUGCAAAGUGAAAAUGACAAACAACUUACCCUCAACUUAGAUCUAGUCGAGGAACACAGAAACCAGGCUCACUUGAGGAAUGUCAUCUACAAACAGCAUAUCUCUAACUACUAUAACUCAAGGGUCAAACCUCAUUCUUUCAAAGUGGGGGACUGGGUAUUGAAGAAAAGAUUACUCUGCGACAGAGUCCCGAGUGAAAGAACACUUGUCCAAACUGGGAUCGACCGUUUGAAGUUGUUGGCAUCAGUCGUCCUGGCUCCUACAAGCUUAAAAGAUCCGAUGGUAAGACCCUUGGCCGUCCAUGGAACGCUAAUCACUUGAAGUACUAUUACAAGUAAACUCACAUUGUACAAGUGUUAAGCUUCAGCCGUUCGGCAUCCUAUGUAACGAACAUUAUUUGGCAUGAAUUCAAUAAAGAGGUGAUUUAGACAACUCAGUCCUAGUCCUCUUACAUUCCUAGCAAUGAAACACUCGGGUUCAAAGCUUCAACAUGAAUGCUUCCAACAUGAAACAAAGUCUAAGUAUAUGUCAACAAGACUAUAUAAAUAAACAACAGCUUCACGGUAUAAAUACUUGAAUGUCUCUAGGUGUUAUUGGAUCUGGCAUGUUACACAAGGCUUCAACUUUCGCUAGAUUUGGUUCAAUGCCUCGUUUGUUCACUAUGUGCCCUAAGAACUGCCUAGAUGAUACACCGAAUGCACAUUUUACUGGGUUUAGUCGCAUGCAAUAUCUUCUUAAUACGUUGUGUUGUGUAGAUGAUCAAUGUGUUGGCACCUUUCUUGGCUUUUGACGACCAUAUCGUCAAUGUAAACCUCCAUUGUAUUUCCAAUUUUAUUUUUAAACAUCUUGUUCACUAACCUUUGAUAAGUCGAGCCAGCAUUCUCGAGUCCGAUAGGUAUGACGGUGUAACAAUACAACCCACGCUUAGUGAUAAAAGCAGUUUUCUCUUGAUCUUCAACAAAAAUAGGAAUUUGGUUAUAACUGGAAUAAGCGUCUAAGAAAGACAACAAUACGUACCCGGCCUUAGCAUCCACCGUCCGGUCAAUUUUUGGAAUUGGAAAACAAUCUUUCCAGCAUGCCCUGUUCAAGUUGGUGUAAUCCACACACACGCGCCAUUUUCCUUUUUCUUUCUUGCCUACCACUACGACAUUCGACUUCGAGGAGUCUAUCAACUUCUGUACUAAUAAUCUGAUUUCACUUUUGUGCAAAUCUCCUCUGCUUUUGUCGGUGUGGAGGACAACUUGGAUCCACAUUCAGCUGGUAACAUGCCACUUCCAGGUCAAUUCCUGGCAUGUCCCUAUGGGACCAUGCAAAAACAUCAGUGUUGCUCCAUAUUAGAUAGGAUAGAGCCCACCCAUAUUCGUUUCGCAGGAUUGGUUAGAUCCAAAACCUUUUCCCUCAAUGGUUCUAUAGUCGAGGGUUCUUGAUCGUCACUUUUUUAUCCUAUUGUGGUGGGUCCUCCACUAAUUGCUAUAAUGGUUUAUUCUCAUGCAAGUCCGAGUUGCGUUGUACUUUCUUGGUUGUCUUGAUGUUUGUUGCCAUGCUGUAGCAUUUUUUGGCCUCCAGCUAAUCCCCUUUGAUGUUGAUUAUCGUUUAACCAUCCAUUAACAAACACCUCAUUACUUGACAUCUGGUUUAUGCUUCCCCAUCCAUUCGAUGGAUCCAGUCAAUUCCCAUAAUGGCAUUAUAUGCACUUGGUGCGUCGAUGAUGACAAAAGUGACCAAAAGAGUCUUACCUGCUGUAGUGAUGGGAAGAAUCACGUCUCCAAUGGGCCGGGCUUUAGUUCCUUCAAAUGUAUAGAUGAGAGUUUGAUUUGGCCUUAUCUCUUUCUUGUUUAAUUCCAUCAUUCUAAAUGUGCUCCAAAUUAAAACGUAUGUGAUGCUCCUCCCAUCAAUCAUUAUCCUUUUCACUCUUGAAUUGGCAACGCAUAGCAUCAUGACCAGUGCGUCAUUGUGGGGGAAUUGAAUUCCUUCAAGCUAAUGGAGAUGACUCUAAAAUUCUCUAAUUCUUUGGAUACUUCAGGGGCUGAUGUUAUGUUAUGCACGAGUCUAGACUUCUAGUUUCUUGUCUUUGCGACCAAGAGCGUGCUUCACGUCUCUUAGGAGGUUGGGGUCCACUAUUGCUUUAAGUCAUCUUUGAACGGUUAUUUGCAGAUCCCUCUGGCCGCUUCUAAGGCAAGUUCUGUCGGGGUAUGUGGCUUGUAUACCUUCACAAUCUUGUCAAUUUGUUCUCGCAAAUCAACAUCUUUUACCUUUUUUGAUCAUUUUCCCUUGUGUUUCUCUUCGCCCUGAUUUUUCGUCACCUCAACACAUUUGCUGAAUUACGCGCUACUAGAGCUGCCCUUCUUAUCUUCCUCUUCUGUACACUAUCUCUUGGUGCCAGUCACAUCUUCCACUGCGUUUCUCGCUUCAGCCUUCUUCAACUCCUCCUCUACUGUCUUUUUUGUUUCAUGCAAUUCCCUUGUUAGCCUUCUAAAUUGUUCCAUGGCCAGAUUGGGUUCACUAUUUUGGGAUUGAGAUCUCCCAUGCACCAAUCGAGUCUUUGCAUCUCCAGAAGGAUUCAAAACUUCUUGUGCGGAUCCAAUCAUAUUUGUAGCUUGAUUUUGUUUCGAUUCCCACAAAUGGCGCCAAAUGUUAAAGCGAAAUUUCCUAAAAGAAGAAAUACCUCCACAUAUUUGUUGACCGCAAUCCUCACGUUCGCCAAAUCAUUCGUUAAAGAUGUCCCCGAAUAGUCUUCCUUCGUAGCUUGCCUGUGCGAGGUACCUGCAAGAGAUACUCCGAUGCUCAAGUCAGUCAAUUGAUUUUCUAUUCUCUGAUUUCUCUCAGGUUCUCCUUACGUCCCUUGUUCUUUGGCUCAUCUCCCUAUUUAUGAGAUUACAUGAUUGAGGAUCAAAUACCACGACAUGUCCUCCUUUCCCACUUCCUUCGUGGUCCUCCGUCAUAUGAUUGCAUGCCUUAGGAACAAGUACCACGACCUGUCUUCCUCUCCCACUUCUCUUCCGUAGUGGGGGUAGUUAUCUAGGCAUGUUCCCCUUGUGUCUGUAGGGGUAGUUAUCUAGACAUGUUUCCCUUGCGUCUAUAUAUUUCUUGUGGGCUUUCCUUAUAAUUUAUCUUGCACAACACCUUCUCCUUGGACGAUUAGUAUUGGCUCAUGAAUUCCGAAUUUUAUCCCCCCACAGUUUCUCAAAGGCCUUCAUGUUUAAAGGCUUCUAUUGCUGUCGAGAUUUGAUGCCGUAUUAACAAUUGUAGAUACUACUAAUAGCAAACUUCCAAUGACAACAGAAAGCAGCACUAAUGAAUUUAUUGUUAAUGGUUACAUAUCCUACAUUAUCUAUACAAAUACUAGAUACAUAUGCAGUGGUGUUAGCAAUGGUGUAAGCAGUGGCACACUGCAGUUUUGGAAGCAACGGUGUAGUGCAUUGUUAUAUAACAAAUACUUGUUACAAAUCUUGCAUUAUUGCUUUUAAUUUACUUUUGUGUUGUUAGCUAGGAUGGAAUUAGUGGUGUAUGCUCUUAUUAUGUGAUAUGGUUGCGCAACUAGUCAUAGUCAAGUAAGGUGUCACGUCUUGUAUCCACAUAAAGUAGUUUCUUGUUUGAAACUUCCAAAUCAGUGAAAUCAAACUUGUUGAGGUUCGAUAAUAUGCUGAAUGGCGGAAACAUGAAUGUGAUUGGUGUUUUAGGAAAUAAAAUUUGCAUAAACAACAAAGUUAGAACAUGUAGGUUCUAAGACAUGGUUUGAUUUAAACAGAUUUAAGCAUGGAGAACUUCGGGUCUCAACAUGAGUAUUACGCAUUAAGAAACUUCAGGUUUCUAUGGUACUUUUCUGAAACUUCGGGUUCGGAAAUAUGAACUUCAAGUUCAUAAUACAUGCAAACAAACGUAAUAUAUACAAAACUGUGCAAAUAAAUCUUCAUGUCUAGAAUUAUAAUUUAAUUAUUUGGCCUUAAUGGCCAAAAUUAAAAGUUGGGCGAAAAAAUUUAAAACCCAUAAGGCCUAAAAAAAAUAGGCAAUACAAUUGGUGGCCGAAGCUGGACCAAUGCCCACAUGGGCUUUAAAAAAAAUAGAAUCGGGAAGCCCAAACCCAAAAAAUUAGGCUGGGGUCAAUUCAGGCCGAGCAGUACAAGAAGUAGGCCUUGAAUUGUGCAAGAUCCAACAAUCCAAAACGGCAGCGAUCGUGUGUUUUGCUGUGUACUAAGACAUCAUAGCCCCACGAGCUGAGGUUAUGCGGGCCAAGCCAAAGCAAUAAGCCCAAAGGAAUGAAAAAAAAAACUGUUUUUUUUUUCAGGCUAGGAAGAACUAAGGCCCAAUUGGGCUCGGGUGGACCAAGAAAACAUCCCAGUUGCUGUUGGGUGAGCUCACAGGAAGGGAAGACAAGCGCUGCCACUUCUGGCAGUUAUGUUCUGGGUCGGGACAAUCAGGGAAAGUCAGGUUCCAACGGAGAGCCAUGCAUGAGUGAUGGAGAGGGUUACUCUUAACGCCGAAGAGCCAAAAACCCACGGAUUCGAAAUCGGGAUUUCAUCAACGAUGACUGCAAGUCAUUGGAGUUGGUUGUGGCGGUCGUGCACAGGUCUAAGCCCAAAAGGACAUGGAUGACGCCAUGGGUGUCACAUUCUGGGUUCAAUGGAGGGCUGCAGGCCUUCUUGGCUUAUGGCUUGUGGCUCGGCAUAGGGGAACUCAGCUGCUCGUUGGAUUUCCACCAAAACCCUAGCAUAUUUUUAAUUUUUUAGUUUUUUCAAUUCAAUUAAAUUCAAUUGCAUAUAAUAAUUCAUAGUAAUAUCACAAUAUCAAUUCACAUAAUUCAACAAGAUUAUGAAUAUAAUGCAUACACAAUUUAUGUAGAAUCUAGAAUUCAAAAAACGUAAAGUUGGGUCAUGCAUUAUGGUGAAUGUUCAUGCUAUCAGGGCUGCAAAAAUAUCGAGAUAAAAACCGUUGUUUUGGAAGAACCUGAUUGCGUGAUAAUAUUGGUGAACUGUUUUGAUGCAAAAAAUUAUUCCUUCAAUUUUGGCUUUCCAUCUCCAAAGCUUGCAUCACUUCAACAUAAGAAAAUAAAUUGAAUCAAUAAAAGUAUAUGAAUUCAAGAAAAUCAAAAUUUAAUCAAUUAAAAUAAUUGAAACGUAAUACUCAUCCAAUUGAAGACGAAUAAAUUAUCUUUAGCACAGCGCGACGAACGUGCUGAUAACAUGUUAUGGCCUAUACUAAAGGGUGCGGCAUAAAGAGAAAGAGAGUGGAGAAUAGACUUGAGGAAUUAUGUGCUGAUUCCCCAGUCUUUGUGCCUUUAUUUAUAGUAAUAAAGAGGAGAAAAACUUGCUCUCUAAGUAAUACAAAGUCUAUUAGGAAAGAUCUUCUAGAUCCCAAAGGAUUCCUAAUCUAUCUUUACUUGGGACUUACACAAUCACAAUAUGUAUUAGAACAUAUGUCACAACAUAGUUCAAAUUUAAAUACUGAUGUAGAGUUAGAAAUCUACUAAUUGUAUUAGAUUUAACUUUGGUAGUUUUUCCAACAUAAUUAUUCAUUCAAUUUCAAAUUCUACAGUAAGGCACAGACAUAACUUUUAGUAUCUUCUGUUAGGAUGUUCAUCUUGAGUUGACAGUUAGAGUUGGGUAUUAGCAUAAAUAGUACAUUGUAAGAGAAGAAAGGCAGUUGAUGAAUUGUAUUGUUGUUCUGUUAUACCUUCUCUUUGUACAAUCAUAGAAGAUGUAGAGCAGAGUUCUAACAUAGGUAUCAGCCAGUCGUUUGUUCCUCUCAAUAAGAGCUCUCAACCAUGCCUCAUGUGUGGCGUACUAAAGUUAGGUGAGUCUUGGAAUAGUUUGAAGAUUUCGCAACUAAGGUCAUAUCGUGGACCUCUAAGAUAUUAUGAUAUCCUUAAUGGUAAAGACAUAAGGCCAUCUCCAACCGAAGGCUAGACAGAGGCUCGUUUUAACCCUCUAGCCUCUAAGAUAUUAAUAUUUUAAUGAACAGUACAUGGCCAUAUUUGCCUCCAUCUUCAACCGAGGGUCAAAGGGUCAUAAGGCUCGUUUUAGCUCUGUCACAAAAAACAGUCUCCAACCGAAGGUCAAAGAGUCAUGGGCCAAACAUAAGUUAUUAUUUAAAAACUACAACUUAAAUUCAAAUCCAACAGUUAAGUGACGUCAGCUAUAGGAAAAAAAAAAUAGAAUUUAAAAAAAAAUAUGAAACAAAUUUUGUGAAAUAGAAGUUAUAGGAAAAAAUGGAAUUUAAAAAAAAUGUGAACCAAAUUUUGAAAAAUAGAAGUUAUAGGGAAAAAAAUAGAAUUUUAAAAAAAUAUGAAACAAAUUUUGUAAAAUAGAAGUUAUAGGAAGUUAUAGAAAAAAAUUUGUAAAUAAAAAAAUUAAAUAAAACUGUAAAAAAAAAAAAUAUAUAUAUAUAUAUAUAUAUAUAUAAAAUCAAAAUUAACGGCUAGAAUUCAAAUUUUUGUUUAAGCAUUCCUGUCGGAUAUAACCAACAAGAAUAUAUUUAUAUUAUAUUAAAUAUAUUCAUGUCGGUUAUAUCCGACAGGAUUGCUGGAAUUUCUGGCCAGUCCUUUGGCCUUUUUCAGAUUCUAUGGGGCUCACAAGGCCUCUAGCCUAACCCUCUGUUGGAGACGGUUUUCGGAUUAUUUUCGGCCUUUUGGCCCUCUAGACCCUUCGGUUGGAGAUGGCCUAAUCAUUUGGGGAUGUGCCUUGCGUGGGUUUGAUAAGUAACCUACAUCAACAUAAAAAAUAAGGCAAUCAUCGUUUCGAGGAUCAACGGGGUCGAAUCCGCUCAGGAUGCGUUGGGAUUAGCCCAAAUCAUAGUACCUUUGAGGAUCCUGAAAACGUCUUUAAUAUCAAUUCAGUGAAUGCGUGUAGGCGAUGUGCUGCAUUUUUACCAAUAGAUCAACAACGAAAGAGAUGUCAUGUCUAAUGCAAUGAGCUAAAUACAACAAAGCGCAAAGUUGAACUCAAAUAUGGAACUUCGGAUUCCAUAACCUCUUCAAGGGUCUUCUUUGCAUAUAGCGUAUGAAAGAUUAUAGAUAUGCUCAAAGGUAACACCUUCGGGGUGUAGUUCGACUGGUAGACCAGAAUACUAUUAGAACAACUCUUAAACUUCAGGUCAAGAUAUAAACGAAUUUUCCUAAGAUCUUUCUUUAAUCUACUCAUGUUAUGGCAUUUCAAAAAUGAAAGCCACUUACUUUCAAUCUUUUAGAACAAAUUAGCUUUGUAAAGUAACAAGACAAGGAUAUUUCAAGAGGAAAUACUAUUGUUUGCUUUGCUCAGAUAGUUCUGUUUAGAUUAAUCAAUGUUUUAGUACACUUUGAAACCUGAGUUUUAUAUCUAUUAUCUUCAAUUUAAACACUUCUAGAAAGUUAUAGAUACAUUCAUUAGUUCAAAUUUAAAUACUAAUGUAGAGUAAGAAAUCUACAAAUUGUACUAGAUUUCACUUUGGUAGUUUUUCCAACAUAAUUAGUCAUACAAUUUCAAAUUCUACAGUAAAGCUCGGACAUAAUUUUUAGUAUCUUCUGUUAGGAUGCCAAGAGAAGAAAGGCAGUUAAUGAAUUGUAUUGUUGUUCUGUUAUACCUUCUUUUUGUACAAUCAGCUAGUCGUUCGUUCCUCUCAAUCCUUCUCUAUUGUAUAACGUGGUAAACAUCAUAUAAGACCAUGGAAUCAAGAGUUUCCAAUCUGAAAACCAAGUUCGAUGGAUUCAAGACUUCUCGGGCCAAAUUUCGGAAUGAAUUCAGGACUACCCAGGAUUUAAUUCUUCUUCAAUUGUAGUUGCUUAUGGCGAAAUAUAGUGGUGAAUCUUCUACAGCUGCACCGGUGCAUCAGCCAUUCAUCAAGAUGACAUCUCCCAUCUCCCUUGUGAAAUUGAAUCAAGUCAUUCUCAAGCUUCAAUCCUUCCACGAGGAAAAGAUUCAGGCCCGAGAGAAAGCAGACGAGUUCUUCUCUCAGUUUCGUCAGAGAUACAAGCCUAAGAGCUGUCCUUAUUUGCGACCCACAUUGAAGAAAUUCAAGAAGGUUCGCAACAAAUACCACAACGACAAGCAACGCGAAGCCUCUUACCAAUUCUUGGCUUUCAAUCAUUACUACCAGCAACAAGGCUACUUCUUGAUUCUACUUGCAUUCUGGGUUUUGCAUUCCUUGUAUCUAAUGUGCAAAAGUCGAAUUUCACAGAUCAUGGGUACGAAAUGGUUGAUUCUAUCAAAGAAAGAUUCAAGUCUCCUAAUUUUUCUAUAUCUGAUGGAAUUAUUAUAGAUUUUCAGAUCCGUUUCGACAUGGGUUUCAUUCUUGUUGCGAAACAGAUGUUAAUUCUAGCAGAAGUAGUUGGCGUUCGCUUGGGCCACAACAUGUUCGACGAAUUGCCGCACUCAACAAAUACUUCUGUUCUUUAAUUUGGCUAUCAUAUGCCGAUUUCUGACUCGAGGGGUACACUUAUUACUGGGCAUUUUACUUCCAAAUUUCAGGUCAAAGAUGCUUACAAUUCUACAUUUCUUGUUUGUAAUGGUGAAUUUUUUCAAAAUGGUACCACGAAUCCUCGGGACAAAAUUGAACUGGUUGUUCAUAAUUUUGUGAUAAAAAAAAUGAUGAAUCCAAGAUAAUGGUAGUGGGUUUUGUGGGUUCCUAUCAGUUUAUGAAAGCAUAGCCAUCAAUACUUAAGGAUGAAUGCCAAAAAGAAUCGGUUGGAAUGUAUGCCCACCAUGUGUUUGUUGGAAUGCAGCAAACAUUCAAAAUUGUUUCUUUGGAGUUUGGCUUCCAUGUGUACAUGUGUGACAAAGGCGGAACAACUAUUCAAGGGCUCUUUAAUUUGAAAUCUUCAAGGGAAGUUGAAACCACUUCGGUGGAAACAAAUGCUACUGCUCAACUGGUUGAUGCACUGCAGAUUUUAGGUGGUUUUUAUAAUGAUGCAAUUGUUGUUGUUGGUUUUGAAUUCAACUACCUUAUGGGAAUUCGAGACAAGGGUGGAGGGUACUCAAUCAUAUCUGAGUAUAAGAUGGUAUUAAGGUUUGUUAGGACAAAAGUAGCAAAUGAUUUUUGUAGACAUUGAAAUUUCGGUGGCAUAAAUGUUAGCCAUUGCAUUAAGAUUACAUUUGUAAACAUUGAAAUUUUGGUGAAAUAAAUGUUGACCAUUGUAUUAAAAUUACAACCUUCAUUCACUUCACCUACAUCAUACACUAAGUUCACCUACAACAUCCACCAAGUUUCACCUACAAACAUCCACCAAGUUUCACCUACAACAUCCACCAAAAUUCACCUACAACAUCCACCAAAACAAAUGGAUGGUGGUGAUUCGUUCCCAAAGCCUAUAAAUAGGCUCCUCCAUCAAAGAAUCAAGAAACCAAUUCACAAAUACAUUUCUCUACUCCCAAAAUGGAAGAGAAUACUCCCCACACAUCAAAAAUCCUUGAAGCUUUGAAACUCUAAAGCUCUCAAGCAAAUCUCGAAGGAUCAAGAAAGCCCUCUUCGUUCUUCGUCAAAUCCUCCUUCAAGAUCAAGCCCCAACGGCCCUUGAAGAAAUUCCUCCUUCAAGAUCAAGCCCCAACGGCCCUUGAAGAACUUCCACCAAUUCAAGAUCAAGCCUCGACGGCCCUUGAAGAAAGUGUUCAACAAAUCCACACAAUUGUUCAUCCUAAGAUCAAGCCCCGACGGCCCUUUUGGAUCAACAACAUCACCAAAUCCACAUAAUUGUUCAUCCUAAGAUCAAGCCUCAACGGCCCUUUGGAUCAAUAACAUCAACAAAUCCACACAACUGUUCAUCCUAAGAUCAAGCCCCGACGGCCCUUUUGGAUCAACAACAUCACCAAAUCCACCAAUUCAAGAUCAAGCCCCGACGGCCCUUGAAGAAAGCACCAUCGUUCAUCAUCCGUUCAUCCAAGAUCAAGCCCCGAUGGCCCUUGGAUCAACAAACAUCAACAAAUCCACACAUCCAACCGUUCUUCAAGAUCAAGCCCAAAAGCCCUUGAAGAUCCGUUCAUCACCAAUUCAAGAUCAAGCCCCGACGGCCCUUGAAGAAAGCACCAUCGUUCAUCAUCCGUUCAUCCAAGAUCAAGCCCCGACGACCCUUGGAUCAACAAACAUCAACAAAUCCACACAUCCAACCGUUCUUCAAGAUCAAGCCCAAAAGCCUUUGAAGAUCCGUUCAUCACAGUUAUUCAAGAUCAAACCUUAACGGCCCUUGAAGAAACACUCAUCCUUAAGAUCAAGCCCCAACGGCUCCUUGAAGAUCCGCUCAAAUCCACCUUCAAAGAUCAAGCCCACGGCCCCUUGAAGAAACUUCCAACAGUUCAUCCAAGAUCAAGCCUCGACGGCCCUUGGAUCAACGAAACAUCCACAAAUCAACACCUUACGGAGAUCGAAUCAGAGGAUCAAAUUUGAGAGAGAUUGUAACCCAAAAUCAUCAAACACAAAUAUUAUUUUGUACACGUUGUUCUUGUCUCUUUCGUUUCAAGAAUUUUCCGUGUUCACAAAUUGGCACGCUCGGUGGGACAAUCUCUACCUCUCAUCUCUUUCUCCGUUCAAGGAAUCCAAACACACCUCAAAGUCAAUGGCAUCAAGCAAGGGACAAGCAGUUCUCGCAAUCACUGAGGGAAGGAUCCUAAGCACUUCUGCCGCAAAUGGACAAUCCAUUGGCGCCACAACCGCUCAUCAACAUGCCACUUCAAAGUUGGUGCCGCUAAAAGAGCAAAGGGAGCAUCAAAGGUGUGAGUCUGUCAUCAACCUGACAUCGUUUGGGGCACCGAAGCAUGCUGUUGAGGCACACAAGAUGACAUCCCAAAACAACCAACGACGUUCUUCGUCAGCAUCUUGGAUGUCUAAAGGAAAGUCACGUCUAUUGGUUGCACAAGUCAUGACCAUCGGCGUUACCUCAAUCGAAGAACAACUGGCUCAAAUGAAUGAAGCAAUCGCAAGGCUAACCCGAACUGUGGAAGAAAAAGACUUGCAAAUCGCUGCACUCGUCAGUCGACUGGAGCCACAUGACGGCGAGAACCCUAACCCAGAAGAUGAGCCUACGGUGGAGAGAAUUGAUGUGAAGCCGGAGCCAGACCAAGAAGCGGCACUCAUGGGAUCUCUUUCUAUCCAACAGUUACAAGAGAUGAUUGCCAGCACCGUCAAGGCACAGUACGAAGGGAGCUCAAAUACCUCCGGGUUGUACUCAAAGCCUUAUUCAAAGAAGAUUGAUGCCCUAAAGAUCCCGAGGGGAUAUCAACCACCAAAGUUCAUGCAGUUUGAUGGAAAAGGAAACCCAAAGCAGCACGUUGCACAUUUCGUCGAAACUUGCAACAACGCGGGGACGGAGGGAGACUACCUCGCCAAGCAGUUUGUGCGCUCACUGAAAGGAAACGCAUUUGAGUGGUACACGGACCUAGAGCCUGAGUCCAUCAACAGCUGGGAACAGUUGGAAAGGGAAUUCCUCAACCGCUUCUACAGCACCCGCCGCACUGUGAGCAUGCUAGAGCUAACAAGCACAAAGCAGUGGAAGGACGAGCCAGUCAUUGACUACAUCAACAGAUGGCGCACUCUAAGCCUCGACUGUAAAGACAGGCUAUCGGAAACCUCUUCAAUCGAGAUGUGCAUCCAAGGCAUGCAAUGGGGUUUGCAAUACAUCCUUCAAGGCAUUAAACCACGGAUCUUCGAGGAAUUGGCCACCCGCGUCCAUGACAUGGAGUUGAGCAUCGCCCAUCAUAGGAAGAAGGAACCGAUCGCCGACUACAAGAACGACAAAAUUCUUGAGAAAAAGGUGGAGAAGGCUAUGUGGAAAUCCACCAAGGAAGCAAUGAUAGUCAACACAUCUCCCGUCAAAAUCCCUACACGAGGCAAGGCGAUUCAAGCUGAAGCUUUUCGUGAUCAAGAGAUGCAUAGACGCACUUUGAAGGAGCUUGAGGAGAAUCAUCGAGCUAGAUCUUGACGAUGUGGUGAAGUCAAACUAUACCACCAUCACUUCUGGCUCUUCCGACUCAAAAUUUUUACCUCAACCUCAGGGGGCAUCCUCCAAGACAAGCAAAGUUGAAGGAUGGACUCAAGUCACUCCUAAGAAAUUGCACAAGAAGCAUACGUCUCCUCCACAAGUCCGCCAAUCGGAAAGGGGGCAAAGCAGCUAUUGUCAACCUUCAAAGCAACGUGAACGUGUUGAAGAUGAUGAAAUUUCGAGAUAUAGAUCGUCCAUCCCCAUCACGAUGCGUGAUUUCUUUCCCAAAGACUUCUUCAAUCACUCGGUCAAGGCUCCUUGCUAUGAAGAUUGUGAGGAACGCCUCUCCAAAAUUGCUUGACAAAAUUCACAAAUUCUCCUCGCCCGCACGAGUCUAAACUGCAUGGCACAAAGCUCCUGGUCUGUACGAGCAUAAAAGGAAACACCAAUGCUCCUUGUUCGCACGAGCCUAAACUGCACGAACCAAUGCUCUUUGUUCGCACGAGCCUAAACUGCAUGAACCAAAACUCCUGGCCCGCAAGAGCAUAAACUGUGUACGGUAAAAUCAUCAUCAAAAUUACUGUUAAAUUCAUCACUCAUUUGAACUACGUUAUGGCUUGAUCUCUUCUUUGGAAGGGUACGUAGGCGGCUCGAACAUUCAAUUUCGAGUUCAGUCAUAUCAAAAUAAAAAAAAAAUAUAAAAGUUUUAUUAAAGAAAGUCAAUUUUAUUACAAAAGAAUAAAUAAAUAAAUACAUAUGUUAUUAUGUAUUUACAAAAAAAAAAAAAAACAAAAAAAAAAAAACAAAUGCAUUGAGAGAAAUAAAGUCCGUUUUUAUUUAUUUUUUCUAGAAAUUUUACAUAAAUUUGCAUUCUACAUACUUAAAAAAAAAAUCAAAUCAAAUUUACAAGAGGGGAUCUUCAAGGACGAUCAAGUGCCGCCUCACCACUCGGCAGAGCUCCAGAAAUGAGAGGCGCCAGAGGUUGACUGUUUGAAGCCACACCACUCGGCGGAACUCCAGGAAGAAGAAGAGCCAAAGGUUGAUCAUUUGGAGCUUCAUUACGCGGUACAGCCCCAGAAGACGAAGGCAAAUGCUGCUGGAACAAACCCACAAACCUCUGAUGAUCAAGUAAAAUCUGACCAUCAGAUUCCUACAUCUGGUUAAUCUUCCUCUUCAUGUUUGUCGCAUAGCUAUGUGCGAGCUUAUGCAACUGUUUAUUCUCCUGCUUAAGCCCUCUAAUCUCCUGUUUGAGACUCAUCACUUCAGCCGCCAAUGAUUCAACUUGACGGGUUCGAGUAAAUAGGCGUUGGGCCAUAUUAGACACAGAACCUGCACACUGCACACUGAGAGCCAGAUAAUCCUUAACAGCCAACUCAUCAGACCGUUUGGAAAGUAGUCUGUUAUCUCUGGGAGUGACAAGGUUUCGGGCCACCACUGCAGCGGUCAUAUCAUUCUUCACCACCGAAUCCCCAACGGUAAGAGGACCAGUAAGGGAUAUGAAGGAUGGGCGCCAUAUGUUAUCUGGAGAAGACGGGACUACCUCUUCACCAAGGUUCAAAUCAAAACGACGGUCGGAGGGUCCAGACAUUUUCAAAGGUGUUGAAGAAAGAAGAGGUCGGACAAAUCAAGAUCUUAGAAGUGCAAGAAGGGAGUUUCUACAAGCGAAAAUUCAAGUGUGCUUUGAAACGAACUGCGUGCCUCUAUAAAGAUCAACACUCGACGGGAUUUCAAAGAUCGAAGAGGCGAGCUCAGAAUUUGAAUAGGCCAAUUCAAAAAUCAAAGAGGUAAGCUCAGAAAUCGGAGAAGCAUCUUGCUUUUCCAGACGCGUUAGCACCCGUCACGCGCAAACUCAAAUUUGCGAAAAUCACGGGCAAUUUGUUAAAGUGCCAAUCCCAGAUAUCGAAGAGGCGCCAGUCUUUUUCAGCCUCGUCAGCACCCGUCACGCGUAAACUUAGCUUUGCGGAAAUCACGGGCAAUUUUUCGAAGCGCCGAUCCCAGAUAUCGAAGAGGCGCCAGUCUUUUUCAGCCUCGUCAACACAUGUCACAUGCACACUCAGCUUAACGAAAAUUACGGACAAUUUGUUGAAGAUUUCUGAUAAAGAAGAAAGCACGUGAAGCCAUACUGAUCAAUCACGCAUUGGUUGCCGACACGAGUAAAAGAAUAGUACCUCUACAGGUACUAAAGAAUUUCCUAUAACUGUCCACCUUCACCCUCCAUAGCAAGGCAGACAUACAUAACCUUUCUUCAUCUCUGAGAACUUUUCUUCAUCUCCGAAAAUGCCUUCCCAACGAAGCCUCUCGAGUCACUCAGUGUUUCUUAUUCCUUGGGGUACCUCUGCAAACAAAUGACACCAAAGCAAAAAUAUCUCAUAUCACCAGGGUAGAAAGCAAGAGUAUCUCAUAUCAUGUGUUCUCCCUGUCCUUUCCUUUUUCCUUGUUCUUACCUACAAAGACAAGGAUAAAGAAAACAAUAUGCCGGAACCUCCACUCAAACUCGGAUGCCACAUUUGCCUGGAGAACAGAUAAGGCAAGUGAAAAUGAUACCUUGCAGCAUGUGGAGACAACGUGCAGAAGAAACAAGCAGAGAAGAAUACAGUCUUCACAGUCAGCUCAGCAGAAGGAGUCCGAGCUGAGGAACUCAAGAAGCUGCCACAUCUGCCUGAAGAAACAAGCAGAGAAAAAUGCAGCCUGCACAGUCAGCUCAGCAGAAGGAGUCUGAGCUGAAGAACUCGAUAAGAUGCUACAUUCUACCAGAAGAAUAGAUAAGACAAGGGAAAAUGAUAUAUUGAAGCAUGUGGAGACAAGCACAACAAAGCACGUGUCGAUUCACCCGCUACUUCUUCAAAAUCAAAAGUAUCUCAUAUCAUCAGGUUUGCAAUCACUCUGGGUGGAGGACUCGUUUUGACCCUCAAAUUCUUGGGUCGACUUGCUAGGCGUUGUGGGCUGCAUGUGCCGUUUCACCACCCUUGAAUCAAGUCCUUAAAGAUCAAGUCACUAACUGGAAGAAGAGCCCAUCAAUCUUGAAGAUCAUACCGUUGACCAAACCGCUCAGGUGUGAAUUAGAAAGAUUGAACAAAGCAACAAGUCGUCACCUUCACCUCGUGCCUGCUUGCCAUGUGUUCGAGUCAACCUUCAAGAAUCAAGCAUCAACGGCCCUUGAAGAAGUUUCCGGCCAAAUUCAAGAUCAAGCCUCGACGGCCCUUGAGGAAAUCACAAGUUCGAUUCAAGAUCAAGCGUCCACCAUAUUUGAAUCAAAUCCAGUUCAAGAAUAAGCUGUGGAAAAUCAACAAUUGGAGGAAUCCAAAAAAUCCUCCAACCCAGUUCAAGAUCAAAGCUGUGGAAAGUCAACAAAGCGCAAAAACAAAUACGUGCCGAUUCAUCCACUACCAAAGCCAAAGAUCAUCUACCACAUAAAGCUCCUUGUGGUCCAAUUUCAACCUUCAAGAUCAAGCCUCGACGACCCUUGAAGAAAUUUCAAACAACGUCCAAGAACAAGCCUCAACGGCCCUUGAAGAAAUCUCCAGCCAAAUUCAAGAUCAAGCCUCGAUGGCCCUUGGAUUGACAACUACAUUAAGGGACUUCAAAACGCAUCUCCUACAUGUAACAAGCACAUGUAUACAACGCGCCUUGAAGUGGGGGCAUUUGUAGACAUUGAAAUUUCGGUGGCAUAAAUGUUAGCCAUUGCAUUAAGAUUACAUUUGUAAACAUUGAAAUUUUGGUGAAAUAAAUGUUGACCAUUGUAUUAAAAUUACAACCUUCAUUCACUUCACCUACAUCAUACACUAAGUUCACCUACAACAUCCACCAAGUUUCACCUACAACAUCCACCAAAAUUCACCUACAACAUCCACCAAAACAAAUGGAUGGUGGUGAUUCGUUCCCAAAGCCUAUAAAUAGGAUCCUCCAUCAAAGAAUCAAGAAACCAAUUCACAAAUACAUUUCUCUACUCCCAAAAUGGAAGAGAAUACUCCCCACACAUCCAAAAUCCUUGAAGCUUUGAAACUCUAAAGCUCUCAAGCAAAUCUCGAAGGAUCAAGAAAGCCCUCUUCGUUCUUCGUCAAAUCCUCCUUCAAGAUCAAGCCCCAACGGCCCUUGAAGAAAUUCCUCCUUCAAGAUCAAGCCCCAACGGCCCUUGAAGAACUUCCACCAAUUCAAGAUCAAGCCUCGACGGCCCUUGAAGAAAGUGUUCAACAAAUCCACACAAUUGUUCAUCCUAAGAUCAAGCCCCGACGGCCCUUUUGGAUCAACAACAUCACCAAAUCCACAUAAUUGUUCAUCCUAAGAUCAAGCCCCAACGGCCCUUUGGAUCAACAACAUCAACAAAUCCACACAAUUGUUCAUCCUAAGAUCAAGCCCCAACGGCCCUUUGGAUCAAUAACAUCAACAAAUCCACACAACUGUUCAUCCUAAGAUCAAGCCCCGACGGCCCUUUUGGAUCAACAACAUCACCAAAUCCACCAAUUCAAGAUCAAGCCCCGACGGCCCUUGAAGAAAGCACCAUCGUUCAUCAUCCGUUCAUCCAAGAUCAAGCCCCGAUGGCCUUGGAUCAACAAACAUCAACAAAUCCACACAUCCAACCGUUCUUCAAGAUCAAGCCCAAAACCCCUUGAAGAUCCGUUCAUCACCAAUUCAAGAUCAAGCCCCGACGGCCCUUGAAGAAAGCACCAUCGUUCAUCAUCCGUUCAUCCAAGAUCAAGCCCCGAUGGCCCUUGGAUCAACAAACAUCAACAAAUCCACACAUCCAACCGUUCUUCAAGAUCAAGCCCAAAACCCCUUGAAGAUCCGUUCAUCACCGUUAUUCAAGAUCAAACCUUAACGGCCCUUGAAGAAACACUCAUCCUCAAGAUCAAGCCCCAACGGCUCCUUGAAGAUCCGCUCAAAUCCACCUUCAAAGAUCAAGCCCACGGCCCCUUGAAGAAACUUCCAACAGUUCAUCCAAGAUCAAGCCUCGACGGCCCUUGGAUCAACGAAACAUCCACAAAUCAACACCUUACGGAGAUCGAAUCAGAUGAUCAAAUUUGAGAGAGAUUGUAACCCAAAAUCAUCAAACACAAAUAUUAUUUUGUACACGUUGUUCUUGUCUCUUUCGUUUCAUGAAUUUUCCGUGUUCACAAUUUUAUCAUACAAGUUGGUGACUCCAACUUUUACUUGCACAAGUUUCCCAUGGUCAUGAGAAGUGGUUACUUGAAUCAAAUAGUAUUCUAAAGAAUUAGUGUAGGGAGAGAUGCCAGCCCCAGAAUCCAGUUAGACAAUCUUCCAGGCGAAGCAAAAGUUUUCGAAUUUGUAGUCAAGUUCUGUUAUGGUUGGAAGGUUGAUCUAACCGCUGCCAACAUAGAUCCGCUGUAUUGCGCUGCACAUUUCUUGGAAAUGAGUGAUGAUUUUGAACAAGGAAAUCUGAUUUCCAAAACUUUGACUUUUUCGAGCUUUUUGAUAUUUUCUUCUUGGAAAGACACAUUCCAGAUUUUGAGAAGCUAAGAAUCGAUCUCUUUGUUCACUAAAAAGUUGAAAAUGUCAAAAUGGAGCAGGGAAGCCAUUGCUUGGAUGGAAGAGAAUGCUUUUAAUUAUGAUAUUCUUCUCUAUAAGAGGAAUUUAUAGGUGUACAACCCUAACAUAAAAGGAAAGAAAACUAAUUACAAGUGAUUACAUGGGAUUACAUAUCAAUUAGGGAUCCUACCUAAAAUACAAAAGUCAACACUCCCCCUCAAGUUGGUGCAUAUAUGUCGUUCAUGCCCAACUUGUGUAAGAAACUUGAAAACUUGUGACUCGAAAUAGCUUUCGUGAGGAUAUCUGCCAACUGAUUUUCCGUUCUUAUCGCCGGUACUUUAAUUAUUUUCCCUUCCAAUUUUUCUCUGAUGAAGAACCGAUCAACUUCAACAUGCUUUGUUCUAUCAUGUUGUACCGGAUUAUGUGCAAUGUCACGAGUAACUUUAUUAUCACAAAAUAAUUUCAUGGGCUGAUCAUGUUGUAUACCCAAAUCGCUUAACAGAAGCUUAAGCCACAAAAUUUCACAAAUCCCCAAAGCCAUACCUCUAUAUUCUGCUACUGCACUAGAACGAGCAACCACAUUCUCUUUCUUACUUCUCCAUGUAACCAAGUUACCCCCAACAAACGUAAAGUAACCUGAUGUUAAUCGUCUAUCAUCAAUAGAACCUGCCCAAUCUGCAUCAGUAUAACCUUCAACACUAAAGUGAUUAUUCCUCUUAAACAAAAUUCCUUUGCCCGGACUUCCCUUCAAAUAUCGCAAUAUUCUCAUCACGGCAUUCAUAUGUUGUUCUCUAGGAUCAUGCAUGUAUUGACUCACUACACUCAAGGCAUAAGCAAGGUCCGGUCUUGUGUGUGCCAAAUACAUCAAACGGCCUACUAACCUUUGGUAUCUUCCUUUGUCAACUGGUACUUGAUUAGGAUCAACACUAAGCUUCAAUCCUUCUUCUAAUGGUGUAGCUACUGGCUGACAAGCUGACAUGCCAGUUUCGUGCAACAAAUCAAUAAUAUACUUCCUCUAAGACAAGAAAAUUCAAGAACUGCUUCUUGACACCUCAAUCCCUAAAAAAUAUUUCACGGAUCCAAGGUCCUUCAUUUCACAUUCUGUAGACAGGUAUCUUUGCAAGGCCGCACAUUCUUCCGGAUCAUUACAUGUUACCACCAUAUCGUCUACAUACACAAUAAGUGCAGUAAGCUUCCCAUUCUGUCUUUUCAAGAACAAAGUAUGAUCAGAGUUACUUUGUCUGUAACCAAAUGCUCUCAUAGAUUUUGUGAAUCUUCCGAACCAUGCUCGAUGGGACUGCUUCAAGCCAUACAAGGAUUUCUUCAACCUGCACACUUUUCUUUUGUAUUUAUCUGGAGCAUUACAUCCCGGUGGAAGAUCCAUAUAAAUCUCUUCUGUCAAGUCUCCAUGCAAGAAGGCGUUCUUCACAUCGAACUGUUGUAAGGACCAAUUAAGAUUUGCAGCCAAGGAUAACAAAACACGAACUGUGUUGAUCUUGGCUACAGGUGCAAAUGUAUCUGUGUAGUCGAUUCCAUAUUUUUGAGUGUAUCCUUUUGCUACCAGUCUUACCUUGAAACGAUCCACCGUCCCAUCUGCUUUGUAUUUCACAGUAUAGACCCAUUUGCAUCCCACAGGUUUCUUGCCAGCUGGCAAAUCUGUGAUCUCCCAGGUAGCAUUCUUCUUCAAAGACUUCAACUCUUCAUUCAUUGCUACUUGCCAACGUGGAUCAGUUAAAGCCUCCUGCACACUGUUAGGAAUAGAUACAGUAGAUAAUUGAUGCAUAAACGACUUAUUUGAUUCUGACAGGUGACUGGUAGACACAUAAUUACUUAACGGGUAUAACACAUUAGACUCAGGGUUGGGCUUACUCACCGGAUACCUAGUUUUACAUUUAGGGUCGGCUUCAUAAGUAAGUUUAGGAAUACCUCGGUUGACGCGAUCAGGGAGACGACGUGGUGGUGGUGCAUCCGGGAUCGAAGACGAUUGAUUAUGGUUAUUGGGACUCAAGAUCGACUGUGAGGUAGCUGGCGACACAGGGUUGUCCGGUGGUGAGGAAACUGGCAGUGAGUUAUCUAGCGAUGUCGACUCAUCCCUUUCAAGGUUUUCAACAUUGUUUCCAUGUGAAUGAUCACCACUUGUCUCCAAGACAUUACCACUUAAUUCCAAUUCAUUCACAUCAUUAUUUUCGUGUGAAUGAUCACCACUUAUUUCCAAGACGUCACCACUUAAAUCCAAAUCAUUCACUCUAUCUAUAUCUGGAAUAGUAUAAUUAAGAGUUUGAACUUCUUUCUGAUUCUCCCCCUGAAAUGAAGACUCGGGAUUGGCAAAGUACAUAUUAUUCUCAUGAAACGCAACAUCUAUAGUGACAAACAACUUAUUCGUCGGUGGGUGAUAACAACGGUAUCCUUUCUGCCUUGAUGCAUACCCCACAAACACACAUCAUAAGGCUCGAGGUUCAAGCUUACUUCGCUGUUGUUUAUGAAGAUGAACGAAGGCCACACAACCAAACACAUGAGGUGGAAGAUUAGGGAUUGCAUGAGCAUCAACAUGUGAAGAAAGUGUCUGAAGGGUUGUCUGAAAAUCAACCGAUCGGGAUGGAACACGAUUAAUGAGAUACGCAGCUGAGGUGAGAGCUUCUCCCCAAUAGGAUAACGGGAGACAAGCCUCGAGUAAAGAGGCACGAACAACCUCCAGAAGCUGACGGUUCUUGCGUUCGGCAACCCCAUUUUGUUGUGGAGUAUAUGGACAUGUAGUUUGAUGAACAAUUCCAUGAUGAUCAAGAAAGGCACGAAGUUCAGAGUUAACGUAUUCGCCACCAUUAUCACUCUUGAGAACCUGUAUUUGUGACUUAUAUUGUACUUGUACCAUUUUGUAAAACUGUUGAAACAAAGAAGUAACUUCACAUUUGGAUUUCAUCAAACAAACCCAAGUCAUACGUGUGCAGUCAUCAAUAAAAGUAACGAACCAAUGAGCACCACCAAAUGUAGCAGUUUUAGAUGGACCCCAAAUAUCAGAAUGAAUUAUCAUAAAUGGAACAGAACUUUUAUUCAAACUGGAUGGAAACGAAGCACAAUGACUUUUAGCUAGUUCACAAACACCACAUUUAAAACUAGAAACAUCAUGCUUAACAAAUAGGCUAGGAAACAACCUCCGUAGAUAGUCGAAAGAAGCAUGUCCAAGUCGACGAUGCCACAACCAAACCUCCGAAGCUUUAUUCCUAUCCCCUGGAUUUCCGUCCACUGCAAGAGCUUGAGUCAACAUUCGAGAACUGUUUGACUUCAGCUCCAAGUAGUAGAGCUUCCCUUUCCUAAUACCAUAACCAAUCGUCUUGCGAGUCCGAAUGUCCUUAAAAACACACAAAAAAAGCCAAAAAAUCACAAGACAAUGCAGGACGACAGUUAUUUGAGCAACAGUUAAUAAAUUAUAGUUAAGAGAAGGCACAACAAGUACGGUAUCAAGACUAAGGGUAUCUGAGACGAUUCCUUCCCCGAUAACAGGGGCAGGAUUACCAUUGACGACACUGACGGCAGUUGUGGUGGAAACCUUUAAAGCCGUACCAUUGAUCAUAAGUCAUAUGUUCAGUAGCACCAGAAUCAAUUAUCCAUGUAUUAUUCGUAACAGAGGUAGAAACCUUUAAAGCCGUACCAUUGUUACCUGUAUUAGCAGAAUCACAAGUCCAGACUACCAUUCCCAAGCAACUUCAAUCAAUACGUCACUCGGUGAUUGAUAAAGCCCAAAUUUCCAAGCAAACCAAGCCCAAGAAGUGUCAAUUUGCACGGGCCAACAAGAAGGAUAGCCCAACAACAAUUACAAAUAAUAAUAAUCUAAAAAAAAACCACAAUUUUUCUUUGCCGUGUGGGCCUUAAUCAAAUAGCCCAAUUUUUCUUUUUUCAACACCACUAAUUCUGAUUCCCCUUUUCCUUUUGCCCUUUUCUAUUUGUUCUUUUUUCCUUUAUUCUUUCCCUCAUUUCUACGUGGGCUGCUCCAGAAAGAACCUGCAAAACACGAGUGCAGAAACAAGGUGCAACUGUGCGAAUGCAGGAACAAAGUCUAGAUGCAAACGGGUUGGACUGCAGCAACGUAGGGCAACAGCGGCUACAAAUUUGGGUUCAGAUGCGGAUGCAAGCGGGUUUGAUCGAGGUCUGGUUUAUGGUGUAGCGGGUCUGUGGGUCAGAAACAACGGUUGUCCGGUGGUAGUCUGUGCAGCAGUGCAACAAGAAUGUGAUGAGUAGCGGGCAUGCAAUCCUGGGUCAGUCGGACCUUAAGUCGGGUACGACGCAACAACACAAGUCCGUUGGGUUGCAAUCUGUGCAAUCCUUCACAGCUUCAAAUCAAAUCAGAAAGUGAAACGAUUCGAUGAAUUCAGGUCAGCAACGACGGCGUCGCUCGUUGUUCGUUUCAAAUUCACAGAGGGUAGCAAUGACAACAGUCGCUCACUGAUCGAGGUCGGCGCACCACACAUGGCUGAGCCGCAACAGUGCUAUCGCAGCUAUGGGGUUUUUUUUUUUUCCUUUUUUCAACCUGGCUCUGAUGCCAAGAAGAGAAUGCUUUUAAUUAUGAUAUUCUUCUCUAUAAGAGGAACUUAUAGGUGUACAACCCUAACAUAAAAGGAAAGAAAACUAAUUACAAGUGAUUACAUAUCAAUUAGGGAUCCUACCUAAAAUACAAAAGUCAACAGCUUGUACAAAUCUUAAUGCAUUUAGUUCUGAAACUGAUGAAGUACAGAGCUUCAAUGUUCUGCCAAACAAUGCAGAGAACUCGAGGUUUCAAGAUGCAGCUGACAUUUGGUGGUUUGAAGAUGUCUUGUUCCUUCGAAUAAAUCAUUUCAUCGAAGUGAUCCAAGCCUUAAAUUGUAAAGGGAUGAGAGCAGACAUGAUAGGAUCAUGUAUAGCCCAUUGGCCUGCAAAAAGGCCCUCGCGAGUCACCUCAAGACUUGAAAGAAUGCCCCUAAGCAUAUGACACAUUAGUUCCUAAGAGUUACAAUCGAGUGCUUGGUUAAGGAUGUAGUAGAUGGGGCAAUUUGUUUGAUACUGUUUGAUGAGCCGAUAUUUUACUGUAUAUUUUACUCUAAUUUUAUUAUUAGUUUUAUUGAUUAUUUUGGUGAGAUUUUGAUACUUUGAACUAUAUUUCUAAAGUAGGAUAUUCAACUUCCUCUUGAGCAUAAAGUAGUCAAACAGACGAAUUGUGGAGCAAUUCUAAUUGGAAGAUGUUUGUGAGUGUGUUAAGAUAAUUGUAUCAAAGUUUCAGGUUUUUCUACUGAACCGUUUGACCGUGGCAAUGAAAUAAAGGCCCAGUGCGCAGCUUUUCCAUAUUGACGUUUUUGGACGUUUUGGACAUUUUGGAGGUUAAGAUGUCAUAUUUUGAAGAAGAUUCCUUCUAAUGAUUUGUUGGGGGCGACUUAAGCUUUCAAAAUAAACCUUUAGGGAUCAAAUCGGAGUUGAUUUGGUUGGUCAAAAGUCUGAUUUUCUGAGAAGUAUGAAUUUCAGUUCAAAUAGGAAAUCUUUUAUUUGCUAGUUUAUUAUUUUAUUAUGUUUCAUAGUUUUAUUCUAAGACAUUCACUAGGUAGGGUUUUACUUUGUAGUAGCACAAAUAAAGCUUAUUAGCUAAGAGGGGGAAAACACAGGCAUUAUGGUUGGAGAAUUACAGACUUUUUACCUACAGGGUGUUUUCAAUCCUUUUUCUAGGUAAUGAUAUUUUCUUUAGUUUUUAUUAUGAUUGUUCGUAACUAGUUCUUUUGCUAGGGCGAAACCAUGAGCCUUAGCAUGAAUAUGUGAUUUUAUUAAUUUCUUCUGAAUGGAUACAUCCUUGUUUUGAAUUAUUAAUCACCGUGUUUAAACUAUCUAAUCAUCUUAAUGAUUCGCGGCCAUUAGAGUAUUUAGACAAGUAAUUUGAUGCAAUUUUUGUUGGAAACAUCACCCUGAAAUUGAGGAGUGCUUCUUGUGAUUAGAAAUUGUAAUUUCACUUAAGGCAAACAUCACCCUCUUAAGAGUUGCAUGGUUUUUCAAAGGGUUUUUACAAAGCUUAAUGAGUCUUGCAUGUUUAUAUUUGAAGAUUAUACUAUAACAAUUUUUCAUUACAGACAAUAUUAUUUUAAAAACUCGAAUAUUCCUUUAAGGCAUUUAAAUGAGUCACCAAAGUUGGCUAUAAUGGGAGACAAUCUAAUGUCAUGGACACCCUGAAUAUUCCUUUAAAGGGAAAGGGAUCCACUGGAUCCCUUCCAUCUAAUCAUUCUCAUCAAACAAUUUGGACCCUUGAAAUUUGAUCCAACCGCUAAAAACAAGGCCCACUUUAAAAGUUAAAAUAACUUUAGUCUUUAAAUCAAAUUUCAAGAAUCCGGAUUGUUUGAUGAAGGGGAUUAGGUGGAAGGGAUUUGAAAAUGAUCCCCUUCCCUUUAAAGCAUCUAACCACCUCACCUUUCUGCAUGCAUACUAAAUUACUAGGGUAAAAGACUAUUUACUACCUUCAUGUUUUGUGGUUUUCAACAUUUAGUACAUCAAGUUUUUUUCAUCUCAGAUUCAUACCUAAAGUGUAAAUUUUGGGACAGUCUCAUACAUCCGUUAGCCAAACUGUUAAGUCUUCCGUUAAUUGUGACGUGGCGCACUGACUGGGCGCCACGUGUCAUCCACGUUUUUUUUUCUUUUUUCUUUCUUUUCUUUUCUUCUUCCUUCUUCUUCUUCUUCUUCCUCUGACCGCAACUUUUUUUUUUCUUCCUCCUUCUCCUUCUUCCUUCUUCCUUCUUCUUCCUUCUUAUUCUCCUUCUUCUUCUUCUUCCUCCGAAAUCUGGGGAAGUUUUUUUUUUUUCCUUCCUUUUUCUUCCUUCUUCUUCUUCUUCUUCCUCCGAAAUCUGGGGAAGUUUUUUUUUUUUUUUUUUUUUCUUCUUCUUCCUCCUUCUUCUUCUUCUUCUUCCUCCGACUGCAACUUUUUUUUUUCUUCCUCCUUCUCCUCCUUCUUCCUUCCCCUUCUUCCUCCUCCUUCCUUCCUUCUUCUUCUUCUUCCUCAAAAAAAAAAAAAAAAAAAAAAACUUUCAUCUUCCCCUAGAUUCGGAGGAAGAAGAAGAAGAAGAAAGAAGAAAAAAAAAGAAAAAAAAAGAAAAAAAAAGAAAAAAAAAAAAAAAGCUUCCCCAGAUUCGGAGGAAGAAGAAGGAAGAAUGGGAAGAAAGGGAAUGAAUGAGGAAGGAAGAAGGAGAAGGAGGAAGGAAAAAAAAAAGUUACAGUCGGAGGAAGAAGAAGAAGAAAAAGAAGAAGGAAGAAGAAAAGAAAAAAAAGAAAAAAAAACGUGGAUAACACGUGGUGCCCAGUCAGUGCGCCACGUCACAGUUAACGGGAGACUUAACAGUUUGACUAACAAAUGUAUGAGACUGUCCCAAAAUUUACACUCUAGGUAUGAAUCUGAGACGAAAAAAACUUGAUGUACUAAAUGUUGAAAACCACGAAACAUGAGGGUAGUAAACAGUCUUUUACCCAAAUUACUAAUCCCAUCAUCAAUUCUUUACCAACCUGACAACACUAAGUCCCCAUCUUGUUAAUUUCAAUGUCAUUUUUGACAAAUUUGGAUCCUCUCUUGAGCCAAUGGAGAGGAUCCUCCUGACCAAACAUUGUGGACCGUUGGAUGAAAAUCUAACGGCUAUAAUUAUUAUAACUUUAAAGGGACCCCCCUGUUUGUAGCCGUUGGAUAAAAAUCCAACAGCCCAUAAUGGUUGGUCAGGAGGAUCCUCUCCAUUGGCUCAGGAAAGGAUCCAAAUCCAUUUUUUACCACCUAUCAAUAACAUCACCAUCGCUUUAGAAGGCCAUGUUCACAUGGACUAUUGCUUUAAGAGUCAUGCUAUUCAUAUCAUGUUUUUAUACCAAAUUUCUAUACCACCUUAGGUGACAUCUGAUGUGAACAGCCACAUCAUUUGAAAAUUUUGCAAAACCCAAGGAAAUGAAGGAGAAAGACUUCUCGUAUACUCCAAUCAUCAUUUAAUUAACUAGUUUUUCUUCAUUAUUAGUUUAUUAAAUAAUGAACUAAAUUUAAAAUUUUGAUUAAUUCAAAUGAUGUGGCUAUCCACAUCAACUAUCACCUAAGAUUGAAAAUGUGGUACAAAAACACGUUAUGAAUAACAUUAUUCCUACUUUAAUUAAUAAAAAGCCAUGAUUAAAAUUCAUGCAAACCCACUCAGUCCAUUGAAAACCCAUAGACACAUGGCAUUAUCAAAGGCCUGACAGUCUUUCCUCUCACACAUGGAGCGCAAAGAUGAGAAGAAACUUCAUAACGCCAUGUUCCAUGGCUAGCCUACUACCACCUGAAUGAGCCCUAUGACCUUUUGAUCUUCGGUUGGAGACGGUUUUUUGUGACCGGGUUAAAAUGAAUUAUAUGGCUCUUUGGCCCUCAGUUGGAGAUGAAGACAAAUAUGAUCAUGUAUUGCUCAUUAAAAUAUUAAUAUAUUUGAGAACCAGAUGGCUAAAACUGACAAUCUAGCUAGCUUUCACUUGGAAAUGACCUAACAUCUUCAAAUUGGCCAUAAGCUACCUGACAGCUGAAUAACUCUGAUUGGAAAACGCCAACUCGCAUUUCUACACAUGGGUGUGAUUGGAAAACGCCAACUCGCAUUUCUGCACGUGGGUGUGAUUGGAAAACGCCAACUCGCAUUUCUGCACGUGGGCCUCUAACCACCUAACCUUUCUGCAUGCAUAGUAUCACCAUGUCAAUAAUUCUACGUAGAAUCACGUCGCCACCACCUUGUCAAACCAUCCAACAAGUUUACGUGUGGAUUACUGUUUUAUCAUCAUCACCAUCUAGACCCGCGGCUAAAGAUUAGCCAUGAAAAUAUUAAUCACAGGCACCAUGAGUGAUUAAUUACGUGUUUAGAGGCUAAUUAAUCACCCCCAUCAUAACCAAUCCAAUAAAUUGGCCAACAUGGUACCUUUUCUUACUGCCCCUUUAAUUACAACUUCUGAUAUCAAAGGCCUGAGAGUCCCUCCUCUCAGAUAUGGAGCGCAAAGAUGAGAAGAAACUUCACAUCGCCAUGUUCCCAUGGCUAGCCUACGGCCACCUGAUGCCAUUUCUCGAGGUCUCCAAGUUCUUAGCUCAAAAAGGUCACCAAAUCUCCUUCAUCUCCACCCCCCAAAACAUCAAUCGCCUCCGGUCAUCCUCCCUUUCCCUACUCAUCGAUUUCGUUGAGCUUCCUCUCCCCGCCGUCGACGGCUUACCUGAAUCCGUCGAGUCCACCUCCCAGCUACCAAUCAACAAAGUCCCCUACCUCAAAAAAGCCUACGACUUGCUCAAGCCUGCAGUCACGCAUUUCGUCCAACACUCGGGCGUCAACUGGGUCGUCCACGACGUUAUUUGCUACUGGCUGCCCCAAGUCGCCACUCAGCUCGGAGUCAACUCGGUCUUCUUCAGCAUCAUCAACGCCACUUCCUUAGCUUUCGGCGGUCCUCCGUCUGAGUUACUCGGCGAUAAACGCCGGCGGCCGGAGGACUUUACGGUCGUUCCCGAGUGGUUCGACUAUCCUUCCACCGUCGCUUAUAAGCUGCACGAGAUGGUGAGUCAUUGGGAUUGCAUGGACGACAAUGUCUCCGAUUUUCAGAGGCUCGCGGUUACGGUUCAAGAUUGUAAUUUUGUGACUAUACGGAGCUGCACCGAGGUUGAAUCUGACGCGGUGAGUCUGCUCAGAAAUUUAUACGGUAAACCCGUUGUUCCACUCGGGCUGCUGCCGACCAGCUCAGCACCGCAUCAGCCCGGCGGCACUAACGAUGGAGCGGAUGAGAAGUGGGAAGUGUUGAGAGAGUGGCUCGAAAAUAAGAAACCGAACUCGGUGGUUUACAUCGCACUCGGCACCGAGGUGACUCUGAGUCAAGAACUUAUGCACGAGUUGGCUCACGGGAUAGAGAAAUCGGGGUUGCCCUUUAUUUGGGUGGUCAACAAUCGCCCGUUAGUGGAGGACGCGUUGGGGUCUAAUAUCCUUCCACUCGGAUUUGAAACCCGAGUGGACGGUCGGGGCUUUGUGUGGAGGGGUUGGGCCCCACAACGUAAGAUUUUGGGUCAUAUCUCAGUUGGAGGAUUCCUGACUCAUUGCGGUUGGAGUUCAAUUAUUGAAGCAUUAGGGUUUGGGAGGGUUUUGAUUUUGUUUUCGGGUGCAAAUUCGGACCAAGGGUUGAACUCGAGACUAAUGCACGAAAAGCAGGUUGGGUUGGAGAUACCGAGGGACGAGCGAGAUGGGUCGUUUACGAGUGACUCGGUGGCCGAGUUGAUUAGGCGAGUGAUGGUGGAGAAAGAGGGCGAGUUAGUACGGGCAAAUGCACGGGCCAUGAAGGAGAUAUUUGGCAACGUAGAGUUGAACAAAAAGUGCUUGGACGAGUUCACUCGGGUCCUUGAAACUUGGCCCGCUUCAACUUAAUCAACUUUGGAUAUUUUAUGUGACGGUCUUUAUUGGUGUGCUUUUAUAAAAAUUGAUUCGACUGCGUUGUAAGAAUAAAUAGUUGUACAAUAAAGCAGUUUAAUGUUUAGUAAAUUUUUAUAUAAAACUACAACGGUGUAAGACGAUUAAAAUGAAUAUGAUGUUGGAUGUGAUAUUAUAAUUUGUCUUUUCUUUAAUUCAUUAUCUUUAUCUUCUCUAUACUUCUAGGUGCAAUUACUUUCUUCUUGUGAAUGCGUUGAUGAAACAAGCAGAGUGAAUGCUGACCCUGAAAGUGAGGAGACACAGAAAAAUUGCCGCUGAAGAGAAAGCAAAGCAUUUGGAGACAUUAAAGGAGACUGAGGCAACACCAUCGUGGGUUUGAGGUAGACUAAUCAACAACUUCUGAACGAUUCGUUGGUUACUCAAAUCAUCACCAUAACUUCUUCUUUGGUUAAUCAAAUUAAACUGUUUAGCCAAAUACACAAACAAUGAAUCAUCAUCAUUCAUCCUAGUAUAUUCAAAAUCUCGUCUAAGACCUUGAAGUUUUACGCAUCUUACUUGUUUAUCACCAAUAAAUUCUUGCUUGCUAAAUACCCCAAGCUGCCUUUGCAGUCUCCUGCGUAGCGAUUCUCAAGAAUAUUUGAUCUGAAACGGCACCUUGAAUGAUGCCAAGUGCUCUAGCAUCCUUCAUCAGAUUCUCUCGCAAGAGCUUAUUCUUAGCUUAUGUGACCUCUUCCUCCUUCGCUGGAGUAGCAAAGCUCUUCUCAACCAGAUUCCACAGCUCAUGGGAUCGGAAAAUGGUCUUCAUUCUGAUUUGCCAGAAGUUGAAGUUGUUGCCAUUGAAAAUCGGAGCUCGUUGCUCUCUACCACCAGACCAGCCAUGUUAGACUUGAAUCUCGAGAGGUCGGGGCUCGUCGGAUUUCACAGAUUCUGACGCCCAGAAAUGCAACCUAGCUCUGAGGCCAUGUUAGUGUAUUUGAACUUGUGAGUGAAGUUUUACGGAGAGUUAGACACACAGAAUGAUUAAAAAUGAUGAAUGCAAUGAAGAAGAAAGAAGCUGGAAAUGGAAGAGAAUUGCAGAGAGAAUUACAGAAGCCAUGACCUCAUUCACACAUUCAUUCAUUCAUACACAUAUUACGUGAAGAGAGCCAGCCGGUAGGGAUCUGAUCUCACUAUCGGUUACACGAGGAGAGAGAGUCGCACACUAACAACUUAUAAUCCUUGCCAUCCAUCUAAUCUAGCCUAUGACUUUAGACGAGUGGCAAUUCCUUUUAACAAACUGAAAUGUAACAAAUUUUGUUACUACCUUGAAUAUGAGCUGAUGCAGUUGAUAAGAAAUUUUGAUUGCAUUGGUUUUUUGUCAUGGAUGCUCUCUCGUUGCUUUUAACUUAUCUGAAAUUUUGAUACCUAUUUCUAUGCCAAAUUUUGCAGGUCGAAAUUCAGCCAUAUAUACUUGUAUUGCAAUCCGGGAUGUGUCUAAGCUGGAAGUAACCCAAGUGCCUAAGUAGGAUUAGGCUGGUCUCACGAGCUGAAUCAUAACUUUUUCUUGCUCCGAGGAGCCCCGACCUCUCGAGUUUCAAGUCUAACAUGGAUAGUCUGGUGAAAUCCGACGAGCGGAAUCAGAGCUUUUUCUUGCUCCGACGAGCCCCGACCUCUUGUGAUAACCCAAGUGCCUAAGCGAGGAUUGGAGAAAUUCAAUUUAUAAGAAGAGAAAUGAGGGCAUAUGAAGUUUGGAAGUAAAUUUUCAACCCUAAGGCCAUUUCCAAAUGAGGGCUGGUCAGAGGGCUCGUUUUAGCUAUCUGGCUCUCCAAGAUCUUCCAAGAUAUUAAUAUUUUAAUGAACAGUACAUGGCCAUAUUUGCCUCCGUCUCCAACCAAGGGCUAGAUGGCCAGAUGGCUCGUUUUAGCCAUGUCACAAAAAACCGUCUCCAACCGAUGUUCAAAGGGCCAUAAGGCCAAAUAUAAUUUAUUUUUUAAAAACUACAACUUAAAUUCAAAUCCAACGGCUAAGAAUUUAAAAUAAAAUGAAACAAAUUUUGUGAAAUAGAAGUUAUAGGAAAAAAUGGAAUUUUAAAAAAAUAUGAAACAAAUUUUGUAAAAUAAAAGUUAUAGGAAAAAAUAGAAGUUAAAUGAAAAAUUUUGUAAAUAAAAAUAAUAAUAAAACUGUAAAAAACAAAUCAAAUGCAAUGGCUAGUCAGCUAGCCGUUGCAUUUGAAUUUUUUAUUAAGAAUUGUUGUCGGUUAGGUUGCAUUUAUAUUAUUUAGUAUAAAUGUAUUACUGUCGGUUAUAACCGACAGUAAUACAUUUAUAUUAAGUAAUAGAAUGUAUUCCUAUCGGUUUUAAUCGACAGGAAAUCCGACACAUUUAAAAAAAUUCUGGCCAGCCCGGGGUUGGCUGGUUGGUUGGAAGUGGCUAGCCCUCUAGGCCUUUGGCCCUUUCGGAUUCCGUGGGGCCCUCUCAGAUUCCACAGCUCUCUGUCCUAGCCCUAGGUUAGAGACAGUUUUCGGGCUAUUUUCGACCCUCUGGACCUUUCAAUUGGAGAUGGCUUAAGUAGGAUAGAUGAAACUCCAAAUUAGAGGACAAAAGCUAUAGACAACCUAAUGGAUGGGAUAGGACGUGUAAGUAAGGUGUCAUUUUCUCAUAUAUAUUUCAAUGUGUAGUCACCAUCUAGGUGACAGGAGGCAUAGAUUUGACAACGAGAACGAAAAAAGAAAGCUUCGAAAAACACAUGUUCCAAAGUUGGAGAUAUGAAAUAUGUUGAGCCCAAGUAAUGACACACCAAUAUGUAUAUAUGGGUGUGUAUAGAGAUAUAUAUAAAGGUACGAAAAAGUGUGCAGAUAUACUCAUGUUGGUGAGCAAAGAUGUCCACAUGUGUGUGUGUGUGUGUAAGUGUCGGUGAGCCUAUAUGUGCAAACUAGGCGUGCAGAUAAAGCACACUAUGUGCAGGUGAACACCCAAGCUUUUGAGCCACACGUGUAUAUAUAUGUGUGUGUGUGUGUGUGUGUGUGUGUGUGUAUAGAUGCAGACAUGCAGGCUAGGUGUGCAGCUAUGUGUGAGGAGGAAACGGCAUUAUGGAUUGUAUGUGUGAGUAGGAAACAGUAUUAUGGAUCGUAUGUGUGAGAAGGAAACAAACUAGGUGUGCAGACAAGAUGGGAUAGAUAUUGUGCAGGUGAACACCCAAGCUUUUGAGCCACACGUGUAUAUAUAUGUGUGUGUGUGUGUGUGUGUGUGUGUGUGUGUAGAUGCAGACAUGCAGGCUAGGUGUGCAGCUAUGUGUGAAGAGGAAACGGCAUUAUGGAUUGUAUGUGUGAGUAGGAAACAGUAUUAUGGAUCGUAUGUGUGAGAAGGAAACAAACUAGGUGUGCAGACAAGAUGGGAUAGAUAUUUAUACAAUAAACAUAUAUACGUAUAUGUAUGUGUAUGUGUCAGUCAACUUUCCCACAUCCUCAUUCGUGAGCCAUACGAAAGUAUCAGUCCACUUUUGUAAAUCCUCGUUCGUAAAUCAUACGAAGGUGUCAACUUUCAACUUUUGUAGAUCGUGUCAGUCCACUUUCGUAAAUCCUAGUUUGUAAGUCAUACGAAAAUGUCAAUCCAUUUUCUUAAAUCAUAUGUCAGUCCACUUCGUAAAUCCUCGUUCGUAAAUCAUACAAAGGUGUUCAAUACACUUUCGUAAAAUCUUCAUUCGUAAGUCACAUGAAAGUGUCAGUCCACUUUCGUAAAUCAUACGAAGGUGUUCAGUCCACUUUAGUAAAUCCUUGUUCGUAAGUCACACGAAAGUGUCAAUCCACUUUUGCAAAUCCUCAUUCGUAAAUCAUGCGAAAGUGUCAAUCCACUUUUGCAAAUCCUCAUUCGUAAAUCAUGCGAAAGUGUCAAUCCACUUUCGUAAAUCCUCGUUCGUAAGUCACACGAUAGUGUCAGUCCACUUUCUUAAAUAAUAUAUUAGUCCACUUUCACAACAAGGUGUCAACCCUAAAUCAUAUCAGUCCACUUCGUAAACCGUAGUAAGAUGUCAGUUGGCGUUCAUAAAGCAUGUGAAGAUGUCUAUUGGCCUUAACAAGUUAUGCGGCGUCGUAAAUUAUGGUUUAGGCGUCAGUAAAUUUGGCCUUUGGAAAAAAUAACUUUCACAAAUUUGGCCUUAGCAAGAAGUGAUUUUAGUAAAGAAUAUAGUUUCAAGGCCUCAUGAUUGAAAAACUCAGUUUUCCCCUAUUUUACAUACGGAAAAAAGGGGAAAAUGGGGCACUGUGGGAGGAUAAAAUCUGGUUUCGACUCAUGAGCCAAUACGAAUCGUCCAAGGAGAAGGUAUUGUGCAAGAUAAACUGUGAGGAAAGCCCACAUGAAAUAUACAGACGCAAGGGAAACAUGUCCAGAUAACUACCCCUACAGACGCAAGGGAAACGUGUCUAGAUCACUACCCCCUACAGACGCAAGGGGCACGUGCCUAGAUAACUGCCACCACUACGGAUGAGAAGUGAGAGAGGAAGACAGGUCGUGGUACUUGUUCCCAAAGCAUGCAGUCAUAUGAUGGAGGACCACGAAGGAAGUGGGAAAGGAGGACAGGUCAUGGUACUUGAUCCUCAAUCAUGUAAUCCUAUAAAUAAGGAAAUGAGCCAAAGAACAAGGUAUGUAAGGAGAACCCGAGAGAAACAGAGAAUAGAAAAUCAAUUAACUGACUUAAGUGUCGGAGUAUCUCUUGCAGGUACCCCGCCCAGGCAAGCUACGGAGGAAGACUAUUCGGGGACACCUCUAACGAAACAUUCAGCGAACAUGAGAAUUGCGGUCAACAAAUCUGUGGAGGUAUUUCUUCCCGUAGGAAAUUUCGCUCCAACAGUAACCUGCUUAGAAAUAUUUAACCUGCUCAAAUGCAUGUAGUAUUUACAAAUUAAUUUUCAUGUAGUAUUUACAAAUUAAUUUUCGAAGCAAACUAAGUUGUAAAUAUAUGUUCACAAUGAUACCUACCAACAAACUAGAUCACCCGCCCGUACCUAGAGUGAUUCUGAAGAAUUUAAAAAAAAAACAAAAAAUACCAUUGGAAUGUCGAUGAACGAUCACUAAACCCUAAAAUUAUUUUUCGUGUAGUUCAAAAAUCACAAUAAUUUUGAUAAAAAUAACAUACCAACAAUCAAAUUCACACACUACAUACAAAUUUUAAGAUAAGAAAUAGCAAACAUACCUCCACAAGAAUUUCAGGUGAUGGAGAUGCAGAGAGAUUUGGGGAAGAUGGAGAGGAAGAGAUGGAGACCAAGAUGACUUCUCUAGCCACCAAAAUAUUAUGAAAAUAAAAAGACUUCUAGGUUUUUAACGUGCAAACCUAGAAAAAAUUAGUGAUGGCAAUUUUGAUGUUUUUUCCAAGUGUAAUGACAUUUUAGACUUUGCAAAUUAAAAAAUAGGGAUAAUUCGGGAAUUAAAAAAAAUUCAUUAAAGGGAGCAAAGUGCUUCCCUUGUUUUCUCUGUGUAGCAAUUUUAGGAGGAAGCACCUAGGAGGUGCUUCUUAGAAAAUGCUUAUUAGUGCUUCUACUUUUAACUAAAAGCACUUUUAAAAUAUUGCCAAACGACCAUUUUUUAUAACUAAAGCACUUUUACUCAUUAGGAAGCGCUUUUUACUCUUUCAAUGUGCUACUCUUCAAAGCACUAUUACUCAAUAGCGCUUUUUGUUUGUAGCACUUUUCAAUAGCGCUUCUAUGAGGAAGUAGUUUGUUGUUUGGCAUGCAACCAACUAAGCGCUUUUGUAUUGGAUAGAAGCGUUUUUUAUAUUAAAUAGUGUGUUUGAUUGUCAAAUGUGUUUGUAUCAUACUUGACCAAUCCCGAAACUACUGAGCACCGGUCAACGUUAUACCGUCAAGGACCCAUAAGAGUUUCCCUCCAACCAGGAGACCAAUCACAGCGCGACACGUGUCGACAUCAGAAGCCAAUUAUAGCGCAACACGUGUUAACAUCAGAAGCCAAUCACAACACAACACGUGUCAAUGUUAGAAUGAAACUAGAGGAGAGCUUGAACUUAUGUACUUGUGUAAACCCUUCACAAUUAAUGAGAACUCCUCUACUCCGUGGACGUAGCCAAUCUGGGUGAACCACGUACAUCUUGUGUUUGCUUCCCUGUCUCUAUCCAUUUACAUACUUAUCCACACUAGUGACCGGAGCAAUCUAGCGAAGGUCACAAACUUAACACUUUCUGUUAUACCAAAGUCCUCACUGAUUUUGUGCAUCAACAAAAUGAAAAGGCGCUUUCAUUAAUAAUUCUCAAUAAUUUUUGCAUAAGUAUUUUUUGUAUAUAAUUAGCAUACAACUUGAUUAAGGGUUGAUGAAAAUUCAAUUACAAAAAACAACGAUCACUAACAAAAUGAUACAUACUUAUUAAGAAUAUAUGUUUGUUUCUUAAAAACAAAAUGACACGUUAUAGUUGCAUGACAAUCAAAUGUGAAAUAAGCAUUAACUAGAUAUAAGAAGAUUAGCAAUCCUUUUUUCGUUCAACAUCCAUCUCUCGCCUAUGAGUAAAAUUUUUAUCAACAAUUUCUUCAUCUUUAUGAUCUUCCUCAUGUCUAGGCGGAAGUAGCUCAUCAUCAUCAUCAUAAGGUUGGAACUCUUGAUUUGUCAUGGAAUGCUUCCUAAUAAAAUUGUGUAAGGUCAUUGAAGCAACAACAAUUUGUACCUGUUUUUCAAAAGGGAAGUUACGCAUGAGACGAAUCAUUGUCCAUCUAUUUUUCCAAACACCAAAAGUUCUUUCUAUUGUGCAUCUUAGGGAUGAAUGCCUCUGAUUAAAUAUCUCUUUUUUCCCUCUUGGCUGACUCCCACGUCGAAAUUCAGGAAGAUGAUAUCGUUCAUCGCUAUAAGGUCCAAUAUAUCCAUUCAUAUGUGGAUAUCCAAGAUCAACUAAAUAAUAUUUGCCUACACCAUAAUUGAAAAGAAAAAUAUAAAGAUUUUUGUGUUCAUAAGAUAAUAAAUAAAUAAACACAUUCAUAUAGGACUAAGGUUGAUUACUAACCAGAAGGGAGAUAAGGAAAUUUCAAUUCUGGUCUUCUCAAGGCCUCCAUGAAUAUACGUGAAUCAUGAGCAACACCCUCCCAUCCAACCCAGACAAAUGUAAAACACAUAUUAAAAUCACAUACAACCAUAACAUUGAGUUGUAUUUCCUUUUCUACCUAUUUAUGGCACUUGCAUUUCUCUAGGCACAACUGGGACAUGUGUUCCGUCAAUUGCCCCUAUGCAACCUUUAAAAUAUGGCCAAUACCGAUUGUCAUCCUUAAUUUUAUUUGAUACUCUCUUGAAUUGCCGAUCAUGUGGACAUAUAAUAUCAGUAGCCAUGUGAGAAACAACAUCUAAUAGUAUCCCAAACCACCUAGAAACAGUCUUUCCAGAGCGUUGAAACCUCUCUUGGACCAUCCUAUUAGUGUGCCCAUGAACUAAUGUGCUAAGAAACAUUGCUAAUGCUUCUUCCAGUGUUGUAUCUCCAAUUCUUUUUAAGCCAUAAUCACGCUUCAAAGUCUCUAACAAGUCCUUAAAAACAUGUUCCAUCCUAAAUUGUUCAUGGCAUCUUAUAGGAUGACCAUUUAAAACUUCCAUUACCCAUCUAUAUCCCAUAUACGAAGAAGUCCUACAAGAUUCUUUGUCAACUUACUUUAACCAUUCAGAGACAGCCGUGACACAGCUUGCAGAAACCAGUUGAUAAAAUUCAUCAUCACUUCCAUCAGUAGAGUUGUUUGUAUUGCUACUGUCAUUGCUACUAGAACUCAUAUUUGUAAACAUAAAAGAAAAAUUUAAUACAAGAGGAAUAUAUAAUCAUGGCAAAAAUAAAGAUCACAUUCUGAAUAAAGUUCUAAAAAAUUAUAUAAUUAAAGAUAUUAAAGGCACAUAUGUGUAACCAAUCCAUUACAUAAUAAAACCAAUUCAUUACAUAAUAAAUACUUAUUCAACCACCAAAAAAAAAAUCGAAAAAUAUAAUCCUAAGAUAAAUGUGACGAAUCAAAUUUUCUUGCUCUUGAGCCACAUGAUUUGUCGGUUAGAUUGCUUCAAUGCAACAAACAUCUCUCUAUUUUUCUUUCAGUGAAGAUAUCAGCCGCUUUCAUAAAGAGCUCAUCAUCAUUCACAACUUCAUGCAUUCCUUCCAAAACUUGCAUCACUUCCUCAAUGCUAUAACCAGGCUUAUCUGUGCUCUUAGAACAAUUGUUUACAACUUCUAAAAUACCAUCUAAUUGUUUUAUCAUCUUGGCCCCAAUUCCAACUCUUUUGGAAUCUCUUGUUCUUUUUGCCCCUUCAUCGGCUAUGUUGUCAAGCCCCUAUCUAUGUCAUUCUCCAAAUCAUCUUGACCGUCAUUUUGUUCGCCUGUUGGAGCUUUCUGGACAUUAUUACUCAUCAACCCUUGUGAGGGUGCCCAUGCACCUACACAUGUAACAGCUCAUUCUUUAAACAAAAUGUCUAGUUAGUCAACAUUUUUCAGUCCACUAUUUCAAUAUUUCUCAACUUUAGAAUUCUCCUGAAAUAUGACCAACUACAAUUAACAAAUUAUGAUAAAAGAACAUAAAUAUGAAGUUAGAUUUCCAUGGAUAUGAGAUAAUAAUUUCUCACCUUCACUUUUUUCUCCCACCAUUCAUCACUUGCAAUGAUAGUUUGCUUCACAAGAUCCCAUCCUAAGCCAGUCUCUUUUCCAACUAAUGAUGCCCACAAUUGCCAUUCUUUCUUAAGUGCAGUCCAUUUGUUCUUGAGUUGUUUAUGAACAUAUGACCUUUGAGUAAGGUCAUUAAAUUUUUUAAUAACAUUUUCCCAUCCAAUUCUAUUAAGAUGACCACCUAUUUGAUUUCCGGCUAAUGUCUCAGCUACACAAACACUUAUAAAUAUCCCAACACUUGCAUCAUCCCACAUUGCCUUGCUCUUUUUUUCGUUACCUUCUCCAUGAUCUUGUAUAUCUUUAGCUAUAUUAUUAGACAUAUCUAUAAAGAGAAGUGGAAAAAAAAAAAACCAUAGCACAUAAUAAGAGCAUACACCACUACUUACGUCCUAGCUAACAACACAAAAGUAAAUUAAAAGCAAUAAUGCAAGAUUUGUAACUAGUAUUUGUUAUAUAUAAUAAUGCACUACACCGUUGCUUCCAAGACUGCAGUGCGCCACUGCUUACACCAUUGCUAACACCACUGAAUAUGUAUCUAGUAUUUGUAUAGAUAAUGCAUGAUAUGUAACCAUUAACAAUAAAUUCAUAGUGUUGCUUUCUGUUAUCAUUGGAAGUUAAUUUGCUAUUAGUAGUAUCUACAAUCGUUAAUGCGGCAUCAAAUCUCGACAGCAAUACAAGCCUUCAAACAUGAAGGCCUUUGAGUAACUGUGGGAGGAUAAAAUCGGGUUUCAACUUAUAAGCCAAUACCAAUCAUCCAAGGAGAAGGUGUUGUGCAAGAUAAACUAUGAGGAAAGCCCACAAGAAAUAUACAAACACAAGGGAAACGUGUCUAGAUAACUACCCCCUACAGAGGCAAGGGGAAUGUGCCUAGAUAACUACCCCCACUACGGAGGAGAAGUGGGAGAGGAAGACAGGUCAUGGUACUUGUUUCCAAAGCAUGCAAUCAUAUGACGGAGGACCACAAAAGAAGUGGGAAAUGAGGACAGGUCGUGGUACUUGAUCCUUAAUCAUGCAAUCCUAUCAAUUGACUGACUUGAGCGUAGGAGUAUCUCUUGCAGGUACCCUGCCUAGGCAAGCUAUGGAGGAAGACUAUUUAGGGACACCUCUAACGAAGGAUUCGACGAAUGUAAGGAUUGUGGUCAACAAAUCUGUGGAGGUAUUUUUCUAGUAGGAAAUUUCGCUCCAACAGUUGGCGCUGUCUGCAGGAACCGAAACAAAAUCAAGCUACAAACAUGACUAGAUCCACACAAGAAGUUCCAGAUGCCUCUAGAGAUGCAGGGACUCGAUCCGUGCAUGCGAGGUCUCAAUCCCAAAAUAGUGAACCGAGUCUCGCCAUGGAACAAUUUAGAAAGCUAACAAGGGAAUUGCCUAAAAUAAAAAAAGACAACAGAUGAGGCGUUAAAGAAGGCUAAAGCGAGAAACAUAGUGGAAGAUGUGAUCGGCACCAAGAGAUAGUGUGCAGAAGAUGAAGAUAAGGAGGGUAGCUCUAGUAGCGCGUCAUCCAGCAAUUGUGAUGAAGUGGUGAAAAAUCAGGGCGAAGAAGAUCAUAAGGGAAAAGGAUCGAAAAAAGUAAAAGAUGUUGAUCUAUAAGAACAAAUUGAGAAGAUUGUGAAGGGAUACAAACCACAGACCCCAGUGAAACUUGCCUUAGAAACGGCCAGAAAGAUCCACAAAUCACCGUUCACAAAGGACUUAAAGCAAUAAUAGGAAACAUCGGGGCGGAUGAAAGGUUGUUGGAUAUCAAUGUCAUACAUGGUGGACCUCAACCUCCUAAGGGACACGAAGCACGCUCUCGAUCGUAAAGUCGAGAAGCUGAGAAGUCUAGACGCGUGCAUAGCAUAACAUCAACCCCUGAAGCGUCCAAAGCAUUAGAGAAUUUCGGAGUCAUCUCCUUUAGCCAAAAAGACCUCGAAGGAAUUUAAUUCCCUCACAAUGAUGCACUGGUCGUGACGUUACGCGUUGCCAAUUCAAGAGUGAAAAAGAUAAUGAUUGAUGGGGGGAACAGCACAUACGUUUUAUUUUGGAGCACAUUUAGAAUGAUGGAAUUAAACGAGAAAGAGAUAAGGCUGAAUCCAACUCCCAUCUGUGCGUUUGAAGGAACUAAAGCCCAGCCCAUUUGAGACGUGACUCUUCCCGUCACUGCAGCAGGUAAGACUAUUUUCGUCACUUUUGUCAUCAUCAACGCACCAAGUACGUAUAAUGCCAUUAUGGGAAGGGACUGGAUCCAUCAAAUGGAUGGGGAAGCGUCAACCAUAUGUCAAGUAAUGAGGUGUUUGUCGACGGAUGGUCAAACAACAAUCGACAUUAAAGGGGAUCAGCUGGAGGCCAGAAAGUGCUACAGCAUGGCAACAAACAUCAAGAUAACCAGGGAAGUACAACAGAGCUUGGACUUUCAUGAGAAUAAACCAUUAUAGCAAUUAGCGGAGGACCCACCACAACAAGAUCAGAAAAGUGACCAUCAAUGACACACCCCGUCCCGAAGGAGGGCAUGCUGGCCGUCACGCGAGAGUGACGUAACCAUUUGCACAGUACGGAAGCUUUUAAAUACAAUUUACAAGUUGAUACACCCGAAGGUGAGUCCUAAUUUUGUCCAAUCUGUCAGAACACCGUCAAAUUCCUCGUAGUCACCACACCUUUGUGAUUCCUGAACCUGGAGGGGCGCAAAACCAAAAUUGAGUGGGUCAGUAAAACAAUUCUUUUCCAAAUCUAAACAUUUCUCAAAACGUUGUAACCCCUCUCCGUAAAACCUGUAUACUUUCCCAGAAAUAUAAAAUAUAAAUAUACAUAUAUAUAUUCUCAAUACUUCAAUUCAUUAACUCAACAUUUUCAUCAUAAUUAUGCCAUGCCACAUCAUCUCAACAUUUCUCAUAUUAAUUAUGCCAUGCCACAUCAUCUCAACAGUAAUAAGGUAUGAAUGCAUCAACAUAAAUCAUAUCAGGUGCAAUAAGAUAAUCAACCGGAGGCCCUCUAUUAGCCCGGUUGAACCUAGAGCUCAAAAUCUAUCACUCUCACACUCUGCCGGAGUCACUCCGCGUGACCUGUACGGCCUUCUGCACACAAGUUACGCUCUAGUGCUUCUCAUAAAUCAUCUGUGCACAUAAUCUAAGGUCACCCACCAGUCGGAAUCUCACUAACACUCUCGCGACUGGCCUGUCGUACCCACUCCGCGUGGACUGUACGACUAGCAUCUACUUGGAUCCAAGACGAGCGUGCGAUGCGGUGAAUACUAUAAGCACUAAACUAUGGUGCAGGAUUUGAGCUCAAUAUACAUCAACAUCAUCAUAACAAUAAUAAUACUCACCUGAUACUCACCUGUGCGUCCACCGCACCAUUUCAUAUAUAUGCAUCAUAUCUCAAUUCAUAUCAUUUCAUAUAAUUUCAUGCAUGGCAAUUCGAUUCACAUUUCUAUAUACUUUUCAUAUAAUUCUGUAUACUUUUCGCACACUUCUAUGCAUGGCAUUUCAACUAAUAUAUCUCAUAUACUUUUAUACAUUUUCAUUUAAAGCAUAAUUUCAUGCAUUUUCAAUUUCUGGGAAAACGGCAAGUAUAUAUGUAUAUGGAAAACAAAACUGCCCACUCACAGAAUACAUCAACGUGUCGAAGGUCCCUGAGCAUCCCUUGGCUAUGCCUGAUGCCCGCAUAAGCCUCACCUAUACAAAAGUAACCAAUUUGGCGUUAUUUAACGCCUAACCCAAUUCUUAGCUAAUAACUCCUCAUAUAUUCCUCAAAUUGGGUAUAUGAAUAUACCACUGUGACCUACACAACCUCAGGAUCAUCCCCAUAUUUUUAAAAUAAUUUUUGGAGGUUUCACGCGCCCCCACGCGCCUGACGUGGCACGGACCUACGCGCCCCCCACGCGCGGCCACGUGCCAUGCACACUGACGGCACAGUAACGGCAGUUAGGGAAUAUUCCGUUAAAUCCUAGCAUAUUCCGUUAAAUAAUUAACGGCGUCAGUCACGCCGUUAGCAUAUUCCGUCAAAACUGACGGAAUAUUCCCUGUCUUCUCCGACGACUGUUCGCCGGUUUCUGGAAAUUUUUCAAACUUGCUAUUCUCCUUCGUUUUUCAUCCAUUUUUCACGUAAUUUAUACCGAUUUGAAGCCCUAAUCAUAAGCUAUCACGAUGGACUAAUUUUAAGCUUCAAAAACAACGGAAUCAAACUUUCCAAAAAUAUGAAAAUUCGGCCUACCUUUGAACUAGGUGAUCCCGACGUCCAAUUCAUGCCAACGAAGCACUCCGAGCUUCCUUGGGACUUCCUUAAGCUCACUGUGAGCUUGGUUUGGCCUAAAACACAACCAAUUCAAAGCUCAUGAACAGUACACAUUCACGGCAACUUUAGAAACUAGGGUUUUCGAAGUGAAACUUACCUUAAACUGGUACCUACGUGAUCGUGGAGUCCUCAGGAAUGCAAUGGUGGUUUUAGAUCCGACUUUGGUAGAAGUUUUAGGGUGUUUUUGAAGUUGGUCCGUGAGUUCGAAGGAGAGAGAGACAGAGAGAGUGAGAAAUCGUGAAGGAGGAGAGAGAGAGAAUGACAAGGUACGGGAAUUGGGGAAGGUUUUGAGGGAUGUGGGGGUCCCCGUGUCCAACUCAAUCUCAAUUUCAAACUUUUAACAUAGAAACCUAAGUAAAAGUCUUGGCUUAGGUUUCUAAAACCAAUUAAUAUUCUAAUUCACCAAAGUUUAAGAACCUUAAGUAAAAACAAGUGUCCAAAUUACGCACUUUAGUCCCGUUUAGGGACAUUUUCGUAACUUCACGUCCUCGGAAUUAAAAUUCCGGGACGGACUGUGACAAUCAAGAACCCCCGACUAUAAAACCACUGAGGGAAUAGGUUUUAGAUUCAACCGAUCCUGAUAAACAAAAAUGGGUGGGCUUCCUUCUAUCUGAUACGGAAGUCGAAGAGUUGUUGAAAUUUCUUAGGAGCAACACUAAUGUUUUUGCAUGGUUCCAUAGGGACAUGACAGGAAUUGACCCGGAAGUGGCAUGUCACCAGCUGAAUGUGGAUCCGAGUUGUCCUCCACACCGACAAAAACAGAGGAGAUUUACGCUAGAGCGAAAUCAGAUUAUCAGUGUAGAAGUCGAUAGACCCCUCAAAGUUGGAUUCAUUCGUGAUGUCUGGUGCCCAACUUGGGUUUCAAAUGUCGUGGUGGUAGGCAAGAAAGAAAAAGGAAAAUGGCGUGUAUAUGUGGAUUACACCAACCUGAACAUGGUAUGCCAGAAAGACUGUUUUCCAAUUCCAAAAAUUGACCAGACGGUGGAUGCUACUGCCGGGUAUGCAUUGUUGUCUUUCUUAAACGCUUAUUCCAGUUCUAACCAAAUUCAUAUGGUUAUUAAAGAUCAAGAGAAAGCUGCUUUUAUCACUAAGCGUAUGUUGUAUUGUUACAUCGUCAUGCCUUUCGAACUCAAGAAUGCCAACUCGACUUAUCAAAGGUUAGUGAACAAGAUGUUUAAAAAUCAAAUUGGAAAUACAAUGGAGGUUUACAUUGACGAUAUGGUUGUCAAAAGCCGAGAAAGGUGCCAACACAUCGAUCAUCUACACAACAUUUUCAACGUAUUGAGAAGAUAUCGCAUGCAGCUAAACUCAGAAAAAUGUGCAUUCGGUGUAUCAUCUGGGCAGUUCUUAGGGCACAUAGUGAACAAACGAGGCAUUGAACCAAACCCAAUGAAAGUUGAAGCCUUGUGUAACAUGUCGGAUCUAAUAACACCUAGAGACAUUCAAGUGUUAACUAGGUGAGUUGUUGCCCUUAUCCGUUUCAUUUCACGAUCAUUCAAUCAAUGUGAACCUUUUUUUCAAGCCAUACAAAACAGGAGAGGAAGUGUGUGGGGGCAUGAGCAAAGGGAAGCUUUCAAACAACUGAAGAAGUAUCUCACAAGCCUAUUAUUGUUAACUAUCCCCAAGCAAAGUGAGCCGAUGUGCAUGUACCUGGCCGUAAACGAAAGGGUAGUAAGUGCUGCAUUAUUCAGAGAAGAAGGCUCAGUUCAACAACCCAUAUUUUACUUGAGCAAAAGUUUAAUUUAUGCAUAGAAGAGGUAUUCACCCAUUGAGAAGGUGAUGAUGGCCUUAAUAACCGCAAAGAAGAAGAUAUGUCAGUACUUCGAGGCAGACACCAUUGUGGUGUUAACUAAUCAACCAAUCAGGGCUAUCUUAUCUAAACUGGACUUAUUGGGAAGAAUUACGAAGUGGGCCAUUGAACUUAGUUCAUUUGACAUAAAGUAUCAGCCUCGAAGCACAACUAAAGAACAGGUAAUUGUUGACUUUCUUGUAGAGUGUUAUCCUCAUGAAAGUUUGCAGGGUGAAUGCGAGGAAAUUGCGGAAGUCGACCUUAAUGAGACCAAGUGGGAGCUGUAUGUGGAUGGGUCAUCCAAUCAAGCAGGAGCUGGAGCAGGGAUCAUUUUAAUUUCUUCUGAGGGUGUAGACUCAGAGCGUUCGGUUCGGCUGGAUUUUCCUGCAUCAACAAUGUGGUGGAAUAUGAAGCUCUGAUACUAAGCCUCAAACUUGCGAAACAAUUGAAGAUAAGUCGUCUCACCGUGCAUAAUGAUUCAUAACUUAUCGUUAGCCAAGCACUGAAGAGUAUACAACUAAAAAUGCGAGGAUAGAAGCAUAUCAGUAGCUGGUUAAAAGGCUGGCGAAUGGAUUCAAGUAUUUCGAGCUGAAGCAAAUACCUAGAAAAAUGAACGAAAAAAUGGAUCAACUAGCGUGUGCGGCGUUAGCCGUACAAGAGAACCUACGGGUAACCAAAGUAGAAUGUCUGUACUCCCUGAGUAUCGAGGUAGUGAGAUCAAAUGUGAUGCAGGUAGAUGGGCAAGGGGUGAGACUUGAUAACUCGUUGCUAGAGCAUGCUCAAGCUGAAGAUGAUGACUGUUAGAUGACACCAAUCAUAAACUACUUGACAAAAGGGAUCCAGCCAGAAAAUCAUGUGGAAGCGAGAAAACUCAAAAUAAAAACAGUAAGAUAUGCAAUCCUUAAUGACACGCUCUAUAGGAGGUCAUUCUCAGGACCAUGCCUAAGGUGCUUAAAUCCAAGGCAAUCUGAAUGGGUCUUAAGAGAAUUACAUAAAGGAAUGUGUGGGAAUCACUUUGAAGGAAGAAGUUUAGUGCAUCGAGCAUUAACCCAAGGCUACUUCUGGCCGUACAUGGCUUGAGACGCAGAGCAAUAUGUAAGAAAGUGCGACAAUUGCCAGAAAUAUGCACCGGUUGUUAGACAACCUGCCGAAUAAUUCAAUCCAAUCGUAGGACCCUGGCCAUUCAAUAAAUGAGGAAUGGACAUCGUAGGCCUGUUGCUAAGGACGUCCGGGAAUAACAGGUUUGUCUUUUUCGCCACAGACUACUUCACUAAGUGGGUGGAAGCAGAAACGUACAUUUCUAUUACACAAGAUGACGUUGUAAGAUUCGUAUGGCGAAACAUUAUAUGCUAGUUUGGCAUACCAAAGGCGAUUGUGAUGGAUAAUGGGACACAGUUCGACAAUCGAAGAUUUAGAAGUUAUUGCACAAAGAAAUGAAUCAUAUUACAAUUCUUUUCUAGAAGUUAUCCCCAUGGUAAUGGCCAAGUGGAGAAGACAAAUCGAACGAUUUCUUAUUGCUUAAAGAAAAAGUUAGAACAUCGCAAAGGAAAGUGGCAUGAGGAACUCCCCAAUGUAUUGUGGGCAUAUCGUACCACAAAAUGGAAACCAAUAAGAGAAAUCCCAUUCUCUCUCGAUUAUAACACUAAAGCAGUUAUCCCCACAGAAGUCGGUCUACCUACGAUUAGAACAUCAGUUGUGGAAAAUGGCCAGAACGAUCAACAGCUAGCCCAUAACCUUAACUUAGUCGAGGAACAAAGGGAAAUCGCCGCACUACGACUUGCGAACUACCAGAACCAAGUUGCCACUUACUUCAACAAAUGGGUCAAGUAAAAAAGGUUCAAGGUAAAUGAAUAGGUAUUGAGAAAGGUCAUGGAAAACACAAAAGAUUUGAAUGCAAUGGAGCUUAGACGCAUAUGGGAAUGACCAUAUGAGGUGACCGAAACCUUCGGAAAGGGAACUUAUAAACUCAGGCACGUUGAAACAGGUCAGUAUGUGUCACGCCCAUGGAAUGCAAUUCAUUUGAGAAAGUACCACAUUUAGCUUUUCGUGUUUAUGUUUUCUGUAUUUAAAUUUCUGUUUCCAGCAAUGUUGAAGGGUAAAUCCCUUCUUGUCUUCCUUGCAUGUCAAAUAGUGUAUCCCUAGAUGUCUCUUGACAUCUCCUUAUUGUAUGAUAAAUAAAGUUGCAUUUCAUUCAAAUCUUCGACUAAAGUCUAAAGUUGAAGAGCAUAAACCAUGGAUUGGGAUUGAAUCAAGAUCAAAAACAUAAGAUCGAGUGGGAAAAGAAAACCCAAGAUUGGAUAGGAGGAGUCCCAAUCAAGAUCGAGAAUCUAAGAUCGAGUGGGAAAAGAAAACCUAAGAGCGGAUGGGCGGAGACACAGUCAAGAUCGAGAAUUUAAGAUCGAGUGGGAAAAGAAAGCCCAAGAUUGAAUGGGCAAAUACCCAAUCAAGAUCAAAACUCUAAGAUCGAGUAGGAAAGGAAAGCCCAUGGGCAAAGACCCAAUCAAGAUCGAAAUCUAAGAUCGAGCGGGAAAAGAAAACAAAGAUCGAAUGAGCAAAGGUCUACCAAGAUCGAAAAUCUAAGAUCAAAUAGGUAAAAAACUGAUUAAGAGUAGAAUUCAAGGUUGAACGGUUUUGAGAUCGAUAACGAAAGGGCGAAUUUAAUAAAUCUGAUUUUCCUCCUCGAACACGUCGUGUGUUUGCAGAGGAAAAUGAGGCAUUACAUGUGCAAAAGUAAAAGCUCAAGCAAUGGGACAUUGUUUUCCUGCUAUAAAAGGGAAUAUCAUUUAUUUAAAAGAGGAAAACCUCUUGGAUGUUGGAUACAUAGUGCGAUAAAAGAUAAGAAUGAAAAAAGAAGUAAACCUACAAGUAGAAGGUGAAAACAAAGACAACAUCACUACUAGAUAUCCUAGUAGUGGUUGGACCAAAGGGCCCAACUUAUUACAAGCAAAAUGACAUCUAGUCUAACGAGGUGGAGAGACUAUCCCAGUUUACGAAGGGAAAUGCCUCUUUCUUCUUGGAGCAAAAAUAGUGAAUGCCCUAUUUAAAACCAUCAUGUAUGUCAUUUGAGUGAGCAACAGACACGGCACGAUCAGCAACCAUCAAAUCCCCCCUGAGACGAUCCACUCGGUGUUCAGCGUGUUGCAAGUAUCCCUUCAGAGUUUCACGCUCGUCCAAUAGCAAGGAAUAGUCGAAGCACUGGGGAUAGCAUAGGUGGAGACAGGAAUGUACGCGAGAAGCGCCCGCUUCAUCUCUUGCAUAAGGGUAAGGAGAAUGAGCGAUAGAGUCAAAAGCCCAAGUCGCGUAACUCCUUCCCGAAGAGACCAUUCUAUCAAUAACAUAAUUAUGAGCUCGAGUGGUAUAUUUCAGCCUUGGAGAAAUCCUUCCACCGACAACGAAGUCUAAAGCCUAUUUUCCACCCGACCUUGUUCGAGACCGGUACGUGGAUUCACAAAAAGUGUUAAGGACUUCAGAAGAGUGAGAAACCCUCAUUGGCGAACGAGAAGAUGAAUUAUAACAUAGCUCGAUAACAUUCCUAUAACCCUUCCGGGAGCUUCCUUUUUUUGGGACAUCAGCAUAGAGCCGGUAGUUGAGCUUCACUCUUCGAUUGUUAACCAUAUGAUCCAGAUACUACCUACUGGCUCUCAAACACCGCUUUAUAUAUAGACAAUUCGAGGUUGCUAGAAAUAAGAAUUCAAAAUCUAAGAUGAUCGUAUCUUAUUGUGAUAAGUUAAUCUCUCGUUUGAAAACUCAAAUUUAAGGAUAAAUGAUAUUGAUCACAUUCAGUUAAAAUUGAAAAUCAAAAGAAACAGCUAUAAAGGGUUGGGGCAAUGGAAGGGCGAAUGCCCAACUUGCGAACGACAAUUACGCAAAAAUACAAACAAAUAUAAUAAGUAAAAUACGGUAAAUACAAACACAAAUGGGGUUUUAGCCCAUGAGAAUAGAUCACAAACACAAAUAGGGUUUUAGCCCAUAAGAAUAGAUCACGCGAUUGCAUGAGUUACUGAGCGCCAAAACAAGAGCCGAAUUGAAAGCCUCCAAAGCCUAAACCCGCUGCUUAGGAUAGGAUCAGAAGAAGCAGGCUGGUUUGAGGGUCUCCGAUCCUUAGGAUCCAUCCCCUCGUACCACUUAUACACGUCAAAAUCAGCUACAAAUCGAUGUUUCGGACAUUGCUGGCUUUGUACCCAACUAAAUCUGAAGCUAGAGGCCAUCUUUUUGCGUAUUUGUUGCAUGUUCAUCUCACGCUUAGUGGCCCUCGCUUGCUUGACCUCAACCAACUCUUCUUUCGUGCAGCGUACUUCAGACGUCACAACAUCGCGAGCUCCCUUCAAACCUGAGAUCUCUUCCUCAUAUUCGUAAAGUCUAGCCUGACACUUUCUGACCUGCUACUGUUUAAGGCUGAGGGAUUCCAACCUAGCAGCCAGUCUAUCUGAUUUUUCCCUUUGAAGUAGAGCCAUCUGAAAACAACGGUAGGGUUAAAGGUUACAAAAAUGAUGAAACAUGAGAGAAUGAGAGAAUACCUUCAUAAGACAAUGAGAUUCAUAGGAGUCGACAUCGUCAUCGAGCAUUACCUCAAAGCGACUGGCAUCAUUAAGAUGAGUAAGCCUCUCACCACAGCAGUAGUGGCGUUUGCAUUACCCCAUAGAUCAUCGCCAAGGGUGACGAAACUCCCAUCUCUUUUUGUGAAUUCAGGCCUCCAAGCUUAAGAUGAAUUGUUGGAACCAUCGCCACUAGCCGAGCCGAAUGUGGGAGGAACCGAUUGCCAUUGCAUGGGUCUAAGGGUUGUGCCAAAGAUAGUCGGUGAACCACGCCUAGGCUUUUUGGGCCUAUCCGCCAGAGGACGUUUAUCUGACCUGCCUGCAAUUCUGGGCACUGGAAGAUCACGAUGAGGCGAUGCAAUGCAGCGGGGCAGUGGAAUGUUAGAAGGUGGUGAAGCCAUCAUGGGAGAAUAAUUCGAGUCAGAAUCUGUGUCUGUUUGCCCUGUCUCCUCAUCUUCUUCUCCUUUGUCUCCUUCUUCUAAGCCCUCUGUUUGGGAGUCGGUCAUAAGUAUGGGAGAGUCUAUGUUAAAUUGAAGCUCAAUAUCAAGAACAAAGAUAGAUUUAAGCAAGGGAUCUGGGGGCAACGACCGAUCGACUAAGCAAUACGGGAAGUAAAUGACAGAGUUGUGGAAAGAAAUGAUUUGAGUAAGAGUGCUGGCAACUUCUCUAGAGCUCCAUAUUUUCUUCGUCAUAAACUUCUUUAGCCAACACUUUUGACCUUUGGAGAUUAUUUGUUCGGGACCAUCCGAUAAAGCUGCAAAAGAAACUCAUGGUAAGUUAUGUUUACAUAUUUGUUGAAAAACUGAUAGCAAAAGUAAAUUUAUAUACCAGGUUUAGGACCAAAAGUAGAAUAGAUAAAUAGUUGAGACAGCUCGGGAGCCUUCCAGUUCCCCAAAAUCAGAAGAAGGUGGUUCUUCCAAUCUCUGUCUUUCGAGGGAUCCAAUGACAAGAAUUUCUUGCAAUACCUAGAUUUAAAAUUAAAGAAACUAGUUUCGCCCUUAAUGGUGGUUAAGUCGAAGAGAUAGAGGAAGUCUUUCAAACCUAAGGAUACGCCUAGCUUCAGACCCAAUGCCAGGAAGGUCGACAUAACCAAGUAAGAGUUCGGGUUCAGUUGCAUAGGGUGAGUAUUUGUGAAGAAUAAGAUGAGAUGAAUCAUGGGGUGGAGUGGAAAACUAAUGGUCCCCAAAUGGUCUAGAGACAAACGGUAGAUUGAAUUGGGAUACCGGAGCCCGAGUACAUGUCGGCUCCGGUGGGAAGUGGGCUGAUGUGCAUGUCAUCUGGAACGUGGCAUUGGUCACUAACCUUGACGAUUUCAAAGUGUGGUGAUACUCCAUAUUUAGACCAAUGUGUACGUCCUAACAUGAGGAACGGGAUGGGAGACUUGCCGGCCAAAAUUGAUUCGAGAAGACAAGAAGAGGAAUUUGUACCUAUAAACAUAAGUGGAAUGUUUGAAAGAUUCCCACAAGAGGAGUUUGAAAUGGAAAAAUUACUUGUAAGCCAAUAGGCCAAUCUGAAACGAGAAAUCAUAAACUUGGUGGAGAACUGAGCAAAUGAAGUGAAGAAAAGCAAGGAUUGGAGAAAUUCAAUUUAUAAGAAGAGAAAUGAGGGCAGUUUGGAUGUAAAUUUCCAACCCUAUAGGAUAGAUGAAACUCCAAUUUAGAGGACAAAAGCUAUAGACAACCUGAUGGAUGGGAUAGGACGUGAAAGUAAGGUGUCAUUUUCUCAUAUAUAUUUCAAUGUGUAGUCACCAUCUAGGUGACGGGAGACGUAGAUUUGACAACGAGAGCGAAAGAAAAAAGCUUGUUCCGAAGCACAUGUUCCAAAGUUAGAGAUAUGAAAUAUGUUGAGCCCAAGUAAUUACACACUAAUAUGUAUAUAUGUGUGUGUAUAGAGAGAGAGAGAAAGAGAGAGAGGGAGAUAUAUAUAUAAAGGUACGAAAAAGUGUGUACAGAGAUACGCAUGUUGGUGAGCAAAGAUAUGCACAUGCGUAUGUGUGUGUAAAUGUCGGUCGGUGAGCCUAUAUGUGCAAACUAGGCGUGCAGAUAAAACACACUAUGUGCAGGUGAACAGCCAGGCUUUGGAGCCACACAUAUAUACAUAUACAUAUACAUAUACUUAUACAUAUACAUAUAUAUGUGUGCAAACUAGGCGUCCAGAUAUGUGUGUAUACAUAUACAUAUACACAUAUAUAUAUAUAUGCGCGAGCGCACAUAUACAUAUAUAUAUACGUAUACAUAUACAUAUAUAUAUAUAUAUGUACAAACUAGGCGUUCAGAUAUAUGUGUACACAUAUACAUAUACAUAUAUACAUACACACAUAUAUAUACGUACAAACUAGGCGUCCAGAUAUGUGUGUACACAUAUACAUACACACACAUAUAUAAUAGGCGUCCAGAUAUGUGUGUACACAUAUACAUACACACAUAUACAUACACACACAUAUAUAUAUAUGCGCACGCGCGCGCGUGUGUAGAUAUAUAUGUGCAAACUAGGCGUGCAGAUAAAGCACACUAUGUGCAGGUGAACAACCAAGCUUUGGAGCCACACGUGUGUAUAUAUAUAUAUAUGUGUGUGUGUGUGUGUAGAUGCAGACAUGCAGGCUAGGUGUGCAGCUAUGUGUGAGGAGGAAACAGCAUUGUGGAUCGUACGUGUGAGAAGGAAACAAACUAGGUGUGCAGACAAGAUGGGAUAGAAAUUUAUAUAAUAAAUAUACAUAAAUAUAUGUAUGUCAGUCAAUUUUCGUAAAUCCUCAUUCGUGAGCCAAACAAAAGUGUCAGUCCACUUUCCUAAAUCCUUGUUCGUAAAUCAUACAAAGGUGUCAACUUUCAACUUUUGUAGAUCAUGUCAGUCCAUAAAUCCUCGUUCGUAAGUCAUACGAAAGUGUCAGUCCAUUUUCUUAAAUCAUAUGUUAGUCCACUUUCGUAAAUCCUCAUUCGUAAGUCACACGAAAGUGGUCCACUUUCGUAAAUCCACGUUCGUAAAUCAUACGAAUGUGUUCAGUCCACUUUCAUAAAUCCUCAUUCGUAAGUCACACGAAAGUGUUGGUCCACUUUCUUAAAUCAUAUAUUAGUCCACUUUCGCAACAAGGUGUCAACCCUCGUUCGUAAAUCAUAUUAGUCCACUUUCGUAAACCGUGGUAAGAUGUCAAUUGGCGUUCAUAAAGCAUGCAAAGAUCUCUGUCGGCCUUAACAAGUUAUGCAGCGGUCGUAAAUUAUGGUUUAGGCGUCAGUAAAUUUGGCCUUUGGAAAAAAUAACUUCUACAAAUUUGGCCUUAGCAAGAAAUGAUUUUAGCUUGGCUUAAAGAAUAUAGUUUCAAGGCCUCAUGAUCGAAAAAAUCAGUUUUCCCCUAUUUUACAUACGGUAAAAAAAAAGGAAAAGGGGGGCAUUGUGGGAGGAUAAAAUUCGGUUUCGACUCAUGGGCCAAUACCAAUCAUCUAAGGAGAAGGUGUUGUGCAAGAUAAACUGUGAGGAAAGCCCACAAGAAAAAUACAAACGCAAGGGAAACAUGUCUAGAUAACUACCCCUACAGACGCAAGGGAAAUGUGUCUAGAUAACUACCCCUACAGACGCAAGAGGAACGUGCCUAGAUAACUGCUCCCACUACGGAGGAGAAGUGGGAGAGGAAGAUAGGUGCCAAAGAACAAGGGACGUAAGGAGAACUCGAGAGAAACCAGAGAAUAGAAAAUCAAUUGCCUAACUUGACCGUCGGAGUAUCUCUUGCAACCCCACCCAGGCAAGCUAUGGAGGAAGACUAUUCGAGGACACCUCUAACGAAGGAUUCGGCGAACGUGAGGAUUGCGGACAACAAAUCUGUGGAGGUAUUUCUUCCCGUAGGAAAUUUCGCUCUAACAAUAACCUGAUUAGAAAUAUUUAACUUGCUCAAAUGCAUGUAGUAUUUACAAAUUAAUUUUCAUGUAGUAUUUACAAAUUAAUUUUCGAAGCAAACUAAGUUGUAAAUAUAUGUUCACAAUGAUACCUAGCAACAAACUAGAUCACCCGCCCGUACCUAGAGUGACUCUGAAGAAUGUAUAAAAAAAUGCAGAAAAUAGCAUUGGAAUGUCAAUGAACGAUCACUAUACCCUAAAAUUAUUUUUGUGUAGUUCAAAAAUCACAACAAUUUUGAUAAAAAUACAUACCAACAAUCAAAUUCACAAACUACAUACAAAUUUUAAGAUAAGAAAUAGCAAACAUACCUCCACAAGAAUUUCAGGCGAUGGAGAUGCAGAGAGAUUUGGGGAAGAUGGAGAGGAAAAGAUGGAGACCAAGAUCACUUCUCUAGCCACCAAAAUAUUAUGAAAAUAAAAAGACUUCUAGGUUUUUAACGUGCAAACCUAGAAAAAAUUGGUGAUGGCAAUUUUGAUGUUUUUUUCCAAGUGUAAUGACAUUUUAGACUUUGCAAAUUAAAAAAUAGGGAUAAUUCGGAAAUUGAAAAAAAAAUCAUUAAAGGAAGCAAAGUGCUUCCCUUGUUUUCUAUGCGUAGCACUUUUAGGAGGAAGCACCUAGGAAGUGCUUCUUAGAAAAUGCUUAUUAGUGCUUCUACUUUUAACUAAAAGUACUUUUAAAGUAUUUGCCAAACGAUCAUUUUUUAAAACUAAAGCGCUUUUACCCAUUAGGAAACGAUUUUGACUCUUUCAAAAGCACAACCAAACGAGCUAGGUGACAACCACCUAGAACGAUCUCGAAUUACCCCUCGACCUAGGCAAUUUCUUUUUUCUAGCCGCCACUCCCUGUGGGUGACAACCACCUAGAAUUCGAUCUUGGAAGAUGGCGGCAUGGACUCCUCUACCGUCCAUUCCAAGACCCCGACGACCAGCAACUUCAUACAUCUCUUUGAAGAAAGAAAAGCUGUGACUACUUACCAAGUUACUCCAACCAUUCAAACAUUGCAAAUUAAGUACUUUAUUAUAUGAUCAUAAUCUGAUAGUGUAGCUUUUUACGCCAACAGUCCAUAUAACAAUCAGCUUUCAAAUGUAUAAACAAUCUGUACACAGUCUAUAAUCCCUAUUAGCUGGGAUCAACAUAUAAAGCUGGUUACGAUAUGGAUGCUGCAAUUCUCAGCUAUUAAACUUGAGUAAACUCCAGAGCAUUUGCAUCCGGGUCUCGAGUGAAAAUCGCCGGCCUCCCGGACUUGCUCAGCGUGUAGGGGAUACCUGCAGUAGCAGAUAGCAGUAUAAGUCGCCCACAUUCCUUCCAUAGAUCAACAUCCGUCCGACAUGUUAUUGAAAAUGAUAUGAACUGCAGAUGAGGAAAACUAAAGCUUACCAGCAUCGUCGAGGAUUACUUUCAGCUUAGACACAUCCCGGAUUGCAAUACAAGUAUGGCGGUCGCGGCCUCCAUGCGUUGGUCUUCCGGUCAAAGGGUCGGGAUUUGGAAGUUCCAUGAGAUGAAUCAUCUCUGAACCAACCCAUAACCAAGCACCUCUGUAGGGGAGCUUAUCAUGUGGCCUUGCCUCAUUUAUUUCAAGCCCUAUUUUUUUUUUAUCCAUCAAUGAUGUCAAAUCAUGUACUUUUAAUAUGCAAGUAAAAGAUGAGAAUUUUGAAAAUUUUACCCAAAAUGUUCUGGUAAAAGCUGAGAGAUCUUUCAAGGUUUUCACACAGCAAUCCGACAUGGUGGACACUAACAACUCCAAAAUCUGCAUGAGAAUCAAAAGAUGAACAAGUAAGAUGCAUCAGAGAAUGCAUAUGCAGCACUACCAAGGAAAAUCUAAUUUAGGGUAACAUGAGCGACAUGCGUUUCUCCUUACAGACAAAUCACAGUUGAAACUUGACACGCAUACAAAAACUUGUCUUUCUGUGAUUCGAGCCAUAGUCUACAAUAAAGAGUGGAGAGGGAGCACACUGCUUCAAACUAACUUUUAGAGUAUUUUGUAACAUAUGUGUUAAACUGUGAUUUGUAGAUACAUAAGAAAGGUUGGUCCUUUCAUGUAAUGAGGCAACCAGUGUUCAAAACAAACAUGUCCCAAAGAUUGAGUUAAGCACGCAAAUUAGAGUGUGUGAAACGAUAUCACAUCAUGCAAUUAAAGUUCACUUUUUGUUUAAAUAGGAUGUUUUAUUCAAAACCAGUGUUCUAAAAAUCGGCCUAAGCAACGCCUAGGCGCUGGGCGGCGGAGCUCCAACUCGAUUUAGACCAAAACAUUCAAUUAGGCGGGGAGGACUUAGGCGGCCGCCUAGGCGCUCACUAGGUGGUGCUAGGCGGCCGUCUAGACGGUUUGAAUCUCGCUGCAAUUUUCACAACCGGAUCUACAACUUCCGAUCUCGUACAUAGCAGCAGAGCUUCAGGGAAUUUCUGUGUCUCUGUGAAGAUGAGGGAAGAGAGAGAGAGAGUAUUAAACAUUUCAAUCGGUGGUGGCGCAAGUUGGAUUUGAGAUCCAAUUUUGAGGUUCUGAAAGUGAAAGGCCGAAGAAGAAGAACGAAGAUGAGGCAAGAGGGAAGAUGAGGCAUGAGGGAAGAGAGUGCCAAGAGAGACUAAAAGAUUAGGUUAUGAAAGGGUAAAGAAGAAGAAACGAAAUUCAAAAGCUGGUGAUGGGUUCUUGGAUGAUGUGAAAGAGUCCGAUGGUUUUAAUUAUGAAACCACCCACUCAUCAGAUGGUUUUAAAUAUGAAACCACCCAUGGGUUUUUUUUUUUUAGUUUUAAAAGUUUGGGAUGUAUAUUAUAUGUAUAUAAAUGUUAUAUAAAUUAUAAAUUAUAAAUCAUUUAGAUAAUAUUUUGUUUUUUUUUCCUAGGCAAGCAUAUUAGAUAUGUACAUAAAACAUUCACAUAUGUAUGUUCUUCUAUAAGAAAUAACAUAUUAUUCAAUAAUUAUUUACAUCUGAUAUAGUAAAUUUAAUUAAUUCAUAUAAUAUAUAAAAAAAUUACCUAAAUCCGCCUAGGCGCUAGGCGCUAAACCACCGCCCGACUAGCGCCUAGCGUUUUUUAGAAACUUGUUCAAAACAUUGUACGAUCAUACAAAAAAUAACUUAAAAUGGUUCAUCCGAAACUCAAACGUGAAAUUAAAGGUUUUUUUUUUUAACAAACAAUAUUCUCUACGCAGGGAGGGGUGGGUUUAGCCUUACAAUAGGCUAGUAAUAAUGUAGUUCAAACCCGCCAACAAACUUAAGACCGCUCACUUACAAAGAAAAGAGGAAUAUCACUGGACUGUAGUACUAAGUGGCAUGAGGUUGGGGAUGCAACACGAAAUUGAAGUUCUUAAAACAAUAAACAACAACAACAAAGUUUUAUCUUACUAAAUUCGGCUGUAUGAACCUUAGAGCGUAACUACGCUCGAUUUUGCAUCAAGUUUUCCGUUAAGACCAAAUACUUCGUAUCUUUUCUUAAAACAACAAACAAUCACAAAAAAUUUAUCUUUAUUGCCAUGGAUUUUAUCAUUUUACAAGUCUCAGUCACACCAAAUUCCCAAAUUUCCAAGACCCAACUUAGAAGACAAUUUUUGGCAAUCAAAUAAAAGUGACCAAAGAAUAAGAAGAGUUACCAUUUUUGUCCUGAGCACCGACUGAUUGCUUCUCCAGUACAUCUUCUUCAACGGUCGCCUUAGCUUUCGCCACAGAACACCGUCCGUGACGCCUGCAACUUCUCAGACCGGUCCGGUCAAUUUUAGAUGAUGGGUUCGUAAGUAAAGUGCUGACUCUAAUCCCAUCUUCCUGCAAUCGAUCAAAUAAACAAAACCCAAAUUAAAUAAAGUAAAAUUAAAUCGUAAUCAUAAAUAAAUAAAAGAAGAAUGAAAAAUGCGUGAUAUAAUAAAAUUUACCUUGAGUUGGAGGGGAAGGGUGGGAGGUGGGAUGAGAAGGGAAGCCAUGGAAGAGCAGCUGCUCAUCUGGGUUUUUGUCUGUUUCUUGUGUUCUUUGUGGCCAGGCCCUCCCUACAGUUCCUACCUCGCAAUGUUUUUGCAGAUAUACUAAUAAAAUAAAUAAAUUAGAAAAUAUUAGAAAAAUCACGAGCCAUUACUUUAUGUUUUGGGGUUAUUAUUUUGGGAAUUGUUAUUAUCAUUUCAAAAAUCUCAUUUGGUACUUCAAAUUUUCUAUAAUUAGAAAAAUACAUUUGUGAGAAGUGUAAAAUGAGAUUUUUAGAGUGCUUAUAACAGUUCCCUCUUUUUUUUUAACAAAUGAUAUUAUGUAUGUUAAAAAAGAUGGGUGAGCUUAACCUCACAAUAGGCUAGCAAUAAUAUGAUUUAAAAUCAAACCUCAAACCUCUAAUUUACAAGUGAAGAUAAGUAUCAUUAGACCGUAAUACUAUGUAGUACAACACGAGGCCCACAUAAGCUUAGACCCGAAGGCAGCAGAAAACAGACAAUAAAAAAACCCUAAUCUCCAUCAACAAAGACUAUGUCGUUUUUGCCGUCACGUCCUCGGAGUAGGCCAAACUCCGAACAGAGAAAGUAGACACCAGAUCCAAUUCUCCUUCACGAGCCCUUGCAAAUAUAUACAAACAAAGUAUCAUAUGGGUAGAGGAUGAGGCUAAGGGGGUAUGUAAAAUACCCAACACUUGGCCUCAAUAGGGUUAUGGCAUAUGUAUGCCGUUUAGGGAGGGUAGGGAGUGAAGGAGGGAAGUGGAUUUGGUAUCCUAUUCCUAAUUGUAGCCCGCCUAUCCGAGUACAUGGUGGGGUGGGAUCACAACUAAGGAGGAAGGAUGACAGAAAGUUAAAAGACAGAAAACAGUAAAAGUAGGCAAAAGAUGCCGGAUAAGUGGCAAGAAGCCUAGAUCUAAAACAAGCUCUGGGAUAGUUGAGACCCAGCUCAGGAAAAACUGAGAUAAACUCAGAAAGAAUCAAGAAUAAAACAAAAGAAAGAGACUGGAAAGAUGAGAAGAAGAGAUGGAUGCAGGGAAUGGGUGGAGCAGAGGAAGUAAUGGGGGAGGAAAAGAAGAAAAAGGCAAAUGAGGGAAGGGGAGAAGAAGGGGAAGAAGAGGGAAGAAUGAGACUGAAAAAAUUAGGAAGUAGCGGGUUGCUACCUACCCCAAGCAAGAGUAAGGGUCGGCGACUGAAAGUUGAAGCCGAAUAAAAGGUUUAAAUCUGGGUUUCUAGAGAGAAACUGUGAGAGGUUAAAUUUCACAUUUGCCCCCCAUAAAGAAUUGAUUUUCCCACAUGAUGGCUUUUAAUUUCUAGGCUUGGUUCUAAUAAAGAGAAUAAUUUUUACAUGUCAUUUUCUUCACUUCUUGUCAGUUGUUAUGAUUGAUAUAGUAACAUAUAUAUGUCACUCAGUACUACGAUCUGAUAGUAUUUCUCUUCACUUGAAAGUGAGAGAUCUUAGGUUCGAAUCUCGUGAAUGGCGAAUUCGAUACCAAAUUAGGCUGCCCAUUGAGCAUAUUUGCCGAACUCCCCCUCUUCUUAGUGCAAAAAUAUCAAUGUACUCAAAAACAUAUAUGAUCACUUGCAAAACACUUGUAUAAUGUGAACACAUGUUUUAAAAAUAAUAAAUAAAUAAAAAAGAAAGGUACACCAAUUGUACUAAGUGCUUAAAGACAAGUAAUAUCACCGAGUUUCAGUAAAAACACAUAUUCUUCUUAAGGCUUAGGUAAACUCCUUGGGUUUAUAACAGGGGUGUGCUAUACAUACACCCCUUGAUAAUUUAUGUCCAUUGAUUUUCUUCAAUUCAUCCGAUCCGACGGUUGAAAAUUAAAAAGAUGUGUGAGAAGUAAAAUGGGGUGUGUGGAUAUCACACCCCUUAUAAUAAGGAAAACUAAAGAAAAUGGCUUAAAAACUUUGAGUUUUAAUGAUAAAGACAAAAUAAAUGGUAAAGUGAAUGGUACCAAGAUUGACUUUUUAGUGUAAAAAUGUGAUUUUUUGUUAAAAUGAACAGUACCAUGAGCUUUUCGUUAAAGUUCCCUUUAUAAUAACUUGUAAUAAUGUAGUACCUCACUCUUAAACUAAACAUGUUAUGGAUUGUAGUAUUGAUGAUUUACGUGUCACGAAAAUAAUAUUUUCAGAAAAUUGUAGCAAUGGUGAAAGACUUUAACUCAAUUGGAGUAAUAAUCUAUCAACUAAAUAUCCAUGACCAUUGAUCUAUUUACUUAUCAAAACAUGCAGUUAUAAUCUUUUUCGUCAACUCCGUUAAAACUUCCAUUAAAAUGAGUCACGUGCCAUGCACAUGAGACUGAAUUAAAGGGCAAAUAUAGGAGACUAAAUGAGAAAAAUUGGAGAAAUUAUCCCUCAAAUUUAACCCAAUUGGAGAAAUUGGUCCCUCAACUUUAACCCAAUUGGAACAAUGGUAUAUUAACUUUAACCCAACUGUAGCAAUAAUUCUUCUAAGAUGACUCAUUUUGACGGAGUUGAUGAAAAUGAUCAUAAUUGCACGUUUUGAGGAGUUAAGCGUAAGGAUGGGUUCAAAAAACCGAAAAAAAAACAAGCUGAACACCGAACCGAAGCCGAAAAAAACCGAACCAAACUAAGUGAACCAAACCGAACCGAUUUAUAUAAUUAUUUAAUAUAUAUUAAUUAUAUAAAUCAUAUAUAAAUACUCAAAACCUAGAGGCAAGGUGUUUCGAACUCCUUACCUCUUGGUUGAGAGUGUUUGUUUCAGCCAACUUGACAACAGGCUUUCUGUUGCUAAAAUUGUACUAGUAAAAUAUUUAUACUGAUUCUGGAUCUUUAAUUCAUUAUAAGAUUUCCAAACACAAAACCCUAGCUGCCCCAUUUACUCUCCCAUUUCAUCUACUCCUAGUUCUGUCUUCUUUGUCUUUCUCUCUCUCUCUCUCCCACCGUGGAGCCAUUGACCUUCUCGCGGGCGAUUCGCUCGAUGUGGAUGACCCAUUUGCGGCGGUGGACCUGGACGACCUUGCCCUCGUGGCUCUUGAAGGUCCCGCGAACCACAUGGGCCUCGUCUUCCUUAUGCACAGGGAACAAAGGUCGGAGGAGAGAGGCGCGCUCAUCAACACGCGGCACACGCUGGAUGGCGCGGUGAAGUAAGCCUUGCCGGCAUUGCAGGUUUGGUUCUGUUUUUGCUUUGUUUUUUCUGAAAUUUGCUUAUGCAUUCACUUUUACUUUGCUUGUUCUUAUGGAAGAUUAGUAUUAGUUCAUUUCAUAAUUUUGUAUCCGAAUAAACCAACAAGUCUCAAUUGUUUAUUUUCGAGGUUAAGUGAUGAAUUUUUGAACAAAAAUUUGCUGAUGUUGUUCUUGGAUUUGUCUAUGUGGUAAAGAUCUUUGGUUUUUGGGUAUUUACUCUUUAUUAAAACCCUUGGUUCUCGUCUGUUUGGCUGUGUUCGGACAGGUGCUCAUGGCUGGAUGUUGCAAUCGGUGAGGCAUCGGUUGGUUGGUGGCGGCGAGUGCUUCAAUGGAAGCCCAGUUUUUUUUUUUUUUUUUGUAUUUUAUGGCUUGGGCCUUUACCAUUUGUUGGGUCUUUUGGGCUAAAUUGGCAGGUCCCCUUUUGGGCUAAUUUACCAAUAUCCAGAAUUUUUUUUUUAAAAAGGAAAAAACUGAACCGAACCGGAAAAAACUGAAACUGAAAAAAACUAAACCGAAAAAAACCGAGGAAAAAUCAAACCGAACCGAACCGAAUAGUAACUUCGGUUUGGUUUUCGGUUUCGACCAAAAACCGAACCGAAAGGAAUCAAACCCACCCCUAAUUAAGGGACCAAUAAUUAUAGAUUUUUUGUUAAGAAAUUAUUGCUCUAAUUAAAUUUUAAUCGAGAGAUCAUUACUAUAAUUUUGUAAUAUUUUUAUGUUCAUAUCUCACUCAUCGUGACACGGUAAGGUCCUAUGUCCGUGCCUAAUUUGGUUAAUUAUGAAUAAAAUUGUAUUGCCAUUGAAAAAUAAUUAUAACAAUCUAAGAGCUGGCUUUUCAACCACUUGAUAAAAAAAUAGAGACUAAUUUAUAUGGGUAUUUUAAUUAAUUAUAAGCCUGAUAUCAUAUCACAAAUAAAUUGAAAGUCAAUAAUUCCAAAGGGAAGAAGACUAUAAAAUCUGUUGACAAUUGACAUGCAAGUCAAGCUGCUAAUAAAACAAUACAAAACUCAAAAACCUAUGGGGGAUGGCCAGCGAAUGAGAUCAUGCUUUAGUCCGUUACUAUUUUUUUAGGGAAUUUUAACGAAAAAUUUACGAUACUAUUUAUUUUAAUAAAAAAUUAUAUUUUUAUGCCAAAAAGUUAAUUCUAAUACUAUUCAUUUUACCUUUUAUUUUGUCCUUAUCAUUAAAACUUAAAAUUUCUAAGUCUUUUUCAUUAAUUUUUUUUAUCUCUAUUGAAAAUGUUGCAAAUUUGAAUUAUAAAUUACUUUAACUUACGAAUUCAAUCUCAAGUGGAAUGAGACGGUCAAACUAAUAUAGCGAACUGGCGUUUGAGUUAUUUGAUUUCAUUUUUAUAUUUUUGGUGAACCGUGUUAGAUUGCAAAAUAAUUCACGCUAAAUACAUGUAAAUAAUUAUGGUUAUAAUUUAUUUGGGUUGCGAUUGCAAUGUUUUAAGUCGACAUGUAAAAUGUCAAACAGCCGAUGAUGUAGGUGUGUGAGGCCCCGUUUGGGAUUGAGGUGAUUUUAAAAAAAGCCACUGUGAAAAAAAGCUGAGGGUCAUUUUUGUGUUUGGUAAACUGAAAAAAAAAAGCUUAUUUUGGAAGCUGCUGUGAAAAUAAGCUGAAAAUCAAAGGAAAAGCUGAAGCUGCUAUUUGCUGCUUUGAAAAAAAGCCAGUUUUUUCAAAGCACAUGGAGCUACAGUGCUCCUUUAAUGAAAAGACACACUAUCAUCCUGCUUUUUUUUUCCAAAAGCACUUUCACAAAAAAGUUUACCAAACACUCUACUGGCUUUAUUUCACAGCCGCUUAUUCUCACAGCACAGCCGCUUAUUCUCACAUCAGCUUUUUUUCAAAGCACAGCAAUACUAAACCAGCCCUGAGUCACGGCGUACGUACCGCAUGCUAGUCUUCAAACAUGUACCGUUUUGUUCUUCUUUCAGACUUGUACUUAAAUAAUUAUGUAACUAUCAAUCACAUGUAAUUUUGAAAUUAACAACGUUGACCAAUAGCUUUUGGGUCAAUGUGAUUAAAAAUAAGCCACUUUAAUCUUGGAAAUAAAUCGAAGUCUAUAGAAACUAAAAGCUAAAGCCUAGAGAGAAAGAACUUCAUUAAUAACAAAGAACAUGAAUUUCAGUUUCCAAAAAAAAAAAAAAACAUGAAUUUCAUGUAAAAGAAAUCCUAAGCAGAUGUUUUUAAAGUGGAAAUCUUCAAUGAUUUUCUGUUAUUUUAUAGUUUAACAUUUUUCAUGUCAGUAUUAAAAAAAAUAUUAUGCUAAAUUUAACAGUGACAUGCAUUUAUUAGUUAAAUGGCAAAAAAAAAAAAAUUACUGAAUUUAGUUUUAAUAUAGUAGUUCUCAGACAUAUCGGAGUGUAGCCAAGUUGGCUAGAAAAAUGUACUUCCUCUUUUGUAAAUGAGUAAUGCUAGGUAAAUGAACUUUUUAGACCAAAUUUAUAAAUCAUGUGAUGUGUCAUUGAUAGUAAAUAAGCACAUUAAUCAAUACUUAAUAAUAAUCCAAUUAUCAACAUUCACGUUAUAUGGAUUACAAAUUUUAAUUUAAAUAGUUAGUCUCCCUAGCAUUGCUCUUUGUAAAUAUCUUAUUCUCCUUCAUUCAUAAAUUAGAAUUGGGUAGUGCUAUCCACCCAUCCAUUUUUUUUAAAUUUAUUAUCAUUAAGGGGAUGAAAAGAGUUUAAAACUAUUACAAUAAAUUAGGAGAGGAGAAGUUUCAAACCUGGAACAUAUUGGUAGAAACACAACAUCCUAUCCAUUGGUGAUGUAAGAGGAGCCAAUGGGUCUUGGGAAGACGAUGGAGAUAGAAACCAGGGGAGUCACUCAACCAACUGCAUCAAUUAGAAUAUUGGACCACUUGCAAACAUACUUAUUUCUACUUCUUACAUAGCACUCUCAAUUUUCAGUCGUUGGAUCGAAUAAAUUGAAGAUCAACGAUAAAAAAAUAAUAAAGAUAUGUGAAAAAAUAAAAAUAGAUGUGUAAAUAGCAAUUUUAGUUAGAAUAUCGCUUUAUAAAAAACAAGAUAGCUCCCUGUUUCACUUACUGGUAGUUGUUUUUAAUGGUUCGAAAUUGUUGGUUGUAAAUAAAAGAGAAGUUGACUAAAACAAUCUCAAAUAAAAAGUAAAAAGUGAAAGUAAAUUGUGAGGUAGGGUUUCAUUAGAAUGGAUCGAAAAUCCUUUUGUGUCAGUACUAAUUCGUGCAGAUGACGUUUUAACGGCACCGUAAUAACGCUCAUUUAUAGUACAUUGUAAAAAGAUGAUGGUUGAUGGUUUUGUCCUUUAAUUUUAGGAUAAUUCGGUUCCCAACCCUCAAUCUUUUGAAAUUAAUCCCUUUAAACUUUUAAUACGAAAUAACUAGUUUGUCCCUUUAAAUUUUAAUUUAUUUAUGUUAAACACUUUUUUAACCACCACCAAAUGUCAUAUUUAAUAACUAAACCCACUCAUCAUCAUUUUUUUUAAGCUCUCAAACCUAGUAUUUUCCAUUAUUGAACGAAUCUAAACAUGAAAUCGUCUCUUGAGUAUCCAAAUGAGGCACAGGUUGAUAAUUUUUUAUUUCUCAUCAAAUUUUUAGAUUCAGACACCAUGAUAAACGCCUAACUAAAAAUAGAGGAUGUUCGGUGCAAAAUCCCUAUGGAUAUAACAUUAAUAUUCAUCAUUUAUCCACGUCAAUUUUUUUGGCUUAGUUAAUUAAAUUUUCACGUUACAUCAAACUUCCCUAAAAAAAAAAAAUUAAAACCCAAUCUUGAGUACAUUUACUCGAUACCUCAUCGCUUGCAAAUGAUUACAUGUAGUGAGCGUUUACUGAAUAGUUUAGUUGGAAGCCUUCCUUUGCGCAAAAGAUUCAAAUUUUCUCACAAUCCCUAAUGGCUUGCAAAUGAUUACAUGUAUUCAGAGUUUAGUUUAUAACAUUUUUGCUUUUACCGUUACAAAUUCCAUAAAAUAUUAAUACCGUAAAACAAAAGAUCCAAAACAGUUUACUGCAAACCUUCUUUGGCGCAAAACAAUUAAACUAUUUUCAUAUUCAUUGCUUGCGGAUGAUCACACGUGUAUUCAAAGUUCUCUCAAUAACCCUACUAAUUUUACCGUUACGAAUUCUAUAAAUAUACGUACAACAAAACCUGAACAAUUUAAUUCAAAAACCUUCUUUGGCGCGAAACAUUCAAAUUCACUCGAUGCCUCAUCGUUAGCUUGUAAACGACUACAGUCAUUCAAAGUUUACGAACUAGCUUUUCACAGAUUUCAUUGAGAAGGAAAACUCUGAAGCAUAUCCAAAACACAAAAUAGUGAAUCUUUGGGGGAGCUUUUUGGCAACAAAAGUCAUUUAGCAAUUGAGUACAAGCAAAGUCACUAUUUCACUUAUUCUCCCUCUUUUUCCCUCUUUCCUUCUUCCUUCCCCCAAAACGAAACUUCCCCAUUUCCUUCCCUCCCCACUUCCAAAUUCCCAACGUCAAUACAAAAAACCACCGUCCCCCCAAAAUCCCAACCGCGUAAAAGCACUCGUCCAAAAAGGUCAAGUCUCAGUCAAAAGGUCCCCCACUCCGCGUUCACACCUGCAUACACGCCUCGCACAGAUAUAAAUAUGCCUCCCCUCCAGUUCAACUCCUCCAGCCGACAUCUCCAUAUCUACCAGUUCACCUCCAAGCUCGAAAUUCAAGUUCACACAGGCAUUUCAUCAAACACCUUUCAUCCCACCACCAAAGUUCAGACCUUUCAUGGAAAUUACUCCGUUCCCAUUACUUAGUCAAGAAGAUGACUCCCAUUUCUAUACCCUGUUGUCUGACAUGGACGAAUUCGACAUAAAUGGCGGGAAUCACACCCUGAAGAAGCGGAGAAAGGACGAUGGAAACAACCAUGGUGGCGGCGCUGGAGCUGCUCCGGGGGCAAUGAGCGACAUACUUGCCUCGCUGAUUCUGCUGGACGAGGAGGAGAAGCUGGAGCAGGAGAGCUACUUGGUCGAAGCCCAGCAGGAAAGAUCGAUGCUUGAAGAUAAUCACAGGCAGAAGACUCGAGCUAUGGAGGAGUACUACUCUGAUAUUCAGCAGCACCAUUCUCAAUCCGACGAAUCGGACCUGUCUAGGGCGAAACGGAGUCGACAGUCCGCUUCCGCUGCGGCCGCUGCUGCAGCUGAGGCCUCCGCGGCCGGUCCGGACCCGAGUUCGAGUGCUAUGAUCCCGGGUCCGCACCGGAGGCUUUGGGUGAAGGACAGGCCCAAGGUGUGGUGGGAGAAUUUGGGCCGCCCAGACGUUUCGGAGGAGGAGUUUCGAAAAGCUUUUCGGAUGAGCAAGGGGACGUUCGACAUGAUCUGCGCGGAGCUGGAGUCGGCGGUUUUUAAGAAGAACACAAUGCUGCGCGAGGCAAUUCCGGUGCGCCAACGCGUGGCGGUGUGCAUAUAUCGGCUUGCCACCGGGGAGCCGCUCCGGGAGGUUUCGAGACGUUUCGGGCUGGGAAUCUCCACCUGCCACAAGCUGGUUCUGGAAGUUUGCGUUGCCAUCAAGACUGUCUUGAUGCACAAGUUUCUCCAGUGGCCGGACGAGGGCAGGAUGCAGGAGAUCAAGGAGGAGUUCGAGGCCACUUCCGGAAUUCCAAAUGUUGCUGGGUCUAUGUACACCACCCACAUAUCAAUUAUUGCUCCAAAGGUGAAUGUGGCUGCGUAUUUCAACAAGCGGCACACGGAACGCAACCAGAAAACUUCGUAUUCGGUCACGGUUCAAGGGAUUGUCGAUCCGAGAGGCGUUUUCACCGACGUUUGCAUCGGCUGGCCGGGUUCGAUGCCGGACGAUCAGGUGCUGGAGAAGUCUGCAUUGUUCCAGAGAGCAAACAGAGGACUCUUGAAGGAUGUGUGGGUUGUGGGAAAUGCUGGGUUUCCACUGAUGGAUUGGGUGCUGGUUCCUUACACCCACCAGAACUUGACGUGGACCCAGCACGCAUUCAAUGAGAAAAUCGGAGAAGUGGAAGGGGUGGCUAAAGAUGCAUUUGCAAAGCUCAAAGGGAGGUGGUCUUGCUUGCAGAAGAGGACUGAGAUCAAGCUGCAGGACUUGCCUGUUGUGCUUGGGGCUUGCUGUGUUUUGCACAAUAUUUGUGCAAUGAGGAAUGAUGAGCUCGAUCCCGAGUUCGAGUUCGAGCUCUUCGACGAUUUGGCAACGCCGGAAAAUAGUCUGAGGUCGGCGGGAUCGGUGCAGGCGAGGGAUCAUAUUGCUCAUAAUUUGUUGCACCAUGGCCUUGCUGCAGGCACCGGUUCUGGUUUUCUAUAGGGGGGGGUUUUGAGUUCAGCUUUUGUUCUAGUCAUAUUAUAGAGUAAAAGAUGAUACAGAGAUAUAUGUAGUUUGGCUUUGUUUAGCUUUGUGUAUAUAAGCAUUUACCCACCUUCUGUCUAUUUAUCCAUUCUAAAUAUAUUUCCUUCUUUUUUGCUAUCUGAAAUUCUAAAUCUGAUUUUGAAGUUUGAGCGACCAUAAGACUAGCUGAGACCUUUUAUUACGUUGUUGAAGGUGAAAUCUGUCGUAUCACUAAAUGUAUAUCAUUGUGAUUGUGCUUCUUUCCCUCUGAUUAUGAAAUUUGAGCGACUAUAAAGCUAGUCAAGAUUUUCAUUUAUGAUUCAUUGCCGAAGAGAUAUUUGUCGUGUCACCAGACACCAACUGACAUUUUUAAUUAUGUUGUCGACGGAAAAGUUGAUGUAUCACUAGUUGUAUAUAACUUUGUACCUAUCUCUUUAAGAUGCACGUUUGAGCAAUAUAACUAGAUAAGAUUCUUGAUUAUGUUAUUGAAGAGGAAAUAUGUCAUAUCACAAAUUGUAUAUAAUUGUGCACCUAUCUCUUUUACUCGAAAGUUUGAAUAACUAUAAUCCUACUCAAAAUUUUCAAAUUAGGUUGUCAAGAGACAAUUUCUUGUAUCACCGGUUGUAUACAACCUAACAUCUUUCAUGUCACGUGCUUGAUCACUUAUGUUACCAAUUGUGUACAACAUUGCAUCCUUCUCGUAUUGUGCUCAGCUGUUCAUGUUUCGAGAGAUAGACACAGAAAAAAAAAUCCAAUGGAAGAUAAGUAAGAUUCUUCCCGUUGUCAAUCAUGUAACUUUUACUUCUUGGCCAUAUCAGGCUAUUAAACUAGGCAGGCCCCAAAAUACCAAGUUCCACAGAAUUUGUGAUGGCGCAUCAUAAAUUCCUAAUUUUCAACCUUACAAUCUCUUUUGCAGUCAUAGGUUUUAUCAACUCUUUGUCCAACAAACUGAUUGCAACGCGGUUUCCCCUACUUUGUCACAACAACAAUUAUGGUUUGUGUUGCUCCGCCCCCACUUUCCUCUCACCUUUGAACUAUUUGCUUGCCUGGUCUCCUCUGCUCUUUGACUUUAACCAACUCUUUCUUGGCAAGUUGGCGUUGAUGGGGGAGACUACAAGUCUAUUUUAUCAACUAAUUAAUCACCUUCACUAUAUUUUUCUAAUUUCCAUUAGUCUUGUUUCGGGUAGAAUCGGCUUUGUAACCGGUUGUUUGUUCACUUAUAUCGUGAUGAGAAAGACAAAGAUAUCAACCGUGGAUCGGUAAGAGUUUCUGCUUGUAGUUUAGGGAGUGGUGGAAACCUUGUUGUGAGAUGUUUUUGGCCAGUUGGAUUUUUGCUAGUCUGCAUUUUGAAGUCGAUUUACAAUAUCUGAGUCUUUCAAUACAUUUGCAGCAAUCUAACAGAGCUUCUCUGUUUUUGCUUGAUUAUCAUUUACUGAAGAGAAGAUUAUCAUUAAGAAAGUAAAAUCUAUAAAACUAAUUAUAAACAUGGUAACAUCAAGGCACAAGUAGAUUUUUCUCUCUAAUUCGGAAAUUAAUUUGGUGUCUCAGGUGUAUACACUUUUGUGUCGAUCUUUCUCCUCACUUACGUAAUCAAGUUGAUGAGCGAGAUGACACAUAGAGACAAAGGUGUAUACAUUCCUUUUGUGAUGAAACAGAUAGAGAUGGAGAUGGUGUGUACAUUUCUUCCGUGAUGAUAUAGAUAGAGACAGAUGUGUACACAUUCCUUCCGUGGUGAUAUAGAUAGACACAAAGGUGUAUACAUCCCUCUCAUGAUAAUACAAAUAGAGACAAAUGUGUAUACAUUUCUUUUGUGAUGUUACAAAUAGACACAAAAGUGCAUACAUGCCUCUCGUGAGGACGCAAACAGAGAAAAAAGUGCAAUACAUUCCUUUCAUGACAAACAUAUAAACACAAAUGUGCAUACAUUUCUCCCGUGACGAUACAGAUAGACACAAAGGUGUAUACAUUCCUUCUGUGACAAUACAGAUAGACAUAAAAGUAUAUACAUUUCCCCCGUGAUGAUACAGAUAGACAAAAAUAUGUAUACAUUCCUCCACAAUGAUACAGAUCGACACAAAAGUAUACAUUCCACCUGUAAAGACAAAUACAUAUGAACGGACACGCAUAUACAUCCUUGACAUGCAAGUUAUAACAUUUUGGAAGCAUUUCCAUUACCUCCCCUAAUUCAUGAACCAUCAUGUUUUCCUUUUAUUAAAUGACUCUCAUCAAGAAAGUUCAUUGCACCUGCAAAAUGUUUGGUUUCAAAUUCUACUCUGGCAAUCUCCAACCAUAUUGACAGAUUGGAUUUCUUUCAUUAGUGAGGCAGCAGAUAAGACUACGACAGCUAAAAACUGUGCAGAUUUAGUCUUUCACUUCGAAACCUGCCUACCAACAACUGUGAAACAUUUGAUUUCCAUUUUUAGAAAUUUCUCAAGUGCAUCUUUUCACACGUGAAUUUUUCUUUUCGAGACUUUCACAUAUGGAAAUCUUGUGCUGCCAUUGCAGCAUUAAGAACAUGAAUUUACAAAUCACUUUCUAAGUAUAUGACUAAUUAUAAUUUUUUUUUCUUUCCAAAAUAUGAUUAUUUGUCAAUUAAGGAAUAAAAUUUGGUUAAUUCCUUUUGUUUAAUAUAAAGAGAAUAUAUUUAGUUGUAACAUGCUGUACCACCUGAGAAAUGCCACCCAAGAGAGUCCAACUGUAGGAACCCAGGAACAGCCAACUGGACAUGGACACGUGUCAGACAGACAAAUUAGACGUUGGUGGAGAGAAAUAUAAAAAUUGGUUGUAGAAGCUGUUUUUGGAGGGGUCUCGUAUUCUCAUUCGUCCCGGGGUUUUCGCUUCGUUGUCACUCGUCACAAUCAUCCAAAUUUCUCAAGCCAUAGAGAGAGGUAGAGAGGGAGAGGAUGGAGAACCAUAAGCAGAUGGAGAGGGACGAGGCGGGGCCCAUGGCGGUGGAGGCGGCGGAGGAGGAGGAGAACGGGCAGGUGGGGUCCAGCCUGACCCUGGAGAGGGUGGCUGCGGCAAAGCAGUUCAUAGAGAGCCACUACAAGGCUCAGAUGAAGCACAUCCAGGACCGUAAACAGAGGUAGGGAAAAAAGACAUUUCCUUUUGUUGAAUUUACUGUUUUUAAGGAUCUUUCUGUCUUGCCCAGUUCUUGUUUUUGCAAUUUCAGCUGGUGUUUUUGCGAUCAGAAUUGUUUUUUAUUCUGGGUAUUUGAUUUUUUUCUUUUGUUUGGAAUGGAAAGCCUUGAUUUUCCUGAGAAAUGACGGUGUUUCUUUGACUGCCCUGGAAUUGCAUUCCUGGAAAGAGUUGGAAUUUGAUUGGUUUUUUGGGAAAUGGGGUUCAUUGGAAAUUCCCAAAUCAUUGUGCUUUUGGAAUGCAUAUGCUUUCAUGAAGUGGAAGUAAAUAUUGUUAAGUUAUGCUUAUCACCAAGUCGAAUUGUGUUUAGAUUUUUUCUACCAGGGGAGCUAAUGAUGAUAGCAACCUUAUAAGGAAUAUCAAACAUGAUAAGAUGUUGGGUGCUGAUUUUGCAGAAUGACAUUUGCAAAUUAGUAAAGAACUGCAUAGUGAUGAAUAAUUAUAGUUUUGAGGCUUCGUAAUUAUAUAAUCCGCAAAUCCUUAGUUGGAAAAGUAUUUUGUUAUUGGUUUGUUAUGACUUUAAUCACCUUAGAAGAACUAAACUGGGUGCAACUGUGAACAAAUUGAGAAAGAUAUUUAUUGUGCAUUAUUUGGCAGUUGACUGUGUGAUUGAGCCCCUUUGGUUUAGCAAUAAGCGAGAGACAUGUUUCAUAACAUAAAAUGGGUGGUGGUUGUCAUUGGUUCUUUAUGGAUUGUUUGGAUUGUUUCUCGUUUGUGUUUUUUUCAUGCCAUUCCAUCAGGUAUAAUUUGUGUUAAUAUUUCAACUUGUGCAUGGUAGAGUCACUGGAAGAGACUGCUGAAAAAGCUAAAAUGUUGAGUUCUUAGGCAAUAGAAUCGCCUGUUAAUAUGGUUAUUUCUGCAGUGUUUUUCAUCAAUGUUAUCUUUAAUGCCUGGUCUGUUCUGUUUCCAGUGUCCAUUAUGGCAGUUUUACUUCAAACACUGUUGCAUUCAUGCCACAUAAACUUUAUAUCGCUAGUGCUGAAUAUGUUCUUGUUUUUUUAUAUGUUUUUAGAGUCCACUAGUUGUGAUGUGCCUCCACCACUGGUAAUUAAAGUGAAAUUGGCAAUGGUUAGAGGAUAAAGGUUCUGUCAUUGAUCUUGAUAUGUGCCCUCAAAUGUGUUCAUUGUUUCCAGGCGCUCGGUGCUGGAAAAGAAGUUGGCAUCUGAACAUGUACCAGAGGAGGAACAGAUCAAUUUGUUGAAGGAUUUGGAGCGCACAGAGACUCAAUACAUUCGCCUUAAAAGGCACAAGAUUUGUGUAGAUGAUUUUGACCUUUUGGCCAUAAUUGGGAGAGGGGCCUUCGGAGAGGUAGAUAUAUGCAUCUCUUAUAACUUGCAUGGGUGCUAGGUUUAAAAGAUUUUUAUUUUCCUUUUCAACUUAUUAAUAUACAGAGAAAGUGAGUAUAAGCUUGUUUCUGUUACCCUUGACCUCGAGUUGUUUACUGUUACAGUAUGCUGAUUACUUCUAAAACAAAUAUGAUGGUUAUUUGUUUCAUUUUCUUUGUUGUAGUUUUUUUCUUUGGUUUAUGUUUGAUAAUUUCUUGAUACAAUAUUUCUAUUAAUAUUUUGCAGGUUAGACUGUGCCGGGAGAAGAAAUCUGGCAAUAUUUACGCCAUGAAAAAGUUGAAGAAGUCAGAAAUGCUCAGUAGGGGGCAGGUAAUUAUAUUGCACAUCAAGAAUUGAUUUAAUUUUAACCUCUUUUACCUUAAGGGAAAGAGAAACUUCGAUUUAAGGUUCUCAAAUUUUCAUCCAUUACUUCUAGUGUAAAUCUUGUACUCACUGGUUGUCUAUCCACAAUGUAGGUUGAACAUGUUAGAGCUGAAAGGAAUUUGCUUGCAGAGGUUGCCAGUCAUUGCAUUGUGAAACUUUACUAUUCCUUUCAAGAUGCUGAAUACUUGUAUCUAGUCAUGGAAUAUCUACCUGGUGGUGACAUGAUGACUUUGCUUAUCAGAGAAGAGUCUUUGACUGAAACUAUUGCUAGAUUUUACAUUGCGCAAUGUGUUCUGGCCAUAGAAUCUAUUCACAAACAUAACUACAUUCACAGGUUGGUUUAUCCUUUUGGUCACAGGCUUGCCAACAUUGGAAGCUGCAUUCUGUUAAAGUUUGUUAUAUUAAUAAAUGGUACAUCAAGAUAACAUAAUGUAACUCUUGCAUUUGCUACGUCUAUGUUUUUUUUUCAGAGACAUAAAACCAGACAAUCUUCUGUUAGACAAAAAUGGUCACAUGAAGCUUUCUGAUUUUGGUCUUUGCAAGCCUCUUGAUUGCUCAAAUUUAUCUUCCAUAAAUGAAAAUGAAGUGCUUGAUGAUGAGAACCUGCAUGAGACAAUGGAUAUUGAUGAAUCCUUCCCAGAAACCAAAAAUGGGAGGCGCUGGAAAAGCCCGCUUGAGCAACUUCAGCAUUGGCAGAUAAACAGGAGAAAAUUGGUAGUCAAAUGAUCCUUUCCUUUAUAUUCUAAUGUGGAAUUUCACCUCUCUUACAGUCUUACUCUUAGAUUCUUGACUGGAUAAAGUGCAAGCAACAAACAUUUGCUAUUUGUAUAUAAUUAACACUUUGUAGAUUUAAGAUGCAAUGUUUAAUGCCAUUUCCUUUGUUUCAAUGGUAGGCAUUUUCUACAGUUGGAACUCCAGAUUACAUCGCUCCAGAGGUAUUGUUGAAGAAAGGAUACGGCAUGGAGUGUGACUGGUGAGUCCACGAUGUUGGAGCAUUAUUGGAUUGUUAUAGUAGCUAAAAUAUGUGUGAGCAAGUUCGUUUGUGAAUUCUAUUUCUCACCCAAUUCCUGCUUGUAGGUGGUCACUUGGUGCAAUAAUGUAUGAGAUGCUGGUUGGUUAUCCUCCAUUUUACUCUGAUGAUCCAGUCACAACAUGCAGAAAGGUUACGUAGUCAGCAUAUAUUUUGCUUAUAUUUUCUGAUUCAAGUGUAUACUAUCUCAUAGUUUUCAUUGUUGCAUGGUUUUCACAAUAAUUAGACUGCGGUAAGAUUAAUUUCAACAUAACUCGCCAGGUUGCGUUUGUCUCACAUGUUUUUCUCAAGAAAGUUGAAUUUACAAAUUGUUUCUGAAGCAGUAACAUUUGCGGAGUUCUACAUUUCUUACUGAAGUUUUAUUGAUAUAUUCAUAUCUCGUGCAUAACCUGACAUAUGGAAGAAUGUAUGCAGAUUGUACAUUGGAAAAAUCACUUGAAAUUUCCUGUCGAGGCAAGGUUGACACCUGAAGCAAAGGAUCUGAUUGGUAGGUUCCUUUGCGAUGUUGAAAAUAGACUUUGUAGAGCAGACCAAAUUAAGGUAUUUCCCCUCUAUUUCCGAUGACUUUUAUGGUUUUACCCUCACAUUGUUACGCCAUUCUUAAUGAAAUAAGUCCUCGUAUUUUAAAUGGAUCAGGCUCAUCCUUGGUUUAGAGAUAUUGCAUGGGACAGACUUUACGAGACGGAGGCAGCAUUUAAACCAGAGGUCAAUGAUGAACUUGAUACUCAAAACUUUAUGAAGUAUGAUGAGGUAAGGUGUCAAAUAUACUCCUGUUGGCUUACUGCUCACGAAAACAUCCAACCUAUACUAGUCGCUAGUAGUGAGGUACUGGAUUGUGCCCUUGUGUCUAAAAUUCAACUGUGCUGCAGGUGGAUCCACCAGCACCUGGAAGAACUGGAUCUGGACCAAUGAGAAAGGUAUGUUUCUCAUAGCCAAAAGAGAACGGAGACUUAAAGUGGCGCAAUGUCAAUUCAUAAUCUGGUGAUGGCUUUUGUAAUGUAAACGUGUAAAAGGGUACAUUUUGACAUACUAGAUUAAUAAAACAAAUUUUCUUUAUAUUUUUGGGGGUUUGAACUUAUCUAAAAUAUCAACUAAUCUUUUUUUGGAGGCCCAGUGUGCUUAUUUUCAUGAUCUUGUAUGAAGGAACAUUUUUACUCUUGGAGAAGGGAAAACACGGAAAGAAAAUUUGUGUUAUAUUAGUUUUGAUUUAUGUAAAGUAGUUUCCGUGACACUUUGUGCUUGUUCUGUAUCUUUCUUUGCAGACGUUGUUGACUCCUAAAGAUCUCAGUUUUGUUGGCUACACAUACAAGAAUUUUGAGGCUGUCAAAGGGUUGCAUCAUUCAUCUGGUAUGCAUUGUACCGCAGUACAAUUUUCUUCACAUCUCUUUUUGCCUUUGUCUUUCUAUGCGCAAUAUGCUACCAAGUUUUAAUUUAAUGAGCAACUUCAUCUGCUAAAUUUCCUGGAUUAUGCUCAUUACUGUUACAGAUCUAAAGAGAAGUACAUCGCUGAACCGGACAUCUGUUGACUCUUCUCAAAGUAAUAAAUCCUGACCCGAACUGGUCUCAUUGACUGUAAAUUUUGUUUGUAAUGUGCCUGUAAUAAUUGACUGUGUACCUGUCCAGGUGAUUCUGUACUGGACUACUCCACUAAGUAUUCCUCGUACGACAUGGAAGCUCAGGUACUUGCUGCAUCAGAGGAUGUCAUGUCAGAGUGACUCGUAGCAUCUAGUAUGACAGGCGGAUAGAGCCCUUCUAGGAACAUGCUGGGCGCACCUGCUUGUUUUUUCCGGUUAGGUUUUCACCCACAUGAUCAACACAGUUGACAGCUACAUCUUGCAGAACAGUGUACAGUAGUAAUGUUGAAGACGCUUCAAGAUGACCCGUUGGAUGGGUUGGUUUUGUAGGAGUAGUACUAGUAGAUCUUGAGAGCUUUUUGUAUCCCAGUAGGUGUGAGAGUUUUGUCAAGGUCUUGGCUACCCAGGUUGGCAUUCAAAAUGUGCCUUCACUUGUGGCAGUUUUUGAUCUUUCUUCUCUUGAUUGUCUAUAGAAAAUUAUGGUUGCCGAAACAUGAAAAAACUGAGGUUUUGAGUCCUAAAUUUGAGGAUGUUAUUGAUGUUGAAAUCUUAUAGUCCCAUAUCUUCCCAAUACUUAUAUCUCUUAUUUCAUAUAAAAUUGAUUGCAGCUGAGUGCAGUUUGGCUUCUUUAUGCCCUUUUUUUUUCCUUUCUAGGAAACCUCGACGGUACGAGAGAAAAACUUUUCCCCUGUCCUCAAUAUAUAACUUUUUUUUUUACCAAAUCGUAGAUAACCAAGAUUCAAUACAACAAUCGCCACCAAAAGGCUUUUCUUUUGGAACAAAACAAACCACCAGACUAAUGCAAAGAGUGGCGGGAACUGACACACCCCGUCCCGAAGGAGGGCAUGCUGGCCGUCACGUGAGAGUGACGUAACCAUUUGCACAGUACGGAAGCUUUAAGAUACAAUUUAAAUUGAUACACCCGAAGGUGAGUCCUAAUUUGUCCAAUCUGUCAGAACACCGUCGAAUUCCUCGUAGUCACCACACCUUUGUGAUUCUUGAACCUGGAGGGGCGCAAAACCAAAAUUGAGUGGGUCAGUAAAACAAUUCUUUUCCAAAUCCAAACAUUUCUCAAAACGUUGUAACCCCUCUCCGUAAAACCUGUAUACUUUCCCAGAAAUGUAAAAUAUAAAUAUACAUAUAUAUUCUCAAAACUUCAUUUUUACUAUCUCAACAUUUUUCUUUAUCAAUCAUGCCAUGCCAUGUCUAAUUCAACAGUUAAAUAUGGAUGCAUCAAUAAUAAUCAUAUCAGGUGCAAGAAAGUAAUCAACCGGAGGCCCUCUAAUAGCCCUGUACGGUUGAACCUAGAGCUCAAAAUCUAUCACUAUCACUCUACCGGAGUCACCUCUGUGACCCGUCCGGCCUUCUGCACACAAGUUACGCUCUAGUGCUUUUCUCAUCAAUCAUCUGUGCACAUAAUCUAAGGUCACCCACCAGUCGGAAUCUCACUAAACACUCUCGCGACUGGCCUGUCGUACCCACUCCGCGUGGACUGUACGACUAGCAUCUACUUGGAUCCAAGGCGAGCGUGCGAUGCGGUGAAUACUAUAAGCACUAAACCAUGGUGCAGGAUUUGAGCUCAAUAUAUAUCAACAUCAUCAUAACAGUAAUUAAAUACUCACCUGAUACUCACCUGUGCGUCCGCCGCACCAUUCAUUCAUAUGCAUCAUAUCUCAAUUCAUACUUUUCAUAUCAUUUCAUGCAUGGCAAUUCGAUUCACAUUUCUAUAUACUUUUCAUAUACUUUUAUGCAUGGCAUUUCAACUAAUAUAUCUCAUAUACUUUUAUACAUUUUCAUUAAAAGCAUAAUUUCAUGCAUUUUCAAUUUCUGGGAAACGGCAAGUAUAUAUGUAUACGGAAAACAAAACUGCCCACUCACCUGGAGUUCGCCCUACAACUCCCUAGCACAAUACGCCAAGGCGUCAUGACGAUCGGCGCCUAAAACAAUAAUUAAUUCCAACCUCAGAAUUCAUAGUGAUAGAAUAUAUAACUUAUAUAAAAUACGUCACUACGUAGUUCGAUCCGGAAGAUCUGCCACUCAGAUUUUAAAUCCAUAACUUCCAGAGGUCCACAAUAUACCUCUAGGACAACUUCCUAAAAUUUCAUUACCAUCCAACGGUCGGAUCUCCGUCAAUUUCCAAAACUAAGUGACGGUUAACAUUUUAUUUUAUGAACUUACAAUUCCAAUUCCGGAAGAUCCGUAAACUCGGAUUCCCAAUCCGUAAGUUCCAAUAAUCCUCAAAUAUUACGUAUUACAACGUAUCAAAGUUUGGUAACGAUCCAACGGUCGGAUCGUCAAUUCACAUUUUCACCAAAACUAUAAAACGUUAUUCGAACACCUAACCAACAAUCCUUAAUAACUUUCUCAUACGGUGCUCAAAUUGGGUAUAUGAAUAUACCACGGUGAUCUACUCGACGUCACGGACGUCGACAUAUUUUUAAAAUAAUUUUAUUUAUUUAUUUUUUUAACUGUAGCACCUUCUUCUUCCUUGGGUCGCCGGACUGGUUUUUCCGGCGGCCGUUUUCCGGGCAGUUUUUCAAAUUGUCAUAACUUUGUCAUUUCUCAACGAAAUCAAGUGAUUCAAAAACGAAAGUUGUAGCCCUUGAAGAGACAAAGAGAAUGGUACCUUUCCCAACACCUAGUUCGCCGUAGUUUGGCCGGAAACUGCCUCGAAAGCCUCGGAGGUCGCCGGAAAACUGGGUAUUUUUUCAAAUGAGUAUAACUUCUUCAAUACUCAACAAAAUUGAGUGAAACAAAAAGGAAAGUUGUAGUACUUGACGAGACGAAGAGAUUGAUACCUACCUCGACGCCUAACUCGCCGGGGAUUCGCCGGAAAAUGCCUCGAAAGCUCCGGCCAAACUUUGAACUUAUCGAUCUCCGUGUUCUUACGUCCAAAAACUUCCAACGAAGCACUCCGAGCUUCCUUGGAACCUCACUAAGCUCACUGUGAGCUUGGAUUGUCCUAAAACAAAGUCAAUUCGAAGAUCAUGAACAGUGCACUUUCACGGGAGUUUAGAAUCUAGGUUUUCCGAAGUAAAACUUACCUGAAAUUGGUGUCUACGUGAUCGUGGAGUCUCCAGGAGUUCGAUGGUGGUCUUAACUCCGUCGUUGGUGGAAGUUUAAGGUUGUUUUGUGGUUGGUUUGUUCGAACGGAGAAGAAGAGUGACAGAGAGAGAGAGAUUCGUGAGGGAGGAGAGAGAGUGAAUGACAGUAUACGGGAAUUGGGGAGGGAAUCAGGGUAGGAGGCCCUACUUAAAUCCCAAACACAACUUUAAACAUACUAAUGUAAAUCCAAUUGUUAAAUUUUCGCCCCUUAGUCCCGCU